Molecule: long non-coding RNA, 95503 nt
Filed under: Eucalyptus grandis
Lineage: Eukaryota; Viridiplantae; Streptophyta; Magnoliopsida; Myrtales; Myrtaceae
Description: long non-coding RNA (EGRA_LNC001006)
Source: RNAcentral
GAGAAAUCGCAGGGGAAGGGAGGGGUCUUCUUGGGGUAGGAGACAACGAUGGAUGCGGCUUAUAAAGAAUGGGGUUCGAUUGGAGCGGGCAUUGGUUCUUGUUGCCGAGAGAAGGAGAGAGAGAGAGUCAAUGCGGAAGAGUCAAGAGGCCGAGCCCUGUUUUUACUUCGGCCAUGAAUGACUGCAACUUUCUUCGUUCUUGUUGCUGUAAUGUAAAUGGUCCUUUCGAGGACCAGAGGGGAAGAGAGAGCUUUCGAGGACCAGAGGGGAAGAGAGAGAGAGAGAGAGAGGUAGGGGAUUUGGCUAUUGGCUCUGUAUUCGUCUCCCUAUGAAGUGAAUCGUCUCUUUAGGAUUGUUGUCAAUCAAUGACCGUGACGAAAAAUCGAAAAUGCUCGGUAUUCGUGGAAUCGGGUCGAGCCGAUCGCGUUCUUUGCACCGAUUACUUUAUGCGUGAUCGAGCCGCACGAGACCGGAUCCAGAAGGUAGAGCGUGGUAAAGAAACUUACGGCACCUACCAAAGCAUUGACGAAGCAUGGUACAUAAUCAAUGCUCGGCGUUGCUUGGUAUGUUUACCAUCCAUAGUGAUUUCGAAAAUUCGGCCGAUUUAUUUCUUAAAUUGGGAUUUUAAUUUACCUGGUUAGGCGAUUUUGUGUUUAUUUCUCAAUGGGGAAAGAGUAAUGAAUUGGAAACAGGUGGCGAGCAAGCAAAGAACAAUGAGAUCCUCUUUUCCCUCAUUUUAUUAUUUGAGCUUGGGAAUAUUCACCUAAGCUUGCAUCUAUGUUAUUGGGUUGGAGGGCAGUGGGUGCGAUGAUUCGCCUAAUUGAAUUGAUUAGGGAACUAAUACUAAUAAUGCAUUAAAUCAUGAUGACGUGAUUUAUAACCCCUUUUAAAUUUACGGAACUAAAAUAAGAAAUCCCUUUAUAUUAUAUAUCUGUUAUUACAAUGUCCUCGAAGGAUGAAUUAGAAGCGAAGACAUUGUAAUGUACUUAGCGUGUGCUGCACUUCCCCGUUUGCCUUUUCCACAAUUUGACCUCUGAGAUCGGACUUGGGCGACGGACUCAAUUUAUGACAACGUGUCUUUUUUUUUUUAACAGCAAAAUUACGACAAAAAAAGAGGUUAAAUUGUGAAAGUGGCAUGCUGUCCAGAAUCGUAGGCGUCUAAUUUUCUUGAUCCACGUUAUAAUCUCCGGCAAAAUUGGUCCUGUGCAAUUUAAGCAACAUUUUGGAUAUUCUUUUUUGGGGAAAUUUAAUUGCCAUUUCCUUAAUAGAACAACAUACCACGUAAAUGUCUAGUUUACCCUCCACAAAAAAAUUGCGCCCUUCUUUUUUUUCCUUUCCGUUGACUUUUAUUUUCCUGGUUUGUUGCUAAUGUUGGGUUGAAUUCGGAUAUUCGGACAGUCCGAUAUGUCUUGGCUGUAGAGUAGUAAUCCCAGGCUGGCAUGUUCGGAUGGAUCGCAAUCCCAGCAAUUCAUUUUUUUUUAAAGGAAAAUUAUUUGCUUUAAUUGCACAAAAUGGAAAUAAAAGAUUUGAUUUAGUUCUCUUUCCGUGAUGUGGGGUCAUACGAUCGAAUACCCCUAAUGCCCCCCCGCAAUCAUAUUCGUAUGAUGAUGAUCACCAUCGGUAGAUAUUCGUUAAUUAAAUUACAUUUGCACGUUAAAGAUAUCUAUAUUUAAGUUUCUUUUCGGUCAAAUCAAUAAUUAAGUCGAUUCAUCCCCUUAAUGGCACCUUCUGAAAAAUGAAAAUGCGGUGCAUUAUUUAUAAUUUCAGUAGAUUAUGGUCUAAAUUCAGAGAAUAUUGUUAUUGGGACUUGAGUUUUUUGUUGGUUUCCCGAGAUUAUUUAAUUUAAGGGCCCGUCUAAUAGUUUUUUUUUUUUUUGGUCGGCCUGUCUUAGUUGGUUCGUGCAUUUUCGCAUAUAAAUAGACAUCUAAACCCAUUAACAAUGACGAAAUGGAAGUUGGAACGUUGCAAUGCAGUGAUUUCCUUUCUCGGCAAAAACGAUAAUCGUCAAAAAUAAAAAUACAGAAAUCGAGGCACCUCGAGUCGAGUCGAGGUAUUUAUGAGUAUAAAUUGUUUUCGAGAAUAUAAUAAUUACUAAACAGGCCAUUUCUUUGCUCAAAUUCAACUUAAUAUAAAAUUCAGUGUACUUGUGAACAAUGAUGAAAUGGGAGUUGGAACAUUGUAAUACUAUGAUCUCGUUUCUUGGUAAAUUAGUUGAAAAUGAUAAUCGUUAAAAAAAAUAUAGAGAUUAAUGCGAGUCAGGUCGAGUUUAGCCGUUGCCCUAUUGACCUCUAACUGGAAUUGAAACUCAACUCGAACUCGAUUUUGUACUUUUCUUCUUUGCUCAAAGUCGACUCGAUACAAAACUUAGUGUACUCGAGUUUGGCUCUAUUUUAAGUAUACAGCACUAAACAUAGGUCGUUUGGUCAAACUCAACUCGUCUAAAAAUACUCGUGCUUGCCCUAUUUGUUUCCAGUUAAAAGUGUGUUUGAGGGUGAGAAUAUAAUUAAAUGAUGAAAAGUAAUAUCAUAAGUACAUACGUCAUUUUUCUUCAAAACAGAAAAAAAAAAAAAAGCACAUGGACAAAUUGAAAAACUCAAUUAGGUUUUCACACUAAUCAAGUCAAGUAUCUUUAGGGUCAAACUCAGCCGGACAAAGUUACUCGGGCCACUCAAACUCGACCCAAGUUCAGAAAAAAAGAAGCCAAUUUCAAGUUAGGCGACGAACCCUGUUCAAAAAAAAGAAAAAAAAAAAGAAAAAGUUAGGCGACGAGUCGAACCCUUAAUUUGUACGUGCAUGUUUCCUCUCUAUUUAGGCGGAGAAGCGGCAUCCAAAUUGCUCAAAAACCAAAGGUGAGAUCGAUAGCGGAGUGUACGGCCAACAAAGAGCAAGCGGUGAAAUAUGCUUAUACGGAAAUAAAUAGUCAUUUUUUUGUCGAAUAAAAAAAAUUAAUACUACGAAAAAUCUCAAAUUAGUACUAUAUAAUAAAUUUAUCUAAACUAAUUUUUUAAUAUUAAAAAUUCAAAAUCGGUACACGUGCAACAAAUUUACCAAAAACUAAUAUUUUAAUUAUUAAAAAUCUCAAAUUGGUACAGCUAUGACAAACUUACACUCCCUUAAUUUAUGAUAAAUUGGAUUAAUAUCUUCAUUGUGUUUUAGAUUUCCAUAUAGCACAUUGUGCGGAUAAUUUUCAAGUAAGUUUAGUGAAAAUUGUAGUAGGUCUAUUACUUUCCACGAUAGGGAGUUUAGUCAAUCACAUAAUGUGUCAAUUGUUUUGGACCGAGAAUCUGACUAAUUGGUUAAGUAACAUAUAUCAAGUGGAAAGUAAUAUAUUACCAAUUGCGUCGUCAAAACUCUCCGAUGAUAUUAUUCACUAUUUCAUAUUUAAAAUAAAGUAAUGGAAUCUAUUAGUCGGCUCAUUUCGUUUACAAUCAAAUAGUUUUUUGUCACGAGUGUACCAAUUUGGAGCUUUUAUGGUAUUAACCUUGAUUAAAAAACCAUUUGAUUAUGAGCAAAAUGAGCCAACUAAUAAAUUCUAUUACUUUCGUAUUAAACACAAAACAAUGAAUAAUAUCAUUGGGGAGUUUUGAUGAUGCAAUUGGUAAUAUAUUACUUUCCACUUGGUAUAUAUUACUUAACUAAUUAGUUAGAUUUUCAAUACAUAUUACACAUUAUCUUAUUUCCGAUUCAAAAUGAUCGACACCGUAUAUGAUUAGGUAAACCCCUUAUGGAAAGCAAUAGUAUUACAAUUUUGGCGAAACUUACUCGAAAACUCUCUGCACGAUGAGUAACGUGGAAAAGUAAAAUCAAUCAACACGCCAAUCCGUACCUAUAAAACAAAUAUUUCAAUAUUCUUUAUUUUCAUUGACUUUUAACAAGUUUGUAGUCAUCGAGAAAAAGUAAUUUUAUACAUUAACCAUUGGAUUGUUGACAUAUGAUAAAAUUUAAUCACAAAACUAAUAUUCCGUUUAUUUCAUGAUAAAUGAAUGAUUUAUAUUAUUUUCCUAAAAAUAUUAUUUAUAUUAUUAAAACAGUCAAUCAAAAUCAAUGAAAAUAUUUUUUAUUAUCCAUAACAGUUCACGUAUAAACCUUUUCGGGCGUGAUUAAAAUAUUUAUAAUUCGUUUAUUUUUAUAAAAAAAUAAUUUGAAGAAAAUAUUUUCGGCUAUCAUCGUUUUCCGAAUCUAUAUUUUACGAUGUCUCGGAGGGAGCAAGAUUCGCUGCCUCCAGUAGUGAAAUGCCAGUUGUACGCACAGAAGAGUCCAGCUGUGUUUGAUGCGGACGGCCGAGAUGGGGCCGGCCCAGAGGAGUUUGCACGGCACUGACACCUGAUUGGUUCCCCCACCCAAGUCCCCACUACCCGAAGAACUCCAUGUGACCACGUGCCUCCUCUUUUCGGAAUACUUUUGCCCACUCUGGCCCCAAAAAAAUGAAAAGUCCAAAAAAAAAAAAACACACACACACGCACAAAGCACAAAUCACAUUUUACAAUACAUUACCAAUUUUUUCGUAUUUAGUACUGAAGACAGGCCCGUAAAUUGCAAUGUUGUACGUUAAUUGAAUAAGGGUGGCUUAGUAAUUAUAUGGUAAAAACAUAUUUAUAUGCUAAAGCGCAUUAUAGAUUCACAUUUUACAACACAUUAUGAUGUUUCUUCGUACUCUGUUACAAAGAUGGGUUAUGAUGUUGUACGUUAAUUAAAUAAAGGCGGCGAAAUAAUUUAUGAGGUGAAAAAAAGAUUUAUUGGUUGGCUUCUUAGGACAUGCGCCUCAAGCAAUUUGGCACCACGUUGUCAGUUAAAUAAAAUUCACAGGUCUUCAGUGCCUCGUUUGGCGAAAACGAAAAAGAAAAUCCUGUCCGGGAAGCAAGUGGCAUUCUUUUAAAUUCCUGACACGAUAGCUUUGUGUUGGGCUUAGACUAUUACGGUCUCUCCCUCUGCCUUCGAGUCUUCCCACGUAGAUUGUAAAUUUCACCUUACGCCGCGCAACGUGGAUGGUUAUUUUAAAAGCUCAGCGAUGUACGGACCACAUAAACAAUUUCCAAUAUUGUCUUUGUUUACAUGCGCAUAGUCAACUUGAACAGCUGCGAAACUUUGUAACUUAGGGUGGUUCUGCAAAUCCUUUUAUGCAAAUUCUCAAACGAUGAGUUCACGCAAUGUAUGUUAAAUGCACUCUCAUAAGAAAUACCAUGGAUCGUCGUAUAUCUAUCUUGCGGUCACUCCCUUUCGAGCAAUUAUUGAAAAUAACAUUGUCGUUUUUUGGAUUCUUGACGCUCCAUUAGGGGUUCGUUUGUUGUUGGUUUAAGUGGAUUUUUAAAUGACUUGCCACAUAGCAAAAGUCAGAUUUUCCAGUAGGUUUGUCCUCAUAGUCAAUAUACUUUUGGUGUAGGGUAUACUUAAUACCAUGAAGAAUUCAAAAUUAGUACAUUGAUGACAAGUUUAUUAUAAACUAAUUUUUUUAAUCAUAAAAAUUUCAAAUUAGUACAUUUAUUAUAAUUUUACCUUGAAUUAUUUUUUAUUAUAAAAAAUUCAAAAUUGAUUCACUUGUGACAAUUUUAUUAUCAAUUAAUCUUCGUUAAAUUGGAUUAAUACAGUGAAAAAAAUUAUAAAUUGGUACACUUGUGACUAACGGAAAGUAAAGCCUUAAUUUGAUACAGCCGUCAAUUGUUAUGUGUUAUUCGAUUUAACAUUUUGACGGUAAAAUUUAAUAGAAAGUAAAUUUAUUAUAUAUAUACUAUUUUAGGAAUUUUGGUGGUAUUAACUUGUUUUUAUAUUAUAUGCCAACCAUUUGAACGUGCAUGAUACGAUGUAUCAAAUUUGUUUGCAUGAUUGGUCCGCCAUUGCAUGAUUUCCUCCAGAGAGCGGAACGACGAGAACAAGGGCAAACACGACAGCGAUGUGCUUAAAGCAUCAAACGAAGUAAUCAAACGAAGUAAUCAAACUCAAUGUCAUUACUUAAAGAAACUCGCAGCAGCCCCCUUCAGCAUAAGUGGCCAGCGAGUGACUUCACGUCCACGUGUGGGUUGAGAGAGCAGGUGAAAAUCGAGCUCUUUUAGCGAAAGAAAACAGAGAAUGACAUGUCGAUGUUUUUGUCAGGCACUGAAAAGGACAACGAUGGAGGCGAUUUAAAUAAUGGAAGGGAGAGGAGGGUGAGAAGUUGGUUCAAAUUUAGGUGGUGCUUAGGAUUCUCUGACGACGGGAGGAGGCCCCGGGUUUCGGUGGAGGAAUAGUGCCAAACAGGUUCACUGACCUUGAGGUACCACUGAGAGAGCCUGCGACCUGCUCUGGACGGUGCUGUUCACUUGCCACGUGAAAGGAUGCUGCAUGACCAGAGUGAGGCAAGCCAUUCCAUGGAGAGAAUGUGAGGGACCAAAAUCAAAAUGUCUCAUCUUCAUAUGAUAACUUAGGCUUUUUUUUUUUUAGGUUGGAAAAUUCUCGUACUUUUAACAUGUUAUUAGAAUCAAGUUGAUAAGCCCCGUGCCGUGAAGUCAUCUUUGCAUGUGAAGGAGGAUUUUGUAUUACAUGCAACUUAUAUUCACGGGUCAUGCGAUGGCCCCAAUGACGGCACGGAGAGGGAGAGAGAAAAAAGAGAACAUUGGAUUAGGGUUUUUGCUGAUGUGUGCAGUUUUUCACAUUUCAACAAAUUCAAGGUAUUUUUAGUGGCGUAACUUAAUCCAGAUUUGUCAUUUGGUUGCCUCAUGUAUCAACCAUUUAAGGAAAUUUUAGCUCUUUAGAUAAAGAGGGUCUCGAUUUGAAAAGUAAACUUGUAUUUUGCAUAUAAUGUACACGUGCGAAUUCGUUUGUUAACCCAAAAACCAGCCCUAGCGUGCGAGAAGAAUCAUUGUAUCAAGGAGUCUUACUCUCCGGUGGGGCCGAGCUAAUUUGAGCAGCUGCAAGUGUACUUCCGAACAUUUAAAGAACUUCAAUCUAAAAGUUACUAAACGGGGGAGUCUCUAGACGAUCAUAUUCCAAGGGAGGUCAUCUUUCGUCUUUUCCUUUUCUGCUCGUGCAGCCGUGCUUCACGGGAGGAGGAGCGGCGCUCCAGUUCAAUCCGCGGAAAGACCUACCGCACCAGCAUGUGAUUUCAAUGAUAAAACGAAAGCUCGCUCGUGAUUCCAUAUAUAAUUUGAAAACUCCGGGAAAGUCACUCGUGAUUCCGAUAAAGAAAAAGGCUUUAGAGAAAAAUUCACAUGCGAAACAUGGUGGACUUCCCUCCAGCACAGGACUGUCUUAGCGAAACAGGGGAUGAACAAAUCAUACAGUGCGUCGUGCGAACGGAGAUGCCUACGCAUACUUCCAGUCGCCUUAGGAAGUAGAGGAGAAAUCCCAAAAAGAACAUCAUUAUGUUUUUACCUCAACCAUGUUUUUAGUCGGGAAAAAUAGAAAAAUAUCAGUAGCAUAGUUGAAUUCUUUUCAUGCUAGAGUUCCAUGUCCCCAGUACAGGUGAACAUAAUUCUAAGGUAGAAUGGAAACUUGACAACGAACCAGUCGAAACUGGUCAAGUUUCAAGUUAAUUUGUUCUGAUAGAUAAGUUUAGAUUUUAGGUGGAAUUGGGAACUCGGAACUUAUAACAAGCCUUUGUGUUUUUAUUGUUUUAUGUCUUUGUGUGAUCUUGAGGCAUUUCAUAGCGUUCAAUAAAAAGUAUAUAAUCCAAAAUCACUAGCUUGAGCUUUAAUUUAUGGCGAUACCCAUGGUUGAGAUUUAGUUUGUUAAUAUUUUAUAUUCUCCAUGUGUCUAAGUGUGACCGUGUGAAUUGUGAGAAGUGGAUUGUAGUAAAUAGUGGUCAUUAGAGGUGAUGGUUUACCAAGAUAGAACUUGGGUAAAUCUUGGAAUAGACAGAACCUAAGGAUACCUUGGAACCGACCUUGAAACUCGGGUUCCAAGUUCCUAGAUAUAUAGGAUGAGUUCCAACAACCUCUAGGAUUCAAAAAUCAGGGAAUCUGUUUUGAUAGGUAAUUUUUUAAGUUCUAAAUAGAACCUGGACGGGACCUGAAAUGCUCAUCUUUAAUGCUCAUCUUUGAUUAUAAGCUACGAGCAUAUGCCAUCCUAAACUGCAGUAUAUCCCAGAGCAGGAUGAAGUCAUUGUCUCUAGAAGGAACCCUAAAAGUAUUCCAAAGAGAGAGAAUAACGACGGUGGCCAAGGAAAGGGACCGACGUCAGAGAAUCUCCAUCCCUCUCACGCAGUUCCUUUCUUCGCUCUUCAACCUCCCCACGCUUUUCAGACUCGAAGGUCGAAAGGUAUACGCAACUGCAACUCCUAAACAAUGGAAGCAUCCAUCGCAUCUCGAUUCUUAACUAUAAAUCUGGUCUCUGCAUAUGAACUCGUCGUCCAUCUUGACUUUGUUCCCCAAGCUUAUUAUUGGCGACAAUGACAUCACAGCGACUCGAGCGUUCACAUGCGAAGACUGGAAAUCUCGCGAAUGAAUAUGCGGGGCAUGAGAUCAGUAUCGGACCACGAGCUUUCCAUCGAUGUCAUCUCUAAUGUUUAACAAAGGUUCCGAAAAUAUGUCUGACGCGCAAUCUCUCGUUUCAGGCGGAAGAGAAUAACACGUACGUUGCUUCCGUGUGCUGAUCACUUCAAGUAUCCGAUUUUCCUAUUGAAUCAUUUGAAACGUUUAGAGCCUCUCGUCGGACCAACCCUCUUUGUUUUUACUUAGUAUUCCACGAGAAUUGCACAGAGGUAAGAAGAACGGGCAAAUCUCGAAGGUAAGAACACCUGAACUUUUUGCCUGUAGGACGAACUUCCCAUGGCUGUGUAAACGAACCCUUAAAAUCUCACAAAUUUUAUAGCCGAGAGGGGAAAAAAGUAUACACCCGUUAGUUUUUUCCAUUGAAGCGAGCUGAUGCCUCGUAUGAUGUGACCAACGACGUUUUAAAGCACCCUGAAAUUUAUGUGGAGCGGAUUAAUUUCAAUCAAGAGAAAUUGAAAAUGUUGACGUUUUUGUUGAAACGGGUUUCGGGCUUUUACUAAUAUGUCUUGUAACGUCUUCUUUACUCAUGUCAAUGCGUCAUUUUCUAGGUAUUAUGACAGUGUCGUCAGCCAUAUCAUGUGUCGUAUUAAAUGUAUGGACAAAAAAUUCAACAUGGUAUUUGUGCAUUUUCUUCUUUUAUCAUUCGAAAAGUCAGGAUAUUUAUAUUCUUGGAAUGUCAAGCAAGUGUGUGUUUAUUUAUUUAUUUUUUUUGCCCCCUCUGUUGGAGUUGGCCCAAGGAAAACUGGGAAAGCAGCAUGGAGUGUGUGCUAGUAGCGGAUACGAAGAAUUCGAUCCUCCGUACCUGCGAGAGGUCGCUGAGAUCGGGCCCACCCAGCCCAGGGGCAGUAGUCGGACUUGGGAAGGACAACCCGGCCCAUGGGCCCAUCAAAGAAGACUUUCAUAAGCCCGUUUUCUCAUAUUUAGCUCGAUUCGUGUCCUGGCUGUCUUCCUAAGUGGGUUAUCCCACCUUUCGAUAACCUUGCGAUUCAUUCAUUAACUUCAAUUCGGAGUCCAACGAACGAACGGAUGAUUUUCAGGAAUCAAAGUACAUUCGAGCAACUACGACGAUGACAAUAAAGUUUGGUGCCGUUUUGGCAACUGAGGUAUCUCCGUCGGAUGAUCUGGAAAUCAAUAUCGAAUCUCUUGAGAUUAUUUUGAUGAUGAGAGAACAUCAUUGAAUUGUUUGAUGAGUUCUUUGAGCGAAUGUUAAAACGAAUCCGCAGAAGAUAAAAUUUUAUCAAUUUUGCUUGACAGAUCAAAUCAGUUUACUUGACAGAUGGUUUCGGGAGUAAUUCCAUCUUGAAAAAGUUCUCUAGAGCAGAAAGUGAGAGUGCUUGGAGAAAAUUACUUUCGUACAAGGCUGUAGAGAUUAGGAUCCAGUCUUUUUGGGGUUUCUGAAAAUUGGAUCGAGGUUCAUAAGAUCUUACGGAUUUCACAAAUUGAAGCCUGAACUGUGAAAUUGAGACUUUGUUUUGUGCUAUUACAUGGACAACAAUCUUUCAUAAGCAAAUAUUGCUCCAUAGUGAAAUGAGUUCCAUAAACGUAAUGAGAACAGGCACCGAAUUCACGUCAAGGCUGAUAAACCACAAGAGCACAAAUUAAAUUCUAGAUUGAUCCAUUACACAAUUGAUUGUUGAGUACUUUAUUCACUUUGUUGUCAUUCAUUAUGUGAUACGUCAUACUAAUCAAACGUGUAAUUUUUAAUCACUCAGUCGCAUGCAUUUUUAAUCACUCUUAAAAAAAUUUCACCGAAAUGAGCAUAAGAAAGAGGAUAAGUCGGAUUUCUCACAACCAUCUAAGAAUGAUCAGAAUAGAUAGUUCAUUAUGCAGGGCUUAUUUGAUUGAAUUCAUCUUGUAUAUAGAAUCUCCAAGGCCACAUGGAGAAUUUUUCCCUUUCUCGUGACACUAGGCCAUGAGCCGUGACAUUAACAAGGACAUCGGUACUUUAUGCAGGCAAGCGUUGUCAUCUAUUGAGUCUCACAUCAACUGGAGUACUCGUUCCAAAUGCUUAUCGCCUCAAGCGGUCACGACCGAACAACUCUCGUGGGCUGUCGGGUUUAAGCGGAUCACGAGAGGUUGUUAUAUAUGGACUAACUUCGCUACCAAAAAAAAAAAAGUAAAAAAACUAUUCACCAAUUCGGAUCUACGAAAUCAAAAUGCUUUCCGUCGUCCGCCGUUCGUGGAUUACGUGUGAUCCACAGAAGAAAAAAAGGGAGAGGGGGUGACGUUUUCAAAGGGCCUCUCUUUUUUCUUUUCUCGUUUCUCUUCUCGCUCAUUGGGUCUUUUUUGGAGCUGCGAAAAUUAGGUGGACAGGAAGCAGCGGAGGACCAGCAGGAUGGAUUGAGGAGCGGAACAUUAGCCGCCACAAGUUAGCGAGGACCGAGGUGGCCCGAUCGAUGUCGUAGUGCAUCGCGACAAACGCCUCACCGCCACGCAUUACGUGUCCAAUAGCGUCCCGACACCGGAAGCACGGCCAAGAAAAAAGAGGGGGGCCAUUGCCAUUUAGGGCACGUGAACCACACCCGUUCCUUCGAAACCAACCACUGCAAGGAAACUCCCGACCGCCGUUCGUUCAUCUCUGUUGUUCUCGACACUCCGCCCCAUUAGGCACGUGAUCUAUUCUUUUUUUACUUUUAACACCGCCGGCUCGCGCUUUAAUGUCUUGGUCGGCGAGUGCGCUUUGUCAAAAUGGAGGGCAGUCGCCGUCAUCUUUAAUUGGGACGUCUCUGGUCGACGGGUUACAAAAAAAUUGCAGCGCCGAAAAGUCUUUCCAAGCGAAACCUUGAGCGUAACGUGGAAGCUGCGACGAAGGAACAAAAAGAGCGUGGAGAGCGCGUAGCAGAAUUCGAUACUUUUUUUUUUUGGUAACUUAGGGAACCUCCGCACACCGCUUCGCGGGGAGAGUAAACCCUGGGGCGCCGGGGUCCCCACCGCUGACCCCUAGAUACGCGGGUAAGUCGUGCGUUAUGCAUUGAAGUAUCGCGUCCACGAAGUUUCGAACUCCUCCCCUCCCGGAUAGAGUACUAAGCUCAAACCAGCGCGGCCACCGCGGGCGGUGGUAGCAGAAUUCGAUACUUUCAUCUGGAAAGAUAGGAAGCUUGAGUUUAAGUCCGUCAAUAUAUUCAAUCUAACUCAUAUUUACUUAAAAUCUUAAUAAAUUAAUUAUAAAUUAAUUAUGAUAUAUUAACUACUUUACACCAUAUUAAUUUUUUAAUGUGGUAUUUCUUAAACAUAAUUUAUCCGUGUAUCAUUAUAAAGAGGACGUCAGUAUGUGCUUACUAUUAUGAUUCACGAUUUUGAUAGUAGGAUAUGAUGGUUAAUUGAUCUUACUGUCCAACGGCAUCAUGGACAAUGGGUUAUAAAAAUUGCAUCACUGAAAAGUUUUUCCCCGUAAUUCGAUUAGUAUCGUGAGGGCAUCUAUGAGCAAAACCUCGAGUGUAACGCACAAGAUGUGAUGAAGGAACAAAAAGAGGACAUCGGUAUGUUCUUACUGUUAUGAUCCACGAUUAUGAUAGCAUGAUAGGAUGGUGAAUUGAUUUUACGGUCCAAUGGUAUCUUAGACAACGGGAAUAAGAUUGAUCAAGUGGAUAUGCAAAGAGCACAUUGCUUUCCUAAUUUAAUCAUUCUAACUAUAUUUGGUUUCGAUUUGUCUCAUCGCUGUUGAGAAUAAAAUUGUAGAAGAUGUGAAGUCGAUCGUUUUGAAAGAGUACCCCGCUUUUUUUGUUAUCAUAUUUUACGCGUUUGAUGUUAAACAAAACAAGUAUUGUUCCUUAUCUUCUUCUUGUUAUAUUGUGAUUCCAUGUUACAGCCACAUGAUGACCACACGUUAUUGUCGACUUUUUCAGCAAAGCUCCAUGCAUGUGAAGCAAAGCAAUCUUCAAAUUUGCGAGAAUCCACCCUUUAUCAUUACUAUUUACUAUCACUUCCGAAAGGUAAAUUAUUUUUGUGAUAAAAAAAUUAAUUUGGAAUAAAUUUACUAGUUUAAGGUUUUUGAUGAAAUUAACCCUUGAGCAAAACUUAUAAUCAAAGAUAAUUGUCCUCCCCUUUCAAUUGCUUUCCAUUGGUGAGCAGACAUUUUGGGUGUGUCUAGUUCAGCAUUCGCAAAGCUUUAUCGGCAAUUAUAAAUGUUGUUUGGCAAAAUUUUUGGGUUGCUUUAGAGAUAUGUAAAUUGUAAAUAGACUCUUUUUUUUCUUCCAGCUUUGUUUUUGCUCAAUUUCAUAAUACCAAAAGUGUCUUCGAAAACCCUAAUUUUGCCUCAACCAGCUUCGCCUAAACAAAACAAGUAUAUGAGUUUGUGAUAAAUUUGUUAUAAAUGUAUUAAUUUGGAGUUUUUCGUUGUAUUAACCUCAAACAAACAAGUAUCAUUCCUCAUCUUCUUCUUAUUAUGUCGUGAUUUCAUGUUAUGGCCUCAAGAAGACGACAUGUUAUCAUCGACCUUUUAAGCAAAGCUCCGUGCAUGUGAAGCGAAUCAAAGCAAUCUUCAAAGAUGGGAGAAUCCACCCUCUAUCGUUAUCGCUCUCACUUUCGAAAGGUAAAUUAGUUUUAUAAUAAAUUUAUCACAAAUGUACCACUUAAACAAAACUUACAAUUAAAGAUCAUUUCCACUUUUGAUUACUUUCCAUUGGAAAGCAAAUAUUUUGGGAGUGUUUGGUUUAGCAUUUAUGAAGCCUUAGGCUCAAAUCCCUUUUGACAAACGCAAAGUGCCUUUUGACAAAAAUGCAAUUGUAUUUCCAAAAUUCUCUAAAUGAUUUUAGCCCAAGGCAAGUCAUCAACUAUUUUUGAAUGCUGAUUUUCCGGAAUGCAAAUAGAUUUUUUUUUUUUUUCAUUUCAACUUUGCCCUCGCUCAACUUCAUAAAUUCAAAAUGUUUUCGAAAAUCCGAACUUUGGCAUGUGGCUAGUGCGUCAUUGACAAGCGGUUGGCGAGCCAUCGCCAUAUUUGCCUAAAUAAAACAAAUAUACGAGUUUUGAGUUUUUUCGUUGAAUCAUCCUUAAACAAAAUAAGUAUUGUUCCUUAUUUUCUUCUUGUUAUAUCGUGAUUUCAUGUCACGGCCUUCGGAAGACGACACGUUAUCGUCGACUUUUUCGAGCAAAGCUCCAUGCAUGUGAAGCGAAUCAAAGCAAUCUUCAGAGACGGGAGAAUCCGCCCUCUAUCGUCACCGCUCUCGCUCCCGAAAGGUCAAAGGGAAAAAAAGGCGGCAGCCCAAUCGAACCUUCAAAACUACAAAGAGACGGACGAAAAUAGAGGGAGAGAUGGAAAGCCAAAAAAGGAAUCGGCACACGCAGCCCAGCCACAUGGAAAGGGCGAGGCGAAAGGGCGAGGCCGAUCGCCAUCAUCACCACCACUCGAUCCCGCGAGCGAGCGGGCGAGCGAGCAAUGCGGUCGCGGGUAGGUGGCGGUGGCGGGGCCCCGGCUCCAACUCCUCUUAUCCCCACCACGAUCCUCCACCACCACCACCACCACCACCACCAUCACCACCACCAUUGGUCACUAUGGAACGAUUGAAUGCGAUGGACGAACGAAGGACGAUGGGGUCAACACCACAGACGCAACCCCCCCAAAAUCCCUUUUCCAUGAAAAAGGAGGGGGCCGACCGAAUAUGCCGAAACGACGGUGGAGACGUCGCCCCCCUGCCUUUGCUGCUCCACCACCACACCCUUUUUCUAAAAUUUUCCCCAUUUUCCCCUCUGCUUUCGCCACUAUAAAUUCAUUAUCCUUUUCAAUUCUCAAAUCCAUUUCCAGCCCCACAUUCCAAUAAAACCUAAAAUUAAAGAUCAUGGUCCUCCACUCUCGAUCGCGUCGUUCCAUUGGUGAGCAGACAUUCCCUCUCCAAUCGCUUGACCUUUUUGUCAACAGCUUUGAUCGCUGCCAUUAACUUAAUUAACCAACGCACACGUAAGAGGCUUUGGCAACUUGCUCUGAAGUGUGGCGAUUUCAAGAAGUCAGGACCCUUCUACACUGUCCUUUCUUCAAUAACAUUAACUAUACUUUAUCCCGAUGAUAAUUCAAAUUGUUUUUUUUUCUUUUGACAUUUGGAGAGUCGGGUUAAAUCACUUUGUUAAGAUCAUUAAACAAGGGUAAGGAAUUAUCGAUGUAAAUUAUAACACGCUAUAUAGAUUAGUUGUGUAAAUUAUCACUUUGGAUUGUUGUAGUCCUUUCCUUAUAUAUUUGCACAUAAUUAGGAAGGCUACAUAUGAUCACUAGUAAAUAGAAAUUGUCUCUUUUUAACUUUUGGCCUGUGACAAUAUUCUCUUUCCCCCACAAGAAGUAUAUGCAUUUCUAUUUUUCUCUUUGACAAAACUCUCCGUCGAACCGACUUUAUUUACCUAACUACAUAUGAUUACCGGUAAAUAGAAGUGAUCUCUCUUUUCUUCUAGCCCAGGAUGAUAUUCUCUUUCCCUCACAAGAACUAUAUGCAUUUCUAUUUUCCUCUCUAACGAAACUCUCGAUCGAACCAAUUUUAUUUACCCGAACUAUUUCCUAGGAUUUAUAGCUAAAAUUUGGAUAAUGGAUGAGCAAAAUAUGCUCAAAGAUGAAUAUCGACAUACGUAUGCAGAUGUCGGAUGUACCUACACGAGAUUAAAUUGGUAAGGUUACCCUAGUCGUCACGCAUGUCAUAUUUCGCACCCUCGAAGAAAAGAAAUUCCAGAGACACCUGGCCUCGUUUAAAUCGCUCGAUAUUCGGACGGCCGCCAUUCACCGCCCCCCCAACAAUCGGAUCCCCGCCGUUUAUUUACUCCCCGCGGAAUCCUCCCCCACUCUCUUAAUCAACCACACAUCGCCAUGCAAUUUACCCCCACUUUCUCUCUCUAAGGGCACUCUCCUCUCGCUCUGUCUCUCUCCUCUUCUUGCAUGGUCUGAGAAACUUUGAGAUCCCCUUUACCUCAGACUCGUGCUUUGUUUGAUCGGCGAGUGGAGUGGAAAGGCGGCUGGUCCAGAAGAUGUCGCGGAGUUGCUCGCAGUGCGGGAACAACGGGCAUAACUCGCGGACCUGCAUGGAUGGAGGAGGAGCAGGAGGCGGAGGCGGCUGUGGCGGGGAGGGGACCGGCGGCAUCAUGCUGUUCGGGGUGCGCCUGACGGCGGAUGGCUCGGCCUUCAGGAAGAGCGCGAGCAUGAACAACCUCUCGCAGUACGAGCACAGUCCGGAGUCCUCCAACGUGGUCGACGCCGGCUACGCCUCCGACGAUGUCGUUCACCCCUCCGGUCGCAGCCGUGAAAGGAAGAGAGGUAAUUCGAUAGAUGAAAUUCAUAGAACCGCAGAACUGUAUCAGCGUCGGCCCGAUUUCAUGAACUUUUUCAAGUCGGGUGAAGCGGUGGGGUCUUGGUAAAUUUUGUGUGAUUUAAUUCACUCACGGUGGUUUGUUUAUAGGAGUUCCAUGGACGGAGGAAGAGCACAGGCUGUUCUUGCUGGGACUCCAGAAGGUGGGGAAGGGGGAUUGGAGAGGGAUCUCUAGGAACUUCGUGAAAACGCGGACGCCGACACAGGUGGCGAGCCACGCCCAGAAGUACUUCCUCCGGCGGACCAACCAGAACCGGCGACGCCGGCGGUCCAGCCUCUUCGACAUAACCACCGACUCGGUAAACACAGCAUUAAUUGCAUGAUAAUCAACUUUUUUUCUAAAAAUUUGAACCAUUCUGACAUACUAUUGCUAGCUGUUGAUGAACAGCCCAAAUCCACUAGUUCUUGCGUCUGUCUGUGUCGUACAUGCCUGUUAAGAGGCUGUGAGAGCCAAUUUAAUAAACGGAUCUUGCUGGUAACUGCAAGAAUCCAUUGAAGUUUUUCUGGAUUUUCUUCUCCAUAAAAGGUAGAACAAUGCCAUAAGUGGAACAACCAACCCGUUUCCUUUAGGAAUUGCAAAGCGAAGAGAGUAUGGUAUCAACUGAGAAUUGUUUUUCCCCCUGAAAACUCAAACGUCGACUGAAAAUCUGCUGCAGUACUUUGGGGUUUCAAGCUCUACAAUGGAGGAGGGUCAUCAUCAAGCGCACCAAGUACCCAGCUUCCCUCUUUCCUUGCCUCCGGCGGUUUCACCGGGAACCGGCGAGAAACUGCUGGAAAGUCUGCGACUAAGAAAAGAGGGCUGCCAGUCGAAACCCACCCCGUCGAAGCCCAUCCGCCCGGUCCCGAUCCUUCCCAUCCCUCCGUCCUCGAAAAUGGCGGCUCUCGACCUCAACAAGGCGACCACAGCUUCGGAACCGGCGGAGCCCUGGCCCCUGUCUCUCAAGCUCGCCACGGCGAAACCCUCUGACGACCAGCAGGCGGCAGCGGCACCAGCGCCAGCAACAACCCCACACUCGUCGCCGACCAACAGCAUCAUCAGCGUGGCCUGAGGAAUCAAUGGUCUUGUAUGGUCAUAUCCAUAAUCACCAAAUGAUCGGGCUGCAAAGUUGCUAAAGUGGUGGGGGAUCUCCUAGAGCUUAGAUGAAAGUAGAGAUUAGGAAUUAAUUAGAAGGUUUAAGUAGGAGUCAUUGUUUGCUUUUGUACAUAAGCUAAGGGAAACAUCAAGAUGGUGGGGACAGGAGAUGCGGUGUCGUUUUCGUGGUGGUGGUCUACGUUGGUGUCCAGUUGGUCGGGGUUAGGGUUUGCUUUUUCGUGGGUAAAUGGGGAGAGUACCAGGUACCUCUUCUGGUCAUUGGUCCGGCUUGCUUUGGGAGCCUCAACUUAGGAAAAGGAAAAUAUCUGUCCGUGAAUAUUCUUGUCUAUAUGUCUCUGUUUUCUUCCUUUCUUUCUUUUCUUGUUUAAUUGAAGUAUUUUCGGGCGUUAUAAUAUGUUGUUUUAUACGUGCAUUUUGCAUGGUUUUUGUUUUGGUGGCGGUGGCAUUAGAAAUCUCUUCUUUUUGAAUUAUUAGGGUUUUCCAUUGACUCUGCGAGGUAUGCAAGCCCUGGCCCGUUUGUCGAUAGUAAAGAGACCUCUCGAAGAAUUUUAGAAAGGAACAGGAGAGGGAUCGGAAAAAGAGGCGGUGUUUGUAUCACGUGAAUGUGUAUGUAAAACUUGUCGUGGAGCAAGCAAAAAAAAAAAAAAAAAACGGAGGAUAUAUUGAUUGGAUGUCCUUUUAAGUUUUGUUGCGUGGAAAGUUCAAUAAAGUUCUCACAGUCGUCGCAAGUGCGUUGGAAGAAAUAAGUCCAUCGAUCGAGGGUGGGCGAUGACUUGAGGAUGUAUGGCUCGGCCAUUGACGAGCAAUCCGACAAGUAGUUGGCGUGCAAUUGACGAGUGAUUUGUGAGCUAUUACCACCCAACCUCAAGUCACUCGAUAAGUAGUUGGCACGCAAUUGACGAGCAGUUAGUGAGCCAUUGCCACCCGACCUCAAGUGAGGCUAGUGGCAAUCAAGUUCCAUUGAUGAGUACUUUGAAAUUCUUUAUAAAAAAGAAAUUAGCAAAAAUCCUUUAUAAAUUGUAUUGUGAAAGUUGCUUUUUAAUAUAAAUUUAAAAUAUAUCUUAUCAGAUAAUAUUUGUAUUUCAAAAAAAAAAGAAGAAGUCCAAAGGCCUUUGUACGACCAUGACAAAAGUUACAUAACAGACAACGCCAUCAACGGAACAAAUGAAUAUGGAUAUAUGCCAGACAAGAUAAAAAUUAAGUACGAAAGAUUAAGAAGGCGGACCCUCUUAUGCCCACGCAAAGCGCGAGCCGUUCGUAUGCAAUUUUUUAAUCGAUUCUCGUGCAAGUGGGCUCGUGGUGGGGUUAAUUCAGCACAAUUCAAGAACCUAAUUUUUUUAGGGAGCUGACGCCUUGUUACUUCUUAAUCAAGUUAAGAUGGUGAGGAGACAUGUAGAAUGAGUGGGUCGGGGAGUGGGUCGGGCAGUGAGUCGGAUAGGAUAAAAAGAUAAUAUUACCUAAAUAAAUCAAUUUGAUCCGUUUUGACUUAUUUUCAUGUAAUACAAAUCUAAUGAUUUAUAUUUGAUUCGACUCAUAUCUAACGCAUAAUCGACUUGGCCCAUAUUACUAAAACCCAUCUAAAUUUAAUCAAAUCUAGGAAAACUCAUAGUCAAACUAAUAACAAAUUUACCUUAUGUUAGUUUUCAUUAAAUUUUACUAUCAAAUUAUUAAGUUGAAUUAUUAUGUGUACCAAUUUGAGAUUUUAGUUUUCGUUUAUCACAGUUUUGGUAUUAAUCCAAUUUAACGGAAAGUAUAUUUGUCAUAAAUGUAUCAAUUUGGGGUUUUUAGCGGUUGAAUAAAUUAGCUUGGGAUAAAUUUAUCACAAAUGUACUGCUUUAAGAUUUUUAUAUGAUUAAUUGGGGUAUACUUGUUAUAGGUGUAUAAGUUUUGGGUUUUUUCAUAGUUAAAAAAAUAAUUUUAGGUAAAUUUAUCACACAUAUAUUAGUUUGAGAUUUUUUAGGAUAUUAACUCUAAUUAAAAAUUGUAUUCCCACUUUUCUUCAAUUUUUAGGCUUGAAAGCAAAAAAGUGUGCCUACCAAGAAAGUCAAGGUCAAACAUUUCAUCUCCAACGAGCACGGGGCCACUGAAACUGGCGGAUUCCUUUCUUCUCCAACUGGCGGAUUCCUUUCUUGGCCGAAUUUACUUUCUAAAAAAGAUGAUAGUUUGCCACACGAGAAAAUAGUUCUAGCGUGCCUUCUUUUAUUUAUUUAUUAAAAGGAUUUGUUAAAUAAUGCCUCUAAAACGCUUGUUAAUUAACUGAGUAUAAUUUAUUAUUUUAAAUGUAUUAUAUAUUCUCAUGUUAUGCAUAAUCACUACUUUCAAAAUUGAACAAUUCCUAAGUGGCCACCCUUCCAACAUAGAAGGGGGAGGUGAUGGGGUGGGGACGAGUAAGUUUCAGGAGUGGGUUUCGACUUCCAUGCCCUGCAAGAGGCAGGAUAAAAGUCUGAGAGUGAGUGUAGAGUAAGUAUAGAGUAGGACUGAAAAAAAAAAUUGAACCAUUCCUCAUUUAGUGUGCCUAAUGAGUGCUUUAAAUAUACUCGUUAAUAUGAUUAGUUUUCUAAAUCUAGGUGUUGUAGCUUCCCUCUAUCUUAAGAAAUUUGUUCUUUUAUCAUCAUCAAAUAUGGGCAUGAACCUUGAGGUUGGUAUAGUUCGUUGGCGUCACGAUAUUUCCAGUUUCAAAAUUAAAGAGUUUUCCAUUGAGAUUCCAAAAAUGUGUUCCAAGGAAACGUUCUCCAUUAGGACCACCCCAUUAGGAGUGUUCAAAAAGGCAUAAUAUCCCAAAAACUCAGACCACCUAAUUAACCCAAAUCAGUGUCUUUUUGGCUAAAAUUGGACCAAGUCAGGCUACCUGACCCAAUGAUUUCUUUCUCUUCAAGCCGGUUCAGGCCAAACAAAUUAGAACGUGUUAACCCCAAUUUGUUCGCUCUCACUCUCCCUUCUCAGACACUUUCUUUGUCUAAGGCUCUCUCACUUGCUCGCUCACCGCCAGUACCGCCGGCACCACCACCACCACCACCACCACCACCACUCAGUCUCGUCGUCUUUGCCUCUCAUCUCUAUUUGACUCUCGCAGUCCGCUCACGACAAAAAUUGUCCGCCGUGCAAGAUCCAGAGGUCCGACAACACGCUAGAUCCGGCUAGCUCGACCACAAGCACCACCAAAUUGAAUGUCGACGGCCGGGAGUGACUUCGAGAAUUUUUUGUGAUUUUUUGUUUCGUGGCUGUUCCCUUCUUCAACUAUCGACAGGCCCAUCGCCAUCUACCUCGAGCCAAAGCACGGGCCUUUCUUACCAGACCGGGCCGAGACCGUGCUCCAAUAAGCCCAGACCUAACCGAGAAUCAUUUGGUCCGGGCCCCUAUCCUUAAUUCGGGCCGAGCCCACUGUUCGGCCUCGGAGAAAUCUGCCGGACCAAAAUUUCAAUUUUAACGUCUCUUAUGGGACCAUAUAAGAAAAAGUAUUCCCAGUUCUCCUGGAUAUUAGUAGCUGACGCGAAAUUGAAUGGAAAUAUUGGUUGACACGUGGUUGUCGCGUUUUUAUUUAUACGUAAAACUAAAAUGAAAAAAAAUACAAGUAUAAUAUAAUUAUACAACAGAAGAAAAUAAUAUAAUAUUAUAAGAUUGGCUUUGAUUGCGAUUGUUCUCUCGUAUUUUUCAAUAUUCCUUUUCAACUCUAUAUGUUUUUUUAUUUUUUAUUUUUUGGUUCAGACAGCUCUAUGCGUAACUUCCUUAUAUAACGUUACACAUCGUCUAAGCAGCGGAUUUGGCUGAGAGAAUAAAUAAUAAAAGUUACGAAUUUUUUAACAUAAUUUAUGUAAUUUUUGAAAAUAAUUCUUAUGCACAGUCGUGAAUUUGUUCGUCAGUGUAAAUUAUUUGCCAAAUUGUAUUUUAUUUCAUGUGAAUCUUCGUAUUUCGAACAAAACAAAGGUGGGAUUCUCCAAUCGCAUGAUAGAUUACUUCCAAUAAAGACAUUGAUAACGAUACUUACAAUAAAGGCAUUGAUAACGAUUGGGAAAUUCCUAGUUGUCAUACGUGACAUAGGGAAGUUUAAUAUGUGAUUAGCUAUGUUGAGAAAAAUAGCUUAAACAAAAAACAGUUAAUACGGAGAGUCACAAAAAAGGAUUUUCGAUAAUUGCCUAUCUAUAGUAUUAAGGACUUGUUCGGUAAUCAUUAUGUUCUUUGUAACAAUUUAUGCUUAGAUAUUUUUUUUUUGUUUCCUGAGUUUUUUAGUAUUUGAAGGCAUUUGGUAACUAUUCAAAAUUUUUAUUUUCAAGAUAGAAAUGCAUUUGAUAAAAUUUCAUUUUUUUUGUAAUUUAUAAUUUAUUUUAAUUUUAAAAAUAAUUUAGUUAUCUCUCUCUCUCUCUUCUCAUUUUCUUAUUAUUCUUCUUCUUCCUUCGGUUGGCGACCUCGUUGAAGCAUCGCUCGGUGAAGGCAAGCCUCGUCGACCAAGCUCGCCUAGCCAAGACGAGGUUGAGCCUACCUAGUUGCUAACAAAGUUGGCCUCACCUAGGCUAGGUGACUCCAACUACCAACAAGGCUCGGCCUCGCCGAGCCACCGCAAGGCAAGCUUGGCCUCACCAAACUUGGGGGAGACUGAGCCUUGCCUAGUCGUCGCCCCUUAUCGCCGGUUGCCGAAGCAAGAAGGAGAAUAAGAAAAGUAAAAAGGAAAAGAAAGAGGGAAAAAAAAAGAAAUUAGACUUGACUUUGGAGUUGUCUUUUGAAAUAAAUAAGCAAUUUAUUUAUUUCUUAAUUCUACAUUAAGUCUAUUCUUGGGAACGAACAAAAAAGUUACCGAAUAGAUUUUUAUUUUUAUUUUUAUUGUGGAGAAUAAAAGAAUGAAAUAUAUACUGUCUGAUCAAUUAUUAAACAGGCUCUAAAUCUCAUUAAAAUUGAAUUUCUUUUUAUCGAACAUAGCUCAUGUUAUUAAAAGGGCUCGGCACGGAUCCUAGUCGGGAGCAAAAAAUGAGUGUACCUUGUAAUUUAGAGUUUUAUACGACAGCAACCUCAGUGAAAUAAAAAAGGGGGAAUGCCAUCUGUCCCAAGCGAUCGACUGUGCCCCCACCGUAUCUCAAGGGGCAAGCGUAGAAAUAUGGCCUUGACAAGUAGGUGUCACAUCUUUAUUUUACGGAUGACAUGGAAUAAAUUAAAAAGCACACCCCCAAAGAAAAAAGAACAAACAAAACAAAGACAGGUAACGAUAAAAUCAGCGCGUGUGUGUGUGGGGGCAAGUCACAUUUGUCCACCCCAUGUACAACGACAUACCAAAAUUUAAUAUUGGCAAGUGAGCCUCCUCUGGUCAAACAUUUGCAGCCUUAGAUAAGUUAAAUAAGUUAAGGUUGUGUGUAGCAAUCAUUAUAUUUCUCUACUUUUUUAAUUUUCUGUUUUCAGGAACAGAUUUUUGGAACAUAAUUGAGAGGUAAAAUUUUUUAACUUCCUGAAUGAGAAAUAAAAACUCUCAUCAUCGUUCGCUUCUUACUAUUAAUUGGUGGUUUAGGAGAGAGAAUUUUUAUUUAUUUUCAUUCAUGAAAUAGAAUUUUCAUGUCGUUAUCAAACACUAUUUUUUACUCAAAAAUUUGCCUAAAGAAUAGAAAUAAUAGAAUGGAUUAGUUAUUUUUUUUUUUGGGUAAGGAUGGAUUAGUUAUUAUUCGUUUUCUAAAAUACUUAUAAAUCUUAAUUAUUUUGGGGGCCACUCGAAUCCCUCCCUAACCUAAACCAAAAGCCCAACCCCACCACAAGAAACCACCAGAAAACGACACCGCAUCACCGCCACCUCCAGCACCUUCCUCCUCCUCCUCCUCCUCCUGCUCUUCUUCUUCCCCCCGUCGAGUAGGGUUUUGGCCAGAGAAAAUGAAAGAGAGAGAGAGAGAGAGAGAGAGAGAGAGAACGCGCAAGUGAAAAACGCGCAAGUGAAAAACACGAAAAAACGAAACACGAUCGAAAGCAAAACGACGGCCGACGACUGACGGCGUCGACGACGACGACGACAAAAGAGAAAAAAAACUAAAAAUAAAAAAAAAAACCAGUCAAAAGGUCGCGCAUCUUCCCUUCCCACCCGCUUCCCUCAUCAUCCUUCAACUCUCCCUCUCUCUCUGACCCGGUCAAUGGCCGCUCUCUCUCCACCACCACUCCUCCUCCCCUCACCUUAAUCUCUCCUCCGAUCCCACACCAAAACCCCCGCCCCACCUCCAUGGCGGCCUCCUCCUCCUCCUCCUCCUCCUCCGUCGCCUCCGCCGCCGUGUUCGCCCUCCACUCGCUGCUGCUGCUGCUGCUGCUCGCCGCCGCCGUCGAGGACGACGUGCUCUGCCUCGAGGGCGUCAAGCGCUCCCUCGGCGACCCCCAGGGUUCCCUCGCCGACUGGACCUUCGCCAACACCUCCGCCUCCCACAUCUGCAACCUCAACGGCGUCGCCUGCUGGAACCUCAACGAGAACCGCAUCAUCAGCCUCAGCCUCACCGGCUUCGGGGUCUCCGGCGGCCUCCCCGAGUCCCUCAAGAACUGCCACAGCCUCCAGACGCUGGAUCUCUCCCAGAACAAGCUCGACGGCCCCAUCCCCGCCCAAAUCUGCGAGUGGCUGCCUUACCUCGUCAAGCUCGAUCUCUCCUCCAACUCGCUCGCCGGCCCCAUCCCCAGCCAGAUCGGCGACUGUAAGUUCCUCAACAACUUGAUUUUGAACGACAACAAGUUGACCGGCCCCAUUCCUUACGAGGUCGGUCGCCUGGACCGGUUGAAGGUGUUCUCCGUCCGGGGCAAUGAUCUCUCCGGAUCUAUACCGUCGGAGCUGUCCAAAUUCAGUUCCGACGAUUUCUCCGACAACGACGAUCUGUGUGGUAGGCCUCUUGGGUCGUGUGGGGGGUUGAGUAAGAAAAGCCUCGCUAUAAUUAUCGCUGCGGGUGUUCUUGGAGCCGCAGCAUCUUUGUUGCUAGGGUUUGCGCUCUGGUGGUGGUACUUUAGUGGAGCCAGUAGGAAGAAGAGAGGAUACGGCGCUGCUGCUGAUAAGGACGAUAGUAGUUGGAUUGAGUGGUUGAGAGCACACAAGCUUAUUCAGGUGUCUUUGUUUCAGAAGCCCCUUGUGAAGGUCAAAUUAGCUGAUCUUCUUGCUGCCACUAACAGUUUCGAUUCUCGGAACAUCGUGAUUUCCACGAGAACCGGGGUUUUUUAUAAGGCCGUGUUGUCUGAUGGUUCGGCUCUCGCCGUGAAGAGGCUCAGUGCCUGUUCGAUUGGUGAGAAGCAGUUCAAAUUGGAGAUGAACAGAUUGGGGCAGCUUAGGCAUCCCAAUUUGGUGCCUCUUUUGGGUUAUUGUGUUGUCGAGGAUGAAAAGCUUUUGGUGUAUAAGCACAUGCCUGGUGGGACUUUGUUCUCCCAUUUGCACAUGAACGGUCAAGGCACCACUGGUCAGUACAGCUCAUUGGAUUGGCCUUCCAGGCUUAGAAUAGGCGUGGGUGCCGCGAGAGGGCUCGCUUGGCUUCACCAUGGGUGCCAGCCCCCAUAUUUGCUCCAAAGCAUUAGCUCUCAUGCGAUUCUCCUUGAUGAUGAUUUGGAUGCGCGAAUCACUGACUUUGGGUUGGCAAGACUAGUCAAUCCUCGUGAUUCGAAUGACAGCUCAUAUCGCAAUGGAGAUUUGGGUGAGUUUGGUUAUGUGGCUCCUGAGUACUCGAGCACUAUGGUUGCAUCUUUAAAGGGCGAUGUAUAUGGUUUUGGAGUGGUACUCUUGGAAUUGGCUACUGGGCAGAAGCCAUUGGAAAUCUGCAACGUGGAGCAAGUAUUCAAGGGAAAUCUGGUGGAUUGGGUCAAUAAUUUGACUAGCAGUGGUCGAAGCAAGGAUGCAAUUGAUCGAUCUAUCUGUGGGAGAGGACACGAUGAUGAAAUUGUGCAGUUUCUGAAAGUUGCUUGUUCUUGUGUGGUUUCUAGGCCAAAGGAUAGGCCUUCCAUGUAUAAUGUAUAUGAGUCGCUGAGGACCAUUGGUGAGAGACAUGGUUUUUCAGAAGCAGAUGAUGAAUUCCCAUUGAUCUUCAAACAAGAUUCCGACAAUAAAGAGUAGCCUGAAAUCUCCGCAUUUGGGAAUCUUUUCAUCUUAUGCUAUGUUCUGAAUGAUGUCUUUUGCUGGUUUCUACUCCAUGGGGCUAUCCAAUUCUUCUGGCAAUUUUUGGAUAAAUUCUGUAUCAUACAUGAACCAUCAUCUGAUGUAGCAUUCUACAUAGUUUGGGGAAGUAAUGUUUGUCAAUCUGAAAAGGUACUUCCUGUUCUUUGGGUGCUCUGUUGUUCAUUCACUAGGUACCUACCGGUAUACUUUUGAAAUGAUGCCUCUUUAGUGUCUACUCAGCUAUAUUUGUUUGGCCAUAUUGCAAUUCAUGUUUCUUCUCUAGCGCGGAGUUCUUCCGUCCAUUAACUUCCUUUCGUGAACAUGGAAUUUCAGUCUACUUUAGAUCAGUGGAGCAGGUCUGAGUACAUUGCUAUGUACUUCUGAUUCUGAGGUGUUGGGGAUUCUUAAUCCAAUCUGAUGUUGUGUAGGAUUUUCAUGAGAAUCAUUAACUGAUAAAUCUUUCGUUUCUCCUCCCCAGAGAAUCAAUGUGGCGAUAUUAUGGAUUAAAUUGCAACCUUACUUAGAAAUAUUUAUGUUUUUGAAAGUUUUCAAUGGAAGAUAGAGUGAAGGUUCUUCCUUGAAUUCAUUGCUGUGGGAAGAUAAUUUUCUGGAAGCAACCUUUAUCAUGACUGAUUCUCGUCUUAGCUGUGAAGGAUACUCUAGUUUACCUGAAUUGAAGAUGACCACAUGUAUGGCAAGGAAAGUUUGCUAUGGGGAUUUUUCUGCUUAACCAAGUGGUGAAUAAACAUGGCAUCACCGCUUGGCAUUAUGCCAUCGAUGGCACUGUCGCAGCAUGAGACUUCCCAUUAGACUGCAUAUCUCCCGUCGUUUAAACUUUGCUUGCAUGUUGCCUUUGGACAUAGUCUUGCCUAAAUAAACUAAACGGAAAAUUUUCCUGUGUUAACGAGCAAUCCACUAAUUUGUGGAGGCUUAUUAAGGAAAAACAAACUAAAGGAAGAAUAGUUUAGUGCAUAUUUAAGCAUAGAGAAUGGAACGUUGACUGGCUUGCCGAAGAAUAAGAAGCGUGGAAGAUUGACUGUUUAAAGAACGUCAGCUUUUGAAUGAUAGAUAUCUUGGAGCAUUGUUUGAUGGGAAAGGUAAUGGUCGCCUAUGUCGAAGUCUUUUGCCAAAGCUUCCUCCUUUUACUCCAUCGCUAGGACGAAAGCUUUGCUUUUACGUUCGUUAAUCAUUGCUCUCCAAGUCCAGUUAUGUCUGUAACGCUUUUAUCUUUUUUUGAAAUGAUUGUCCUUGAGAUUUCAAUAAUUGUUUUGUAGGAAGUGUCGUUCUGGGGUUGUUGGUCCCAGUCCCAUGUGAUAAUCUUCUUUAGAAACUUAGUAGGCUCGACACACACACGUGGCAGCAACAACAUUUAGUAUAGGAAUCGACGUCUUUGGCGCAGUUCUCUUCAAAGUCUCCAUGGUGUUGUCCAAUCGCCGUAGGGAAUUUAGUAAAACCUCAAUUUAAGGGGGGUUCUUUAAGUUGAAUUAUCCUUAGAUACUCCUCUUCCAGGACUAAUUUCCAGGAUUCGAAGAGCAAUCAGAGUGAAUUAUUCAAUCCUCGUCAAAGCUUUCGUAAAGUUUGGGUAAAGAAUGCCUCGGACACUUUGCGGUCUCCAAACACAUCAACUUUUUCAGUGGUGUAUAUUACUAACGCUUCAUAAAUCGAAUGUUUCAAUAGUAAUCCAUGUACUUUAUUUAGCGACGAUAUUAGUGUUUAAUUAUUCUUCAGUGGGAUUUAAAAGUGCUAUUGUCAUGGUUCCAUCCUGCGUUAAAAAUAGACAUGUCAAGUCAAGUCUUGCUAAUAAAAUGUUAUGAUGCUUGCGUGUCCUAAUCUGUCAGUCCAAUCAAAUUGACCACAUUGAAAGUUUUGGGUCCCGGUUUGAACUCACUCUCUAGUAGACAAGAUUCACCCAUCCUAAAUUAUGAACAGUUUCGGUUAAGUUAUGUUCAUUCUAAUAGUGACAAGAAAUCUGUUUCUAAUGCGAGUGUCCACCUAAAUUAUUCGCUUGCAAAGGUUUCAUCUAAUUACUUCUAAUGAGGUCAUCGAUCUUGACUAUUUCUCCUUAGCUAACCCAAAGAUUGGGAAGAUGGCCCUGACUUCAUGAUUCUGUCUGUGUCGAGGAGCAACCCCCGUUUAAGACUCAGGUACGUAUCUCCUCGCGGGGCUCGUUUUAUUUUGUGGGUCAUAGAGCUCGUCUUCCAGCUCCAUGUUUUGUAAAGGGGUGGGCAUAGACUAAAUUACAUAGGCUUAGACUAUACUGGCCCCCACGAGAACCAAUUUUUUGACUAUUUCAGAUUGAAUUUUCUUCUCGGCGUGAAUUUGGCCUCCCCUCGCCUCCUCUUUAUUCAAUAAAAAAAGCCUCACUCUCAUCCACGUGGGUCCACUUCAAUAAAAGUUAUGAUUGAUCUCGUGGGUCCACUUCAAUAACAAUUAUGAUUUACGUCGUGUUUAAGUAAUCGAUAUUCAUUUAAACCACUGGGUUCCCUUCCAACAUAAAAUGAGAUGGAGGGUUUGAAUCUCCACUUUUUUGGAGGGGUUAAGGUUGAGACGAAUUAAUUUUAAGUGUGGGUUUCAAUUCUCAUGCCUUGCAAUGAGGUAGAACAAAAGUUUAAGAGUGAGAGUUAGAAUAGAAAUAAAGUAGAAUCGAUAAAAAAAAAAUUGAUAUUCAUUUUACGUUUUCAAUUAUGAUAAUAGCAUUACAAGUAUUAUAGUUUUUUAUGAUGUCUACUCGAGUGUCCUUACAUUUUUUUUGAUCACUUGAAUAUCAAUGGUAAAAAAUUGUUCGUUUAAGUGUCUAUUUUGACGAUUCGCCUUAUGGGGCUUUUUAAAAAGAAAUUUAUGUUCAAAGUGGAAAAUUGAACAAAUUUCUAAGUCCAAAUUUUGAGUCCGACGUGCCACACCUGCUCUUAUUCUUCGUGUCUUCGUGCUCAUCUUCUUCGGUAGAGAAUUGGAAUGAGGAGGAAACCAAAACACACAGCUCUCUGUCCCUCUAUUCACUCCCCAUACAAACAUCCGCGAUUUCGCGAUGGCGAUGGAAUGGCCGCGGUGAUGGCAAAGCAAGUCGAGCUUGCAAAGCUUUGCAGCCUCUUGCGAUAAGUCCAAAGCGAAUCCUAGUCCUCGAAUGGCUCGGCUUCGUCGUGUGCAGUCCAAGACAGUUUGCGAAAAACUCAUUCGUCGGUUUGCGUUUGAGUGAGAAUACAAAGCAGUGGACGAACGAGAAGUACCGAGGCCAUACUCCUCUGCUCGAUCAGAGGUUUGAUUCUAGAUUCACAGAUAACGAAAAGAGAGCAAAAUCACUGUUUUCCACUUCCACUUGUCUAUUGCCCUAAAAUAUAUAGAAGGUUAUUUUGCCCAAAAUUAAGAGAAUUAGGGCUUUUGACGAUUUCGGAAUGGGUUUCUGUAUAAAAAGGGGAAUUUUUAAGAAGAAAAGAGGAGCGUUUGAGGCCAAAUGUUUCCCUCUUAAACAAUGAGAAAGCGUGGGAUUCCACAAAGACAUGACCUUAAAUCAGCAAACAUUCGGGCUUCCAUGUCCAUGGCUGCUUUUUCAAGUUUUCUCUGUUUUUUUUUUUUUUUAAUCUAAUAAUAGGGCCAAAAUGAGAUCGUUUUUUGUGAUUUAACCGUACUGGCUAAUUUAAAAUAAAUUAAUGCCAGAUUUUUUGGCCACAAAAAUUGCUGAUGACACUUGUAAUUGAUUUUUUAGUGCUCUUUUUUUUUUUAAAAACAAUUGGAUUGAUUUGAAGAUGGGGGACGAUUGUACCUAAAUUCUCAUCGAUAAAGAGCAUAAGUUUUCAUUUUGUAAGUAAGAAAAAAAAUACAUUAUGGCAUAAAUUCUAGAUCAUCCAUAGAAUUUUUGUCUGGCCUUAAGGUCUUAGUCCCGUACAGUGAUAAAGUCGCACUUUUCCAUUCUAGUCAGUUAUAUUCAAUCGUUAAUGACUUCUGUCCUUUUUACUACAAAAAAAGAAAAAAAAAAUUAGUGGAAAUUUAAAAUACCCUGGAGAAAAUGUUGCACCUCCUUUCUCCUCCAAAUUUUUUAGAUUUUUCUAUGUUAUUCCAAAUAUCUAGAUAUUUUCUCCUAAGAUAUUUUAAGUGGAAAUAUAUGGCUAAUAGAUAGACCAUAUUUAGUAUUCUUUAGAUUUUCCAAAGCUAUUUCUAGAAUAGAUAUUUUCUUGUAAGAUAUUUUAAAGUAAAAAUGUGGGGUGAUAGAUUGGCCACAUCUCUCUAGAAAUAUCUAGGAAGAAGGUACUCACACCUCCUUGUUAGGCCUAUAAAUAGCCAAGUUUGUGCCUCUUCUAUCUUGUGUAAUGUUAUUGGUUUGUUAAAUUUGAAUUUUUCUUCUUGCUUUAACACAAUUCUGGUUAUAUGUACCACUCUUUAUCGGUAAUUUAAGCCUCUCUGUCUUUCCAUAUAAAAACCAAAAUUGCUGACGCCUUCAAUUAUUGACAUGUAGAAAUAUAUAUACACGUUGCUAAAGAAAAGUCAUUAAGAGUCAUGUACUUUUAUGGAUAUAUUGAGUGCCGAAACAAGACUCCAAUACUACUUAUUAAGAAAAGCACAAAACCCUAUUGAAAAAAAACACUUUUUUAUUAGAGGCAAUUUAUACAAUAACGAUUAGGAGAAAUUUUUACGUGCACAAACCCUUGGAGCCAUGCACGCGCACACACAUUUACAUGGCGCCAAGCACACACACAAAUGAGCAUACUUCGGGCCCGUUUGGUUCGGCUUUGGGGAAAUGUCUUUGGCCAAAUGCAAAUAUCUUUAGGAUAAGAGGGUUUUCGGGAAUACUCGACCGUUUGGCAAAUUACGCAUUGGAAAGUUACUAGUGCAAAAAUAUCGUUUGGCAAAACUUAUUCCAAAUGGGCUUUUUGCUUUUAAUUUUUUUUUUUUUAAAUCUGAAAAUCAAAUCCGGCGGUCGGCGGUGUCGGAUGGCCAUAUUUGGCGGUCCAGCCACCUUAGGUAGUGACCUCAGGCGACGCCGUCGCCGCGACCUCAAGCACCUGGAGGUGCAGAGGCUAGAUCUGGCCGUCCGGCGACUAGAUCUGGCCUCCGGACCGCCAGAUCUGGCGGCCUGAGGUCGUAGAGGCCAGAUCUGGCCUUCAGACCGCCAGAUCUGGUGGCCUAAGGUCGCGCGGACCUCAUGCGGUGUUGACUAGUUCCGAGCGAACCAGGCAACGAACCAGUCGACGCCGCCUGAGGUCUGCGCCGCCUGGGUCGCGCGUCGUGGCACCCCCAGACGGUGGUCACCGGCGACGCGCGACUCUCAGGCGGUAGCGGCGGUGGCUGUCGGAAGCCCGAUGGCCGGGAAGAAGAAGAAGAAGACGAGAAGAAGAAAAAUGAUGAACAGUAACCAUGGCAUUUCCCAAAUGUCGAAUGCCCAAUGCUGCCCCUCUCCAGCUUUGAGCAUUCCAAAUGCUCAUAUUUGAGCAAAGGAGCUUCCAAAAAAUUUGCUAACACUAAAUUUUUUUCCCAAGGGACCCAAAGCCUCUUGGAAAUGCCCAACCAAACAGCCCCAAAUUCCAUAUGACUUUCAUCUAUCCAGCAAGCGGUGCCUCCCGUACCCAACAACUGCACCUCUCGAUAUCUACUCCUUGCUCUUCCUGACAAGUCAGAAAGAUUCUGAUGUCCAGGUAAGAAAGUGGAUAACAUGAGCUGUUGUCCUUCCUUUCUCUGCAUCAGCACAUGCUCUUCUGGGGCCACAUCCGAUAUCAUUGCCCAAAGCAACAAGACCAGAGUGCUUCCAAAUCCGAAGACACUGCCAAGAUCUAUGGACCCCUUUCCCACCCAAUCCAUUGAUUCUGAAUUUUUGACUUACUCCUGAAGUGCCAUAUGGUCGAUGGUGCUUGAAUUAAAUUGAUACUCAGUCUGAAAGAGAAAAUCUAGUGACAGUAGGAUUUUCUCAAGGUCUCUUCUUGUAAUAUUAUACGAGUCGCCAUGCAACUAAACAAUGCUUGAAGCUUGACCACGAGUCAUCGAGUACGGAGGCACCAUCAUGAGAAGCUUUCCUACAACUGAUGCAGAACAGGCUAAAUGACCCUUUAAGAAGACUAGAGAAAAGCAUUUCAAUGUCCCCAGAUCAAAGAGAUUUGGAGCCUCAAUUUCCUGUAGGUCAGCAAGGAAAAGGAAUUUCAUUAUUUUAGAACUUUGUGACUUUUAAAACUCAGUAAUAAAACUUAGUAGUAUGGGACGCUAAGGAUGCGUAUGGUAACAUUUUUACUCUCGAGAACAAUUUUUUUUAAAAAUAUUUUUUUCUAUUUUUGUAUUCGAAAAUAGUUUAUAAGUAUUGAAAUGUGUUAAGUAACUAACAAAAUUUCUAUUCUCGAAAGAGAAAUGCAUUUAUUACGACCCUAGAUAUUUUUGUGACUUAGAAUUUCUUUUAAUUUAUUAAUAAUUUUAUUACAUUUUUCUUUUUCUUCUCCUUCCUUAUUUGGUCACGGGCCUUGGCUAUUGCCGGUUUGCAACUAAUCAGAUGAGGGUCGACGAGGUCACUAGCCUCGGGAGAGCCUUGCCACGGCUUGGUGAGGCCGAUCUCAAAGUGAUUAGACGAGGUAGAGCCUCACCAUGACAAGGCUAAGCUUGCCACAAGGCAACUGGUCAAAUAAGGGCCAACGAGGUUGCUGGCCUCGGGAAAGCCUCGCCAUGGCUCGGUAAGGCCAAUCUCACAGUGGUCAAAUGAGGUAGAGCUCAAGGGGCCUUGCCGGUGGCCGACGAGCUCGGGGGGCGAUCUCCCCGGGGGCCGAUGAGGCUCCAGCAAGGUCGCUAAGCCUUGUCCGGCCGAUUGCCGGCCUCAACUAGAGGAAGACAGAGAAAGAAAAGAAAAUGAAGAAAUGAAAAGAAAAGAAAACAAAAGCUCAUUUCUUAAGUUAUUCCUGAAAACAAGAAACAAUUUUUUUUUUGUUCCUUAUUUUUAUUUCAAAUCUAUUCUCGAGAACAAAUUGCUCCCGGAAACAAAAAAAAUAAUGAACAUGUUUCUAUUCUAUUUCUGUUCUGGAGAACCAAAAAACAGAAACAAGUUUUUCCUGCCACGUUACCAAACAUCUUAAUAUAUGAAGCUUCCGUGCAAGCAGAUUCCUUUGCAGUCAAUUCAUAGAAGACGUUUAUCCAGCGAAAAGAAUCCUAAUGGACUUUACUUCGAGCAUGAAGGAAGAAAUGCUCCGAAAUAGUUCAUAAGCAGUGUUACAGACGAAGAACCAAAAACAAUUUCCACUUCACGGCUCAUCCACCCCGCAAAACAAACUUUCAAGAACCUUGUGCCAAUGAUGCUCUCUAUCCGAGUAAACUCAUCACAGCUCUUCGGUCUGCUAAAUUUGAAAAUGGAAAACUUUCAACAGCUUCAAAAAUUUUCUACUCGGGUUGAAGAACGAGAUUAGACCUUAUUAUUGCCACCCCCAUUUUUCGAUGAAUAUACAGGACAAACAAGAACGCCGAUGCCUUCCAUCUGGUUCUUCAAGUUCCUUGAUCUCAACAAAGACAAGCUGCAAGGCGGCAAGACAAGCUCCAAACAGAAGAAUGGCAUUGCUCGUCACUCUGAAGUCUGAUCUUAAAGAUGAAAUUCUUUUUCCAUAAGACAUACCAACAGCAAGAUGGCGUCAAACCUGAAUUACAAGCAGCAAGUACAUUUCUUGAAUCACAAGAAAUAAUCAGGAGUCUUGCGCGUUGUGUCCGGUUCAAUUUGACGUGGUGCUGGUUCAAAUUGAAGGAAAUUCUGAUCCAUAUUCUCUCCAAUCUCAAGAAUUGCAGCCAUAUUUCCACACCGAUAACAAUAAUUGGGAGCACUAAAUACAGUGACCACAUUUUUUUCCUAGCAAGAUGUGAAUGAGCAUAAAGAAUGAGUUAGACAUGAAAUGGCAAUACAUGCUACUAGAAAAGAAAAGAGGAACUCCCUGUUCUAGUUGACAGACCUGACACCAAUUGUAUCCUUCCAUGACAAGCUGAUGGGCUCUCGAUAUCAGAGUGAGACCAUUGGUGUGGUUAAAAUUAGCAGCAAUGUCCUGACCAAAGGUAUAACCAGCACCACGUGGAGAUAUUCCCCAGCCACAGCGAUCGUCUGGAUCAGACCACAAGAGGUCGCACAUUGGUCCUUCAUGAGGAACCUGCACAAUGUACAAUGAAAUUAGGGCAUGCAGUUCAUGCAGUGGGAACUUAUAAUGCAAUGGUCAGACUGAAAUAUGCUAAUUUUGGCGAAAAUGGUUGUCAUGUCAACAAAAUGGCAUCGGAAAGGAAAGAAAUGGAAGGAAAAAGUUCAUUCGAUGUGUAUACAAUGUGACAAAAUGACCUACCAUGAAUAACUAAGCAAAAGUUUUGUGUAUUACAUAUUAAACAAUUAGAAAUUACAUAGGCACAUGUUCUGAAAAUAUAAGCACUGAAUUGGUUAGGUGAUAUCGCAUGAUGUCAAGUGGCAUGUCACCAGACAUUUUUAAAAUCACGACAAUCACCAGCAAGAGCACUAUUUUAUCCAGAGAAGAAAAUCGAUAUUCUAACCAGGGUACAUCUCACUUUAUUGCAAUUUUUGCAACUUUGCAAAAGUUAGGCUAAAAUAUUACUUGUAGACAUUGCUCAAUCCCCCUCUCUUGAGGCAAGUACAUUAACUUUCAGAAACACUGAAUUCAUACUGUCAACCACAUAUCCACAUCUUCUUUUGGACAGCAUGUCAUACAAAAAAUUGUAUAUUUAAAUGUUAAGCAAUUACUUGGAUCCAUACCUCUUGUAUACGGUCCAGGGCUCGGAUAUUGUCUAGUGUAUCCAAAGAGGGUGAUAGACCUCCAUGCAAACAAAAGAUCUAGAACAUGAAAGUGCUAUAGUGAGUAUAUAACAUGUAGGGAGCUCAUGCAGUGAAGUGGGAACAGGUCACUACAAACCUGACUCUCAAUAAGAGCAGUUAGUGGAAGAUAAUCGAACAAGUCGGUGAAAAAUUUCCAGACAUUGGCAUUUCCAUACUUUCUCAAGCAUUCAUCAUAGAAACCAUACCUGAAAUUUAUGAAAAACUUAAGUCAAGAGUAAAGCAGACCUUAAAAGCUUAACCAUACUACGCAUGUUCAUGAAUGUUAAGUGAAUGCCUGUACUGUGUGCAUGCCAAUCCAUUUUGCUUUAUUUUUUGGUUGUGUGUGUGUGUGUGUGUGUGUGAGAGAGAGAGAGAGAGAGAGAGAGAGAGAGAGAGAGAUCCGAGAUUUUCCUCUCAUAAAAGAAUGUUGUAUAUUAGCAUUUCAGCAUUUUCAUUUCUGAAACUAAGUUUUCAUAAAACCCAUUUGUAGAUAGUCCAAACUCCAAAGCCCAUAACUCAUGUAAAGCUAAAUCACUCUUAAAACAAACUCUGAUUUGUGAGAUUUUGGUGGGACUAUUGCCAAUUGUUCUAAAAGCUUAAACUGUUAGAUGAAAGCAUAGUUUAUUUUUUAGAUAUUCUAACACUUAUCCUAAGUGUGGAAAUAUUUAAUGAGGAGACAAAUGGAGCUUGGAAAUAUUCGAACUUAGAAUCUCACUUUGAUACCAUGUGAGAUUUUGAUGGGACCACUAUCAAUUAUUCUAAAAGCUUAAGUUAUUAAAUGAAAGUGUGGUUUAUUAUUUAAUAUUCUAACAUAAUUCAUAUUCCAAGCACCCUACCCUAGUUACCUUCUUUUUAAGUUGCAUAGAAGCGAUAUAUUCCAAUUUUUUGGGCAGUUCAUUUUCAUAUGUCACUUUUCUUAGCUAAUUAUUCAUCGAUUCAAACAGCCAGCUGAAUAGUCAUUGGUUACACUGUUGGACAACAAACAGAAUAACAAUGGAGAUAGAAUAAGAGAGUUUUAGAAUUCAACUAGUACUCUGCUAGUUUUAUAAGGAUCAGAUUAUUUUAUCACACAGAAUGCUAACACAUAUCUUACAUAUGUAAUGGACAAACAAAAAAGGGGAAGAUACAGCAACAAAGAGUGACUGAAAUUUCUGGAGCAAAGAGUCUCACAAAUAAAAUUAGAGACAACAUAAAUCAGCACUAAAGUGGACAUCCUGAAUCAAUGAAAACCAGUAAUCUUGUUAUAUAAAUAUCCAAGAGAAACAUCUUGCUACCAUCUAGCACACCCAUGCCAUGGAUAGUAUAUACAGGACAAGCAUUAUUGUGCAAAACUGACAUUGCUUUCGCAUGACGUAUGGUCUUCGAAAACUAAGAUAAUGCCUUACACUUGUGUUAUUUGCCGACUUUCAUGAUUUCCCCUAAGGAUAGUGAUUCUAUCUCUAUAGCGAACUUUCAAAGCCACUAAAAGCGUAACAGUCUCCACUGAGUAGUACCCCCGAUCUGCAUUUAUGAAACCACAAAUACAGUUAAAUACUUUCUGUACAAUCAUCUACCACCAUAAGUGGCAUCAAUUACAGGUGUCUCGAAGGGAAAUGUUAUAAAAUAUGGAUAAAGCUGGACACCAAGGAUACCAUCCCACAUAGGAUACUCCCAGAGUCGUAACAUAGACAACACGAACAAACCAUGGACAACAAUAACAUGUGAAUGAGGCCUAUAAAAAGUUACUCUGCCAAUAAUAUUCCUCAACAGCCAGUGAAGGCACUUCUUUGGUUGACCUUAUCACUUUGCUAGAAGCAUAUACCCACGCAGAAUACAUCGCAAAAACAAUUUUCAUCCCCACUGCGUUGACUCCGGCUCUAAGUAAAUUGAAGUUGCAACCUUGAUCAACCAUGGAUUCCAAACAGGUGAAUCAUGGCUGUAAUUAGUAACUAAAAUGGUUUCAAGGUACUGAAGUGAGAUCUCACGUCACUAAUUUCCAAUAUGCACAUGACCAAAAGACAAGUUCCUAACACAGCCAGAACACCUAUACCGCCCAACCCCAAUCUUCUGUUUCCAAAAACUGCCAGCAAAAUAAAUUCACCAACAAUGGGAAAGCAUAGCGCGUGGAAUAAAUCCAUAAGGUAAGCAAUAAAGAAAAGUAAGGCUUAGACCCACCGAGAAAACUACUUCCAAUCCAAUUAUGCUUAUGGAAAUUCAAAAACAACCAGACAAUUUUUACAAGGCAAAGAACCGCAAUUUACAAUUUCUGAUCCACGAUGAUUUGAAGAAAUAGUGAUCCUUCAAAUCCUUCAGUGCUAUCAUGCUAAUCGAGUAUCACUACCAGUAUAAAAUAUGUCGUCGCAAUACAGGGUAUUCUAAAGUAUUGGACCGCAAUUAGAGAUGAAUGCCACGGUGGUCUCCAUGCUACCGACACUCCCAACAAAAGUAAAUUUUCUGACCUGCGCAAUGACUCUAACAUACCCACAGACAUUACUCGUUCCGGUCUUUUAACAAUAGAUUCAAAGAUCACACUAGAAACCAAUAAGCGCUGAGCAGGAUCAAGGUUGUCAAACUUCAUAUGCAAAUAACACCCUGCCUGCACAAACAUACUUCGGCAAGCCCUCAAUCUGGCGCUAUGUAAAUGAAUCCAGAAACUUUGAAGAAGAAAAGAAAAUCCAUAAUCAUUCUUCUUUCUUUCCGUCUCUUGUAAACAAAUUAAAAAAAGAAAAAAAAGUAAUUCCACCAUUGUCGUCGAUCAGUAUCACAAAUACAAGCAAAAGAAAAAUUGAAGCAAACAAUCCACCCACCAUGGCAGAGAGCGAUCUUCAGAUCACGCGUCAUCACGCACAACAUAGUUCAACGUACAUAAACUCAAUAAUUCCACAUCCUGGAAACCACAUAGCGCGCAAACGAAGCUAUGUAAACAAACAUAAGCUCAAGACCAGAAGAGGCAGGCGGAACCCAAAAAAAGAAAAAAAGGAAAAAAGAAGAGCUCACCAACAUAAUCUCCCAUAAACAGAUAAUUCGUAUCAGGCGCGUUGCCGCCUAUCCUAAAGAGCUCGAUGAGAUCGUAGAACUGGCCGUGAAUGUCGCCGCAAACCGUGACCGGGCACUUCACCGGCUGCACGUUCCACUCCUCCACGAGGAUCGCCCUCGCCUGAUCGCAGAGCGUCUUCACCUCCGCCUCCGUCAGCGGCUUGCACUCCAUCAGCUGCUCGAUCUGGUGGUCCAGAUCCGCGUGCGACGGCAUAUUUCCCAGGCGCCCCGACCCACCACUCCUCGUCCCUCGUCCCUCGUACCGCUCCCGCAGAUCGCAAAUGGCAGGCGGGGGGCGGAAACAACCGCGCGAUCGUCGACGGGAGGCGGUUUUCUCCCCCCACUCUCACUCGGCUCCCGUCGAAGGGAACGGCUCGCCGGGCGCCGGGAUCGGGAUUCCGAAUCGGAACGAGGCGAGAAGCGGAUCUCCGAGCGAUCGAGCGGGUCGCGAUCUUUCAAUCAUCACUUAGCUCCGCGAAUUCACCUGCGCCUUCCGCCUUCCGCCUUCCGCCUUCCGCCUUCGCAGUUUGGAUGUCGCGCAGAUGUUUCGACCGAUGAAAUUGCAUGUGAGAGAGAGAGAGAGAGAGAGAGAGACCGAAAUGAAAUUCGAAUGCGAAUGCGAAUGAAUGGGGACAAAAAAACCGUCCUUUUGUCUCCCGGUGGCUCCGCCGGGUCAAAUAGGGAAACCGGUGGCGACACGUGUCGAUCCGGGGGAAGACGAUUCAGACAUCCCCCGCGUGGGGGCGGGCGCACCGGAUCCUCCCCCUCUCUCGCUGACCUCGUCGCCCGGGACUAGGAUUGGCUUCGCGAUGUUUGUCCCAACCAUUGAAUCUUUUAGAAUUAAAUCCGGAUGCAUCGGAAGGCGUCGUUUUAUUCGAUCGAGGAAUUAUCAAUGUUGCCGUCGAAUCAUUAAAGUAAAAGACUUUUCAUCCCGCGGGAAAUUUAAGGUGUCUUUCCCUCUUAAGUUCUUGCAUUAAUCUGACACCUGUUCCUUCGAGGUGGAUGGAAUUUUCAAUUAGUCUAGCUUUUCUUCCUUAAUUUUUUUUAACGUUAAUUAGAUUUGCAAAUCUUUUUGGAGUCUUUUAAAAUUGGGUAAGAUUCAGAUUAAUAUAAGUAUCAAGUCCAAACACAUCUAUAGACGUAAACUAAUAAACGGUAGGAAACUCAACUGAAUACAAGUUGAAAUGAUGUUUUACUUUUAUGAUUAUUGAGAUGAUCUGCUAAAAUAUAUUAAUGUGAAGUUGUUGUAAUAUUUAUAAAGACAAAAAGGUGCAAAGGAAAUAGCAAAAUGACGACCCACUUCCAUUAAAAAUCACCAACAUUAGAGUAAGUCACGAUUCUAUUUCAAACUUUUUUUAAUUCCAUAAAUAGACACUCGCUUUCAUUGUGUAUCUCAUUGUUAUUUCCUCCCUUUUUUCUUUAUUCUUUUUUUUUUCCUUUUUGCUUUAUUCUUCUUCUUUUCACCUCCGGAAACAAUUAUAACACUGUGGACAACAUCCAAAGCACCACCACCUUACUGCCGUCCCAGUCCUCCGUCCUUCACCGCCUCGCUGCCAUCCACGACCACCAUCCUUUUAUUCCCCUUUGGCACAAAAUCAGAUUUGAGUAUCGUCAAAUCUGAAGUCGCAACCUCCCUUGAUGGAGGUUGCCACCCGCGACUAAGGUGCGCGGCCUCAAAUUUGAGGUCAUGCAACUAAGAUAUGAGGUUGCGCGACUCAAAUUUGAAGUUGCGUAAUCUAAAUUUGUGCUCGAGCAUUGCCAUUAAUGGAGUUUGAAUGAUUGGUCAUGACAUCCACCGGAAGACCGACGAUGAAGAUACAGAGGAACCCAUUCACACUAGGAACCCAGACCGAUGCUUGAAGCUUCUUCUUCCCUCCAAGACUUGAUGCCAUUAUCCAGAGUACAAGAUUCCAAAAAUGUAUCCCAUGGGAUAAACAUAAGCCACAGGAGCUAAGAAGAAAGGAAAUAAAAAAAAGAUGAGUUUUCUUUCGAAAAUGUAUAAUUUGGCUGAAAUCUCAUCUCAUUAAUGACACAUGGAGGGAGAGAGUGAGAAAGAUGUACACGUGGAAUUGACAGGUCAGACAUUUAACACAAAAAGUGGUUUUAAAUUGAUGGAGGAUGGAUUUGGGUACUAAGUGAAAAUUGAUGAAUUUUUACGAGCGAAAAAAAAAAGUUCAUAUUAGAAUUAGGACUUUAUCUAUAUUUUGUGGGUUUUAGGAGAAAUUAUGUUGGGAAUGAUAAUGAAAAGGUUUUCUAAAAUUUAGGCAAUAAUGUAAUUAUGAAAAUAUACUAAUAGCACCGAAGCACUGAUUUCACUUUUAUGGAAAGUUGAUAGAUUAGGUUGAAUAAAUUGAAAAUUUAGAUAUCACGUUGAAUAUUUAGGAAUAAUUUAAGAAUUACAUUAAAUGAAUCUAAAGUUCAAAAAUGGCAUUGAAUUAAAGUUUAUGGAGUAUUAAUGUCAAUCUUUAUUACCCCAGAUAUCACCUCGAUAGCCUGACCUAAACAAUGAUGAGAGCAAUGCUAGAAGGAAUGGGGCUAUGGCCACCGGUUGAACUUCAGCUAAGUCAGCUGGAGACAGAGUCACCAACUGGUUGGCCACGGGAUCAUGUGUUUCGGAGGCCUCUUCGGAGCAAACCAGUAACAGAAGAAUCAAGCUCCUCCUGUUCGACACCUCAACGUGAUCAAUGAUGGUUGAAUAUCGGCUCAAGAUAUGUUGGUAGCCGUCAUGGACAGGACACUCUCGUGAGAAGGUGUCCGCCACAAUGCCAUCGGCGGCUAGGCCUGUGGAUGCUGCAAGGUACGCAAGGGUGAUAGACAUCGUGCCUUCUAGAAACAUAAAGAAGUUGAAACACUUGUCCUGUAGCACCACCGAAAAAGUACAGAGGAGGUGGUUGUGGAAGUCUUGUUUCUCUGUCGACAGGCGGAUGGGAUGGAUUCUCAGCUUCUCCCGAACUGAACCCUCUUGCCUUAUCAGGCAUGCGACCCACCUUGAAUUUUGAUUAUCAGCAGAAACCCAACACCGAGGAACCGAUUUGCUCCACCCUGACAAAUCACCCAUCUUUUCAGGCGACAUUGUCGGGGAAGCUUUGUGGUUUUCGGAAUACUUCUCUUUAAGGGUGUCCUUCACUCCUGUACAGUCCGGGUUAAAAACAGGCCCUGUUACGUCAUUGUCAAUCUUCUAUCAGAUUGUUGAACAGUGAACUACUUGAAAUUCUCGACCUCGAUCUGAUACAACAUGUUUCUUGCUUUCAACGGGUUGGCCAUCGCUCUUAUUAGAACCUAUCCUUGACGAGCUUCACAAAAGUAACGUCACGUGUGCUUACAACCACUGAUUUAAAGAUUCCAAAUGAAGAGACGAGCAAUUAGGGAGGGAGGGAGGCAAUGAGAGAGAGAGAGAGAGAGAGAGAUCAAAGUGCUCGAAUUGAAAAAGUAGAGACUUCACGGCUUAAGUACGUUUUUAUCUAAAUGGAGAUGCUGUUACUUUCUGGCCCAUUACUGAGCCAGCGUGGGGUCAAAAUAAGGGGGCACAUGUUGACAUUAGGCCCAAAAUGUGGGCCCAAAUCUAAGAGAAGUUAAUGGCCUAAAUUGGGAUAUGACAAUAUACUUAAAUUACGUUUGGUCAUCCAGAUAAAAUAAGGUUGGAUUAUAAAUCCUCCAAAUAUUCUUUAGAUUGUAGAAAAUCUGAUCCAAGAUAGGAUAAAUUUUUUUUUUUAAUGAAAAUCUCACUUGCCUAGUACAAUCUCUUGUCUAGAUCUCACUGCUUCAUUGCUUGAGUUCCCUCACUGAUAUUUGAAACCCGCUCUUUCUAGCUCCCUUCGGUUUGUCUCCUUCCUUGCCAAUUUCACUAGAUCCACGGCCAUCUCACCCUCUGGCCUGAUUUUUUUUUUAUCUAGCACUUUAUUCAGGUAUAUCCGAUUUUAUCUAAUUUAGGGAACGUUGCCAAAUAUUGAAUAAGAUAUUUUGUUAUCCUAUCCGAACUACUAGAUGUAGCCUUAACUCAUAAGACUAACUCAAUAGCAUGCUUAAUAAGUUCAUUAUGUCAUAACAAUACGAUUGGCUCAAAAAGCACUUUGAUGGAAUGUCUAACAAGCUCAUCGAUGAUGAGUGUUUAAUGGAUAGAGUUCAAGGGAAGUUCAUGACGUGUGAUGCCAAUCAAUUGACUUGAAAUAUAUCAAGAAGUUGAAAACUAAGUCAAGAAUGAUUUAUCGACCAAGGAAUGGUUAUACUUAAAGGAUUGGGAGUGGUUGCAAAUUAUUCGUAAAGCAUUGCAAGUCAAGAGGCAAUUAGUGAAUUUUGUUGAAGAAGAUUGUGCAUAACAAAAUUGCAUGCAUGAUGGAUAAAAGGACGCACCUCUCAUUGCACAUUCUACAGUCACAAAACAUCAACCAAGGCAUCAAGAAUCGUGAGAAGGGCUUGUCAAAUUAGAGAUGCAUGAUGGAUAAAAGGACGCACCUCUCAUUGCACAUUCUACAGUCACAAAACAUCAACCAAGGCAUCAAGAAUCGUGAGAAGGGCUUGUCAAAUUAGAGGUGAGUAAUUCCAAAUUCCAUAUAAGUUUUACCUAGAACUUGAAAUCUAUUUGUCAGAACAUGUUUCUCGUUUUUUAGAACCUGAAACCCACCAUGUCAAGGUUUUGAAGUUGGUUUUAGGGUCUACCCACUUUCUAUUUAUAUUAUCAAUUGAACGAUUGCAGUAAAUCAUCACCUUUAAUAAUCACUACUUGCCAUUACAAUUUACUAAUCAUAACUUUUAUUUAAACACACAAAAGAUAUAAAGUAUUAACAAAGUAAAAGUCUCAAUCAUAAAAAUGGAAAUUCAGACCAGAGGUUUCAGAUUAUACAUUUAUCAUCGAAUAUCAUAAAAUACUGUAGGAUCGUAAUAAGACAUAGACUAAGAAAAACACAAAAAUUUAUUCUAGUUCUAAGUUACAGGUUUUAAGUUCCAUUAACCUAGAACUUGGAAUCUACCAAUUAAAAUAGGUUUCCCAAUUUUUGGAAUCUGGAAUCCAGUAAAUCUUGGAACCUAGAACUGAAUAUGUUCUCAUUAGUCCAGUUUUCAAAUUCCAAGUUCUACCUUGAAACCAUACUCACCCCUAUGUUAAAGUUUGAAGAAAAUCAUUUGGAUUAGAUUUCACCAAAGUUUGAAUGUUCAAUUUGAAUUAAAUUAAGUUUCCUAAUUUCAGUAUUGUACUUGUCUUUGAUUAUAAAAACUUUAAAGUAGUGUCUGCCUUUUACUUUUCCUAUGCACUUAAUCGAUUUCUUUUAAAAAGCUUAUAUCCAAUCUUAGUCAUCGAGCAAACAUGCUAUCCAAAACUGUAAGCCAUCUCUGAUUUAGUAAAGUCUUUUUGUCCACGAAUUAUAUUUAUAAUUCAAAUUUUACGAAGUCCUUGAAAUUUCAAGGCACAUUAUAAUCCACUUGCUUUUGAUUUAAAGCCAAAUUUGAUGCUUUAACAACUUGACAAAAAUACACGUGACACGUACAUAGAGAUUUUUUUUAGGACUCUAGUAUACUUUUCCACCUUCCCUUUUUAAAUUUUGAAUGUUCAAAUUUAUAAUUCUGGGGCUUUCUUUGAUGUCAUCCGGUGGUAGGGUUGGAAAUAUAAUGGGGAGUCAAAGUCUUAAAAAGGAGGUCAAAUAUACAACGCAUCUCAGUAUUUUUAGGUGUGUAGUGGGGUCGAUUGAAACCGGGUCAAAUAAGGACGCUCCCCCACUAAUCUUGGAUGGGACCACAUUGCAUGGUCACCCCAAGUUUUAAGAAUAGAGCUGUUUACCAUCACACGAAAGCCAAAUCUCAAAGACGAAAGACGCCCACCACCCAAAAACUUCCCCAAUUCAUCUAAAAACGCAGCCCCAAUUUUUUUGACAAGGAUCUAGUACAUGCUUGUCUUUCGUUGGUUGCGACAAGAGCACGUUCUCCCUUUUCUUUUGUCCUUUUCGGAAGCUGUCCCAAUUCGAACCUCGCUUGCUUCAGACUCAAAACUUUGCUUCUCAGCUCAACCCCAAUUCAACAAGCAAAGAGAAAAGGAAAAGACACAGAGAGGUUGGGUAGAGAGCCCGCCCACUACUUUUGUGCCCACUUUCAAAGUGUGAUCUUGUGCUAUCGCGCGCUCCCUUUUUUCUUCUUUUAAACGUUUGACCAAUCAUAUGCAUAAAUAAGAUAAUUGGUUAAUUAUGUGGUUCAUGAGAUGUUAAGAGUCCGUUUGCUUGAUAGAACAUUGUUCCGGACAAUUGUUGUCCAACUUCUCGGUGUUUGGAUGAAGGUAAAACAAUCGAUUUACAAAAAUUAUUUUUCAUUAACUGAAAACGAUAAAUUUAGAUUGGAGGAAAACGACUUUCCUUUCUAGUAAAAAAGGAAUUACUUUCCAUAAACUACUAAAUAAAUGAAAUCUAAGAAAAAUGGUUUUUUUGGAAAUUAUUUUCUUUUACCAUGAACGUUUUCAAUGAAAGGAACGUCUCCUAAAUUGCUAUAGUUAAUCCACGUGGAGGGUCCAAGGAGUAACGAGAUGUGUAUAGUUUGCAUUCUAAAUUAAAAAGAUUGCAGUCGUUCCAUGAACCCGAGAUGCAAAGGCUUUCUACCGAUCAUGCGUGCCCCUUUAAUGUUUUAUGGUGGGUUCGCUUUUAUUUUGCGCACUUCCUUUUUUUUCCCCUCCCUUUGAUAAAAGAAUUCUGUGUACUUAUACUGAUGCCACCUCCUUUUGACCAGCAGAAUCAGCAUCUGAGAACAGACAAUUUACGGACAACAACCAGCGCGUGUGGGAGACUGUUGGCCGCUAAACAUUCAUGACAAGACAGCCCCCAAAACAUUAGCCGGCCACUCAUUAAGCAUUUCAAAUAAGGAAAUGUUUGAUUUUCAAAGUAUCGCUGAGGAAAGAUCGUCUGGUACUUGAUUGCUUUACAAGGGCCCUUUUCGACGACACUCUAUUUCGAUAAACAGGACAAAUCCGAUGUACAUCGGACCUGUAAUCAGGCAAGAAAAUACGGAAGAUAAUUUAAAGUAGGGUUUCGUCUGAUGAGUUGCCCUGGAUGAUUUAUCUUUGGAUUCUGGAGAGCAUAUUUUGUGCGACACAAGCUUCCAAUAUUCUUCGACUUCCCCCUAGUGCUAGCCACGAAGAAUACAAUGCUUUCCGGAAGAGAAUAUACGGCGGGCAAUCAAUCAAGCAGCAAAACAUUUGGUACUGGAGUGUUCUCAAACUUUUCUAAUUAACUUUAAUUACAAUCCCAUGUCUAGACGAACUUAAGCAAUCCUGCACACACAUUUCUGUCCGUCUCUUUCUCUCUCUCUCUCUCUCUCUCUCGAUACCUAUGCUUGACCCGGAGGUUGUUUUGAGUUCCCAGAUCUCCUGAAACCAAAGGAAAAACACAUAAAUUUAAAGCCACGCAUUAUUUUUUUAUAAGUGAUAAAAAGCAAUGAAUGUGCUUUGGUUCUCUUGGUUGUUCUCUCUAGGGUUUUUUUUUUUUUUCAAUUACCCUUUAUGUUGUGAAUAAAAGUGCCAGCUUCCAAUAUAUUAGACCACGAUUUUCAAUGGCAUGUUUGAAGAUGCUGCAUGUGUGUUCUAAAGGGACGGGAAAGUGAAGACCAAAAGAAACAAUUAAAGCUUCAAAAGGUUGCAUGUACUCUGGACAUAUCUAUAUUUACGUAAAGCUUUAGAUAAGCAUUGAAAUUGAAUAAAGCAAGAGAACAUCUUCCCUUUUGAUGGCAGGCACAUAUUAGAUUUAGCUCCUUUGUUAGAGCAUUAAGUAAAUAGCUGACACAAUAGUUUCUUUUUUCUCUAUGCAAUGAGAGGGAAGGGUACUUAUUCUGUAGGCACUUGACGAAAAUGCACCCAAUAUAACAGACUGUCAAAUCGUGUGAGACGUGAAAGAUUCAUGAUUGAGUAUACGGGUUCUCACUAUGAGUGCACACGUAUAUAAUGUCUUACAUGCAAGUGUUUUCAUCUAUCUCUUAGAGAAAUCAAAAGAUGAAAGAUUAUAGAAUUGGGAUAUAUUUAAAUUGUUGAAUUAAGCAGACCUUUUGUUUUGUUAGUUACCGUUGAUCGUAUUUUCAAGGAAAAGACAUUCAAAGUAUAAAAUUUCAUCAAAGGGACAUGAUUGUGAGAUAUUAUGUCCUUAUUUGGUUUAUGAAAUAAAUUUUGACAUUGGCAUAUGCUGUAAUGAAAUGAAUAGAAUGGGAAUACUUUAUAUAUAAAGGGAAAAGUUGAUUUUUUUUAUAACUGGACAUCCAUAUGAAUCACUCUGAAGAUGAUAAUAUAGUUAUUCUUAGCUGUCUAAAACUUUCGCAAAAGCAACUGUUUCGUAGGGGAGAAAACUUUAGCAAAAGAGAAAUUCACUAUGCAUGGAGCAAGAAGCACUGACACAAACCUUCGGGCUAUAACUCUAUAUUAAAAACAUAAGAGAAUCACGUUAGCUCUUUUCUAAAGCCCACAGCAAACCUCGAGCCUAUUAAAUACCGCUGGCUCAAAAUCACUAAUCAUGUCAAAUUUUAUGAACAUUGCGUAGAAAUGCACUCAUCACAUCACAAACACGGCUUCAAGUUUUCAUGAAUCCAAUAAAAUAUAUCUCCUGUCCUUUCUGUAAAAGAGAGAAAAAACUUCAUGUACGGUACCUGUUAUGAAUAGGAUCAGAUCCAUUAGGAACUCUCCUCUUGCUCAUGUAGUAGAGAUCUGACCGCGGACGGAAAACAAGCUUCUUCUCUCUAUCAAUCAACUCAGAGUUCCUCGCCUUCCCCUUCGACCACUCCUUCAAGGGCGGGGUUGGUGGUGCUCCUCUACCGCCAGCUGCUUCCGCCAUCGCAAACACCAAAAGCCAAACGAGACUCAGAGCUGCUAGUGCUCUGAGUAGGAACUUUGCGGAUAGAGGACAAUUCUUACCCAUGGGAUAUGCUCCUUAUAUAGUCCUCUAUACACAGGUUUCCACUCUCUCUCUUUUUUUUUUUUUUUUUCCCUUUUCCUACAAAGAAAAAUGCUUAGAUUUCUAGGAUGACUAAGACGAACGACGAAAUAUGGCAGAACUCAACACCAUCAUUGCACAAUGAUUGCCAUGCAUGAAAGAGAAAAGAAGACAGAGAGUGAGAGAGAGAGAGAGAGAGAGAGAGAGAGAGAGAGGAGUGCCCGGGGGGGGGGUGGGGGGUUUGGGGAGUGGGCUAAGGCAAGAAUUCUAUUUUUUGGGUGAUGGAAGUCUUCCCUAAUUUACUUCGUGGGCUACGGAUGGUUUGUUUUCUUUAUAGGUUGAAGCGAUUCUAUUGCGCUUUCUCGAAGAGAGAGAGAGAGAGAGUGGGCAGGCUUAGCUGGCUUCUUUGGUGACAUGAAAAGGGACCUAAGUUUGCUUUAUACUGGUGAAUUUUAAUACGACACUGCUUUUAAGCUUCCAUUUGAGUUUUUUCAUGCACAUGCACCCACAAUGCCCGAAGAGCCUUGGUGCCUCUCCCUCCCCAUCCCAUUCUACGUUACGAAUAAAAGCAAAGAUAUUUGGAACGACAAUUGGCUCCUCUCGUAUCUCCUGCGCUCACGUGGCAAUCUGUUUUUAAAAGGAUUCACAUACAAUUACCUAUGACAGAGCACCGAGGGGUACACGUGACUAUGUGAGUUGUGUUAGAGGAUUCCGAUAUUGAAAAUUUAGAGUGCAUUUGGUUCAAUUUUCUCAAGGGGCAUUCAAUCAAUGCCGGGGUGUUAGACAAAUUUUACGUAGGGACUUUCAGCCAAAUGCCAGCCCUGGGAAAAUUGAAAAUCCAAUACUAGUAGGGACUAACAUUGAGCCUUCAGUAUUUAACCAAAUGGUAAAAAUUAGAUUUUUUUCUUUCAAAACUACUCUCACCAAUUUGUUAGUUUUUUGAUUUCGCCCAUUUGUACAACUAUUAAUUUUUUUUGAGCGACGGCAACUGGUGAAGCCAAAUUUGGCUAGAGAAGGGUUGGUGAGGGUCACUCGACCCGGUGACCCCUGCCAAAGGUUGCACAACCUUGGGCGACCAUUGCCUGGGUCUCGCGACCUUAGGUGGCCUCACUUGGGUCUUGCAUGAUCCUAACAACCUAGGCGGUGGUCGCUUGGGUUGCAUGCCGCCUAGGUUGUGCCACACUCCUCAGGCGACCUCAACUAAUGGCCAUUGGCAUCAGACUUGGCUUGUCGGUGGCCAUAGCUCUUCGUUAGUUCCGAUGAAAGGUUUAGGUUUUUAUUUUUUAAUAAAAAAAUAUAAAAACAAUUGCCAAAACUCAUUGCAAAAGGUUUUUUUUUGCCAAAUACUCCUUGAUCAGUGGCGCUCCAAUGUGGAUCGAUAUUUGACUUAAAUAUCUUCCCUCGAAGGAUUUUGACUUUCAGAAUUUACAUUACACCCAAAGUUCAUUUGCAAACCUGAACCAAAUGCACCUUUAGUAUGUACGAAGCAGUUUGGAUACCUUAAUUAGUCCAUACUACGUUAGUUUAAGUUUUUAAUGAAGUAGUAUCUAACUAGAUAUGUUCUUAGGUUAGGACUUACGAUCUCUCUCACAAAUCUUCUCAAGUGCAGGUAUUGGAAUUCUGCUGCAACUUUCGAGCCCAAACAAGCGGUAUCCAAACCUUGAUCAGUGGCGCUCCAAUGUGGAUCGAUAUUUGACUUAAAUAUCUCAAAAACGAUAUAUCAUGACCAACAUAGAUUUUGGUGAAAAUUUUCAUCUCGAUGUGUUUGGCAAAAAGAGACUAUGGGUGAAGGCAGGUAUCGAGGUAGAGCAAUUUUAUUCCAUGUACAACAAUGAUGUUUGUUCGGAAGCUAUCCCGUAACAAAGGUGGAGAUGCAAGUGUGAGAUUGUUUGAGGUAUACAUUUAAAUUAUGCGUCGGAGAACUCUCACAUAAGAAAUUUAGUGUUAUGUGAAAUAGUCAUUUUAUCUGAAAUAUUUAAAAAUCAUCGACUUAUACUUCUUAGUGAAAAUGAAAUUAGACAUAUUGAUGGGAUCAAAUUUAGACUCUUUUCUAAAGAUCUCCUCUAAAAGGGUAUAGGACUUCUGCUACGAGUCCUAACAUAGGGAUUGCACUAUUUGGUUUCUAUUUAAAUCCCAAACGCCUUUCUUCAUCAAAUAUGUAAGCUGAUAUUGGUUUUACCAGUUAGGUCAAAUUGGGUUAGUACAACCCUAAUAUGACCCGAACUACCCAAAUUGCUUCAUUAAGAUGUUAAAUAGCUAUGAUGGAUUUUAUUAAUGGGAUUGAUGUGCGUACUGGGGAUGCAUAAACAAAACAGAAAUAUUUAGGGAAAUGUUAAUAAAAUUACGAAAUUGAUUCCUUUUUUUGGGCUAAUUUACGAAAAACUCCAAGAUAUAUUAUCCAAUACUAUACCUACAAAUAUGAUCUAAUAUAAAUAAUUUAUUGCAUACCAAUAUUCAUUCACAUAACAUAUUAAUUGGCAAGGAUGUACCAAAUUAAGCGCUCAAGCCAAAUAGGUUAAUGUAGGUCAAAUCAAUAAUCCUAGCAACAAGAUCUUGACAAAUUCAAUUAAAUAGAACAUACAUGUAAUUUUCAGGUGACAUUAGUUUCACCUUUAUAUGGCCCAAUUUAUAAAUCAACUCAAAUGUAUCGUGACAAGAUUAUGACACGAAACACGAGUAACAUAAAUUUGAAUCCACUAGACUUCCACUCGAGUCAUGUUUUCAUAUCAUGACAGAAAUAGAUACUCACAAGUUUAAUUAACCUCCUCUGGUCCACUUUAUGCCUUAAUCACUUGGACCACCCUUAGUUGGACCGCAAAAAAUUAUACUCUCCCAAAAAUGGGGAUAUGUGAUCUUUAGGAAUAUGAUCACCCAACACAUAUAGAUAUAGAUGUACAUGAAUAUGAAUUAGAAGCUGGUUCCACCUUUAGAUGGUUGAGGACCUUUUGAUUGGGGAAUAUUGUCACUCCUUACUUCGAUGGUUAAAGCAUAUGGCCCAUUUUUUUUGUCUUAUCCAUUCUCUGCAUGCAUGUUGGAGUUAUAAUCAAUAUGCUGGCAAGAAUCCAAUGCUUGUCACUAGGAAUGGCUUCUCCUAGAAGGAUGAUAUAACUAAGUACAGUAUCCUACAACAUUUUUUCUUUUUUCUUUUGAUUUGGGUCAGCGGCCGUAAAAAGUGCCGAUGGUUCCAAGAUUAUAUAAUCGUUGAGAACCUGAGAUUUGACAUGCAUCAGAAUGCAACUUUGGGUGUCCAAGGAAUAGAACCUGAAUGACCAAGAAAAAAAGAAGGAAUAGAACCUGCCUUGGUUCCUCAAUUAUGAAUUCCCUUUUGUUACCUAGGCUACGUUUGGUAACGUUUCUGUUCAAAAAUUGUUCCAGAAAUAGAAAUAGAAAAAACUAUUUCUGUUCUAGGGAACAAUUUUUGAACAGAAGAACGCGUUUGGUAAACUUGUAUAUUUUUUUUUGUUUCUUUUAAUUUUUUAAUAUUUUGAUUUUGUUAUUCAUUUUUUCUUUUUUCUUUUUCUCUUUGGCCGGUCGCCGACCACCGCCGUGGUGGGCGACCGGCUAGGCGACACCUGACGAGCUCGCUGGAAGCCAGCUUUGCCCUGGCGAGCCUCACCAAGCCUCGCCCUGGCUUGGUGAGGCUCCGACGAGCUCGCCGGUGGCCUGGCGAGAUCGUUGCUGGCCAGGUGAGCCAUGCCAAGCCACCGGUGAGGCUCGGCCUUGCCCAGGUGGCGGCGUGAGGUCGGCCUCGCCCUAGCCUAGCGAGGCCCAGCCUCACGCCGUCGGCCGGGGAGGCCGACCUCGCCCAGGCACCGGCGAGGCUCGGUCUCGCUAGAUCUGGGUGAGCUCAAGCUCACCUAGCCAAGGCGAGGCCGACCUCACGCCGGCACUUGCCCAGAUCUGGCGAGGUUGCCGGCCCUCGACGGCUGGUCGUUGGCCAUGGCCGAGGUCGGCGAUCGGCCAAAGAAAAAAGAAAAAAGAAGAAGAAAAAAGAGAAAAAAAGAGAAAUAAGUUUUGUAUUUUUGUUCUUUUGUUUCUUCAAAAAGUGUUAUUGGGAACAAAUAACAAGUUUUUCUUGUUUCUUGUUUCUGUUAUCGGGAACAAAAGUGUAAAUAAAUGCGUUUCUGUUCUUUUUUUGUCCCCCGGAACAAAAGAAUAGAAAUUGUGUUUCGGGGAACAAAAAAAGAACACAAACAAACAGGCUCCUAGUAAAUGUCGAGAAAUUUAUUUACACAAAUGUGUAUUGUGAUUUCAAGACACGCAUUGUUCAUGUCAAUUCAUGUUAUUGUAAAACAUUAUAAUUUUGGUAAUGUAUUGGACAAUAUUAUGAAAUCAUGAUCAUAAUUUUGGUAAUGUAUUGGACAAUAUUAUGAAAUCAUGAUCAACUAUUUUAAAUAGCUUAAACAUUAAUUGUGAGGCAAGGCAAGAGUAGCAUUAUUGGGUAGACAAACAAGGAGGGCGUGUAGGCUAGAGUAGCAUUAUUGGGUAGACAAACAAGGAGGCCGGAAAAAUUGAACUCAAAAACUCCACUUUCAUUCCAUAUCAACUUAUGUGGGAUCACAACUAAACAUUCUAAAAAAUUAAGUUGUAAAUUAUUCAAUUUUCUUAACAUACACACCAAAAUAAUUGAACUAUAAUAAUAAAAAAAAACGUGUCAAUUCGUGUCAUCAUAUGCAAUUAAGCAUAUUUAUAUAAGGGUUUUCUUGUAAUCUAUAUUUCUUCUUGUGUCAUGUUUAUAUCGUGAAAACAGGUCGUGCCCAAUGUUCCCGAUUAUGAUCCUCAAUGUCCGAGGUGUCCCGCAGAUGAUAUAUCAAUAGGGUACACAAAUCUGCAUGAUGAUGGUUCCAAACAUAUAAAGUCAUCAGCAGAUCAGAUCUCACAAGAAACAUAUGGAAUAUCACGUAGCUUGAUAAGAUCAUGUCCUUUUCUAGCCCCCCUAAAAAAAUGAAGAAUUUACCAUUCGAAGUAUGAGGCUUCUAACAAUUUUACUAUUCACAUUAAAUAUUUUUUUUUAGGUGACCCAGGAUCCGCCAGGUCCGACUUUUGCUUACGCUAAUCGCCAACCCACGGCCCGUACAAUGCAUGAUGCACCUUGGACCAAGCGUCAAUACUUGGGGGGAAAGCUAGCAUAGGACCCCACCAUCAUGGCCCCCCACUUAAGAUGUGUUAGCAGUUGCAGAGUUUUGACCUUGGGACCUCUGCGAUGAAGUGCCCAAAGCCGAACUAACUCAAUUGCCCACCAGUGGGUUGUUCACGUUAAACAUUUAUACAAUAAGAAGCACGCAAAAGGAUAUGUACAUACUUAGUUUGUAAUUCAGUGAUUGAAGUGAUGGGUUAACUAAAUAUGAGGAUAAUUAUAAAAAAAAAGUCAAAAACUUAUCAUAUGGUAAUCAAUUCAGUCCUAACUAUUUCAAUUGUCCAAUUUAGUUAUAAACUUUUUGAUAAUUUGUCAGCAAAUAUUGGCUAGAAAUCGUUCAUGUGGAUGUUGGCCAUUUUACAUAGUACGAUUAGUGUUGACAUGAAUAAUUUUUGUAACUUUUAAUUAUGAUUUUUUUUAUUCUUUAUUUUUUUCUAACUUUGACUCAGCAGGGAUUUGUUCUUUCUUUUUUCCAAAUUUGUGCCUGUGAAAGAAAUGAAAAGGAAAUAAAGGAAAUAAAUUUAAAAAUUUAAAAUAAUUGUAAAAACUGUUCACAUCAACACCGGUCAUGCCAUAUAGGUCGGUUGAUAUCCAUGUCGAUGAUUUCCAGUCAAAAUUGACUGAAAGGAUUAUACUGACAAAUUGUCAAAAUAUUUAUGAAUAAAUUAGCCAAAUGGAAUUGAACAAAAGAAAAAAAAAGUCAAAUUGUAAAGUUUAAGACUAAAUUGAUCGCCGUGACAUAUGUUUAGAAUUUUUUUGGUAAUUUUCUCACUAAAAAUGUUAAUGAGCUUUGGGCACUCGUCUCGUAAUCUUGGCAUGGACUACUACUAUAUUUCCUAACAAGUGGUAUCAAAUGUGAUAGAUUGGGCCCACAAUUUCUAUGGAUGUCCGAUGAAUAUCUAGAGAAAGAAAUCACCAGAUACGCAUAAGCAUGUUUCCCACUCGCUGAGAUUGUUAAACCAUCGGUGCUUAAUAAAAGAGUGGAUUGCUGGAUGCUUCAUUACCAAAGGUACAUGUGUGAGAAUUUUGGUUAACAUCGAAUCUCCCAAAUGCUAUUUGAAGUGUAAAGAAAACUAAUAUAUCUAGGUUGCUUGCUCGAUAGCUUAGACCUCUGAGCGAAGUUCCCGUAUGCUAUUUGAAGUGUAAAGAAAACUAAUAUAUCUAGGUUGCUUGCUCGAUAUCUUAGACCUUCUAGCGAAGUUCGGUUUAACUAGAUAUAAUAAAAAGCAAAUGACACUAGGCUCUUUUUGAGUGAUCUUUUCAACCGUGAGGUCGUGUCUAACUUAGUGGUGUUGAAGCGGACAUUAUCAUGGGUGGAUUGGAGUCGAUAGGCCUCAGGUGCGAAAAUUGUCCAAGAAGUCCAAAUAUAUUACAUUUUUGUCAAUUUAGUUUUAAAUUUUUAAAUUUUGUCAAUUGUUAAUUAAAUCCACUUGGUCAAUUUUAGCCAAAAAUUGCUUAAGUGGAUGCAUGCUAUUCUACGUGGCAUGGCUGGCGUUAGCAUUAACAAUUUUUAUAAUUUUUUUCAUAAGCAUGUUUAUUUAUUUUCUUUUUUUCUUCCGACCUCGGCGGGGGUUGACUGCCGGUCAUAGGCGACGCCCAGCCAACCCUUGCCUAGUGAUUGAUGAGGGUUGAGUGGACUUGGUAGAAAAAGGAAAAAAAGGAAGAAAAAGAAAAAAGAAAAAAAUUAUAAAAAAUUGUGUACAUCAAUGCCGGCCAUUUACAGGCCACUACCAGUGUCUACGUCAAUGAUUUUCGACUAAAAUUAACCUGAUGAAUUCAAUUAAUAAAACGUGAAAUUUUUUAGAACUCAAUUGGUAUAAUUAAAAUGUUUUGGGCUGAAUUGUUGAAAAUACAAUAGGUUUAUGAUUUUUUGGAUAAUUUUCCCGACAAUAUGUGUCCCCAACGAAUAUCUUAAGGUGUGCUUUUCCUAGAUCACGGUGGUUACCAGAUGAGGAUUACCAUUUCGAUGAAUGGUCGAGAGAUUCGAGGGAGUUGAACCAUUAAUGCAUAUCCCCCCCAUGACGGAUGAGACUUGUUAAGGUACUUGUAUUGAAUGCUAAUGAAAAUAAACUUCUCUAAGAUCAAUGAAAAUCGAUAUGUCACGGAGCAAUUGAUCAAUCUAAUUGACUUACUACUUGAUGACUGAGAAUUUUUUUAAAGAUAUUGCAUCCACUCAAUGUUGGUAAUGAGCUUGAGUUUGGACUCCAUUUUGGUGAUCUUCUCAUCAACGAGGCAUUGUACAUUUGUUAUCCAUUCACAGAUGAUCAUAUAACCCAGUCAUGUGAAUAUUUGCCCCAAAGGAUUUUGGAAGUUCAAAGCCCCAUGAAAAAGUUGGACUAAAUAAAACAAUAGAAAGAUAUGGAAGAUCUCUUUGCAUGCACACACACCAUUCGUGAGUGAAAUCAUCUUUUUAGUGGAUUCGUACACGACAACUUUGAUAGGUGUCCUGGAAUCUCGAUUUGUUUGAUUGUGCGUUACCCGACAUGGGCCGAUUCCAUGCGAUAAAAAAGCUCUAGAUUUGGGUACUUGCACUUCAAUUAUAAAAAUGCUUGAUCACGCAUCUCCCCGAAUAAAACAUGGUUUCAAUGCCAUUACUGUGGCCAAUACUAAAGCACGGUUCAUCUUUCAGUACAAGUUUCUCAGCAUGAUGCAUGUCCUGUCCAGCAUCCCCCGAUGAGCUUCUGUGUCUGUGUAUUCGGUCAAACGAUGAAUGGAUAGUGCGUAGAUGUCUCCAAAGAAACAUCUAUGGUUUGAGUUCCAUAACCUCACAUGUUAGCUAUCGGUCAACCGAGUCAUUAACAUUUUAAAUGAAUCAUUAUUUGUGUACAAAGUUAAUUUUUACUUUAUUCAUCCUUGGAGGAGUGUAUGUAAUUUACGAGUUGGAUAAAUCCGACAAACAUACAAACUAUACUAAUACAGAAAUCUCACUAACAUAUUGUUGCGUCGUUCCCAGGAACUUCGUGUUAAAAAUUCUUACAAACAUGGGAUAAUAUUAAUUGUAUAAUAUUUUAAUUAUUGAAGAACAAGCUGUUGUAAAGUAAAAUCUCUAUUCCGCAAUGUAAACAUGUUACGGUUAAUCCAUCAUGGUCGUCCAAGGGAGCACAAGGAGAGAAGGACCUAGUCCCAGAUUUGCAUGUCACCGUUCGUAUUGAUUGAUUCGGUGAUGGCGAUCACUCUUCUUAGCCUGGACAAGUCGGGUUCGUGAUUUCAAUUUCCAUUUAGACCUAGUAUUGAUACCUAAAUUUUGGUGGUCCAUUUAAUCAUUUGUUGCAUAGAAAAAUUAGAAAUCAACUCCAACCAAAACAAAAAUAUUUUUGAUUUGCAUGUUAGCAACUUCUUUAUUUAAUUACGUUAGGCUCACACAAAUUGCAUAAAUGGACUGAUUUAAGCAGAGACGUUUCGAGCGUAAUUAAAAUUUGAAGAUCUUGGCCAGCCCAUGCUUCAAUUGACCAUGAUUGAAUUUCACGCGUGCCUGAAUUUAUUAUCAAAAAAGUUAUAAAUUUAUUACAUUUUUACCAAUUUAGGUCUUAAUAUUUCAAUUUGGCCAAUUUAAUCCUAAACAUUUUGGAAAAUUGUCAAUGUAGUCCAACCGGCCAAUCUCAGUUGAAAAUUGCUGAUGCGGACGCCACUCGCCUCAUUUAGGUAUAGUGCACCAUCUUUUGGGUCCUGACAUUCAUGCUCUCACUUGAACCCUUCUUAGAAGAUCAAGGUCGAUCACCAGUGCACCUAGAAGGGAUCCUACCAUCAACUUCCUUACGCUUUACGGGUUUGCCACCCAUUCACACAUGUCAGACUCCCUACAUGGUACUAUUGAUGUUGAUGUAGACAAAUUUUUGUAUUUUUCAUUGUUUUUUCUUAUUUUUUUCUAAUUUUUUAAAUAAUUUUUUAUUGUCUUUGUUUCCUUCUUCCUCUGGGAUCACCAAUCUCCUUGAUGGUCAGCCACAAGUGAGUGCCGACCUCGUAGGGGUGAGGUCACUUGAGGCUGGCAAGGUCACCUCGCCGAUAUUUGGCAAGAGUUGACCUCACCAACCUUAAGCUCAACCUCAAGCAAGGCUUGCCCUUGCCAAAUCUAGUGGGGUCUAAAGCUAGCAAGGCCAACCAUCACCUGAAGCUGGCGAGGCCAACCAUGGCCAGCCUCAAGUGAGGUUUGCUCUCACCUUGCACAUGAUUAGGGAAGUGGAUUUUGAUGAAGUCUGGGGGUGGUAACAAUGCAUAUUUCCUUCGGAAAAUCCAUUUAACGUGAAGGCAAGAAAAUCGACUAUCAUUAAAAACUGGGGAAAUAAACCUUGGUCGAAAUUCACUGGACAUAUUCACGGCAAGGUAAGGUUUCCGAUGGGAACAUAAGCUUAUGUAUCUGGAAAAGUUUAGCAAGCAAGAAGCAUCAUGGGCAUAUCGAAGAAAACGUGGAAGAGAGAAAAUAUCGGGAGAUACACAGAUAGUAGCCGAAACACGAGGAAGCUAAGAGGGAAAGGAAUAUUGAGGAUUCAAUGAAAGAUAGUAUUAAACGUGGGGGCAUAUAUUUAUCAUAUUCUUUGAUUUCAAGACAGAAAAAGCAAGAGCAAUAUAUGCUUAUUUUAAAACAAGGAAGAUGAGAAUGAAAGAAAAGAUGAAACUUUGACGUGUAAGAGGACAAGGGGGACUACUUUUUGAAAAAGAAAAAAAAAAGUGUCCGUUGGUUCACCAAAACAGAGAGGCGCUCGUGUUUGCUCUCUUAGUGGCCAGCUCUCGUCACGAUCGCAACCCCUCGGACACAACCACACACGGAGCAACGCCAAGUAAAUCCUCCAAAGUGUCGGUCCUGCCAUGCCGACGCCAACGCGGUUACUCGCUGCCCCUUCCCCGUCGUCGUCUCUGUUUGGACCCUGUGCUGCAGCCCGCACGCUCAUCAGUCCAAUAGUCCAGGCGAGGUUCCAGAGGAGUCCUUGCCGACGAAUCGACAGCAGCCGGCCCCAAGUGAUACUCAGGGUGUCCGAUUUUCUUUGCUGUUUGUGAAACUUUGUUCUGCACGUUUUCUUGUGGUCUUAGCAAACUGGAUCGCUCAAUCCUCAACUAACUCAGUUGUAUCUUUCCACGAGCCCUACCGUAGAAAGGAGGUUCAAUAUCACAAAAAACCAAAAAUUGAUAUACUCAUGACAAAUUUAUCCCAAAUUAAUUUUUUGAUAGUCAAAAAUACCAAAUUGAUACAUCUUUAGUAAAUUUACCUCAAACUGGUAUAUUUGUGACAAAUUUACUCUCUUAGUUUCCGUUUAAUUUUACUAUCAAAUUGCUGAAUUAAAUGACACGUGAUAGUUCACUGGUCCCAAUUUGAGAUUUUAUUCUUCUUUUGUCACAGUUAUAUUCGUUUUGUGGCUUUUUGCAAUGUUAAUCUAAUUUGACGGAGGGUAUAUUUGUUAUAAAUAUAUUAGUUUGGAGUUUUUGGCGGUAAAAAAAAAUUAGUUUGGAGUGAAUUUAUUAUAAGUGUACUAGUUCAAGGUUUUUUUGUGGUCAUUUUUGGGGUAAAUUUGUCAUAAAUAUACUAAUUUGGGAUUUUUGAUGGUCAAAAAAAUUAGUUUGAGGUAUAUUUAUUACAAAUGUACAAACUUGAGAUUUUGCGUAGUAUUAAACCUAGAAAAUAUUCAAUGGUUUGAAAUCACCACGUCGUCAUCUUACGUGGCAUGUGUGUUGGGAGAGGCAAUGUGCUAGAGGUAGAUCUGAGCAGUAUUAACCCUAGCCCCUCCUGCACUCCCGUUGGCUUUGCUCCCUCCUCUUCCUCUUCGUGGGCGUCUUCUGCACCUUUAUUCUCCAAUGGAUUCGGCUCCACACUGGCGACUUCAGCGCCGAUGCUCUUCGGUACAUUGUCGUCGGUCGCAUCGGAGGAUUGUCGCCCUUUGGAAUGGCUCAGCCUAUCGCGAGCUCUAGUCUGUCGCCGUUCGUGUCGAGUUCCCCUUAGCCAUUGUUUGCCUCGUUGGGGAGCUUUGCUGCUUCUCUGUUCGGUGCACUUGCGCCUUCUUCCAGUGCAAGCCCAAGUUCUUCCUUGUUUGCGACGCGUGCGCCUGUGCCUCGGGCAUGGUCAAGGCUCACCGGCUUGUGCCUAUACUUGGAGCUUGGCCAAGCUUCGAUGGAUAGAAUCGCUGCAGAGGGAGGUGAGGUCAUCGAAGAUGGCGGUGGACUGGAGGAAGGGGCGAUGGGUUAGGUGGAGAGGCGGCUGGGAGAGAAGGAAAAAAAGGAAAAAAAAUAAAAAAUAAAAAAAUGUUUAUUUAAAAAUUUGAUUAUUUUAUUUGAGAGAAAGCAUUUUCCAAUGAGGUCCAAAUAGGAAAGAAUGUUUUCAAUGAUAUAUACUAAACAAAGGAAAACUAAUCGUAUUACUAGAAAGUAUUUUUCAAGAAAAUAUUUUUCUCAAUCGUUGAGUUUUCCAUGAAACAAACGCACCCUUAGUCUUUUCUAUUUUCCAGCUGGUCCAAGUGAGAGACACCUAUUUUCUUCUACUACCGUGACUGCAAAAACUCCAGCAAUCCUCCCAAUGCUCUUGCAAUGAAACCGUUCUAGAGUAGCCGAUCCCAUGUUUCGGUUUUCCAUCCCCAUAUUCGGUUUUCCGUCCCCAUAUUCCUACCGCAAGUCAAGCUCCAUCAUCGUUGCUUUGUCGUUCACGCUCAUAGCCUUGCCGAUUGCGGUUCAUCAUGGCCGGCCAUCGUUUGAUCCAAGUUCAAAUUAGGUGGCUUCUUAAUUUGAACUUAAUUGAAUAUACGAUUGCCUAAUUUAGAUUAUUUAGUUCAAACUUUGAUUUGAUUUGAGUUUAAGGUGUUCCCUUAAUAAGUAACUUCCCCACUUCAUUCAUUGCCUAUCUAUGCUUGAGUCAUGCAUAUAAUUGGGAUUUCAAUGCCUAGGAUCGGAUUCACGAUUAUCCUUAUUUCCUAUUAUCAAUGUCAUGAGUACUUGAUUGCCUGAGUUUAUAUAUUGCAUGUUGUUAAUUUAUGAAAUGUUAUUAUUACGAAGAAUGCAAAAAAAAAAAAAAAAAACGCAUUCAUGUUAGCAUAGAUUGCAUUCAUAUUAGUUCCCUAAUUUAAAAUUGCAUAUGUAGGGGCCAUGUAAUUAAUUAGGAAAUUACCUAAUUUAUAUUAGGAUUUAAUAUAAUUAUUUCCUAGUUGAAACUAGGUAAUUACAUUUUAGGUGGUUCUCUAUAUUAGUCUAAAAAAACACAUAUAUCAGUUGUUACAUCAUUGCCCCGUCCUCAUGUUCGCCAUGUUGCCACAUCAUCACAUUGCCAUGUUAUCAUAAUAUCGCGUCAUAAUAUUCAUGUCAUUGCAUGUCAUGUUAGAUUAAUUUAUAGUUCUUUUACUUGACCUUUGAAAUAGCUCGCAUAUAAAUUGUAUCUCAUGCAUUGCAUAUAGUUCAAUUUUCAUUAAAAAGACAAACCCAAAAAGAAUUAAUUGAUAUUACAUUUAGAAAUCAUGUUUAGGUCAUGCAUAUAUUAUUUAGUUAACAUUUUGUAGAACACUUGGUGUAUUGAACUUGAUGCAGCUUCUGCUUUGCUUAAUGCGUUGAUGUUUUUGCCCACAUUCGAGUAAUUCAUUUAUUAAUUUGUAUUCUUUCUUGUUAAAAUCUUGGUUGUGCAUUCACAUGACCACCCAUUACAUGUUAGUGGUUUAGGAUUAGAAUUGACUAAGAUUACUUGCAAAAUAUUUUUGAAAAUAAAAAGAAAAUGCACAUAAAGGGCAUUGUGUUAAUCUAGCAUAACCAAGUCUCCAUAUUCAUGCAUCUCUAGUUUGUAAAAGUAAAGUGUUCUCCCACACUUUACUUGGAUUUCUAAUUGACCCAUAAUAGAUUAGUGGUGAUUUCUAAUUAAAUUGAAUUGCAUAUUUAAUUGAUUAAAUUAAAAUCUGAAAGUUGUGAUUGGUAUGAGUUUGUGAGAGUCCAUGUUAAGUUUUUGGACUUAAUAAUCAAUGAACUUUCCUUCUAGUGGUCACAUUGAAGAAGGUCGGAACACUUAGGUAUUUUAAGAAUGUUCACCUAGCCUUUGGUCUUUUUUGGUUUCCUGACAAUGAAUUCUCAAAUGUGAUUUGUUUCGCUGAAAAGUGUCGAUGAAGUACCUUUUAAAAUAUGGAAUGGUAAACACGAAUCGACAAAGGUUGUGAAGGCAUGGCCACCUUUGUACGUGGCUAGCAAGGUUGGCCUCAUCCGCUUAUGGGUGAGGGUCAUAGCCCUCGCCAGCUAUAGUGGGAAAUAAAAAGAAAAAAAAAAAGAAAUAAAAAUUACCAAAAUAUAUAUAUAUAUAUAUAUAUAUAUAUAUUAUCAAAAAAUUAUAAAAAUAAUGUCAAUGUCAAUUCUAGCCGUUCCAUGUAAGAUAACUAUUAUCCAUGUCAACAAUUUGAAAUUAGUCAGAUAGACUUAAUUGACAAAUCGUAAAAAUGUUAGUAUUAAACUGAUCUAGUUAAAAAGUUUAUAACUAAAUUAAUACUAAUGUAAUAAAUUUAUAAAUGUCUUAAUACUUUUUCCAAAACAAGCUUUUUCCAAUUUGACGUUUCUAAUAGAAAUCCUAGUACAAAUACAAUAUAUCGGAGUAAUGUCAGUAAUUAUUACUUUGGCUGUAGAGAGGGUAUAGUUGGUGGCUAGUCUUAUAAGUAAAUUUGAAAGCUCAUAUAAGCAGCACCUAGCUCAGCCUUAUUCACGAACUCCACAACUUGGUUUCUCACUUAGGAAAAAGAACGCAAAUGCUGCAACUUGAACUCCACUUAUAAGUAGGGGAAGUUUUGUUCCGGCUGUGAUAGCUGCUAUCGCAUUUUUUUUUCUUUGAAAAGAUUGAUUAUUAAAAUGUCUUCACUUCUUUAGAGAUCAAUCCAAUCGAAAGUUAAAUUGGGGCUGUGUACAUUUAAAAGCUUAUGAAUAUGUCAAAUGACAGUCCUCACAAAGCAUAAAAAUCAAUAAUAAUUGCAAUUACCAUGACCCAAUGAAGGGGACACGCCUAGCAGCAGUGGUUGGGGAUUAAGGGUCUGUUUGUUUGUGUUCUUUUUUUUUUUUUUUCCUCGGAACACUUUGUUUAGGGUGUGUUUGUUUAUGUUUCUUUUUUUUGUUUUUAAACACUUUUUCUGUUUUUUUGUUCCUGGGAACAAAAAAGGAACAGAAACGUGUUUGGGUGCGUUUCUGUUCCUUUUUUGUUCUUUUGUUCCCAGGAACAAAAAAGAAACAGAAAUAAGAAACACAAAUUUUGUGUUUCUUAUUUCUGAAACAAAUCUUAAAAACACUUUUGUAUUUCUUCUUCUUUUUCUUCUUAUUUUCUUUCUUUUUUCUUUCGCCGGUCACCAGCCUCGGCCAUGGCCGGCGACCGGCCAAAAGAAGAAAAAAGAAAAAAAAAAAGGAAAAAAAGGAAAAAAUAGAAUAAAAAUAUUAAAAAAUAAAAAAAUUAUACAAAUUUACCAAACGUGUUUCUGUUUAUUUUUUAUUCCCGGAACAAAUUUACCAAACGCGUUUUUUUGUUAAAAAAUUGUUCCCCGGAACAGAAACACUUUUUUCUAUUUCUGUUCCCUGGAACAAUUUUUAAACAGAAACGCAAACAAACGCACCCUUUGUUUUUUUGUUCCGAAAAACAAAAAAAGAACAUAAACGCGUUUGUUUACACUUUUGUUUAAAAUCUAUUUUUUUGUUCCUGGAAAUAGAAACAAGAAAUAAGAAACUUGUUCCCGGGAAUAGAAACAAGAAACAAGAAAAAUUUGUUUCUUGUCCCCAGGAACACUUUUUGAAGAAAUAAAAGAAUAAAAAUACAAAACUUAUUUCUUUUUUUUUUCUCCUUUUUCUUCUCAUUUUUUCUUUUUCUCUUUUCUUUGGUUGGUUGUUGGAGCGUUGCUGGCCCCCUGCGAGACUUGGCCUCACUGGGCCACCUCUAGGAUGGCAUCGCCUGGCGGUGGCCCAGCUAGGUAGGCCUUCCCAGCUGGCGCUAGGCCGAGCCUCGCCGGGGCCAGGCGAAGGUCGGCCUCCCUAGCCGGCGUGAGGCUAAGCCUCGCCGGGGCCAAGCUGGCCUCCGGCGAGCAUGUUGGAGUCUCGCCAGGCUAGGGUGAGGCCCGACGAGCUCGCCAGAUGUCGCUCAACCGGUAGCCGGCCACGGCGAUGGCUGGCGACCAACCAAAGAGAAAAAGAAAAAGAAAAAGGAAAAAGGAAAAAGGAAAAAUAAAAUAAAAAUAUUUAAAAAUUAAAAGAAACAAAAAAAUUAUACAAGUUUACCAAACGUGUUUCUAUUUUUUUUUUCUAUUCUAGGAACAGAAAUUUUAUAUAGUUACCAAACACAUUAUUCUGUUCAAAAAUUAUUCCCCAGAACAGAAAUAGUUUUUUUUAUUUCUAUUCCCUGGAAUAAUUUUUUAACAGAAACAAAACUAAACGCAUCCUAAAUUGCGUGCCUUGCUUAAGAUUGAAACAAACAGCAGUAAUUGUAAGUGUACCAGUGAUGCUGCAUACUGUAAUCGGAUAUCUAUAAUAUUUGACGAAUCUAUUGUUGAUGGGGGAGAAAGUGGGAAGAUAAUGACCGUAAUACAUGGAUUUGGAGAUGCGGUUGUUGUUGUUUAUCUGCACGACAAGGACAUGACAUGGGUAAAAUGUGAAUUAUAGAGUGAAAACUCGAAUAUGACACAAAACGAUAUGACAUACUUAAUUGCAUAUGCUAACAUGAAUUGCCAUGGUAACACAAUUUCAUUGUAAUUAAAUCAUUUGACUUUAAUAUCAAACAUGACACAUGAACAGGGGAGUACUAACCCUAAGAAGAGGCCCCUAUCAUUGUCAUCGUCCCUCCUUAUUUAAGUGAUGACCUAUCGCAAGUAUGUCACUUAAUAUUGGAGAUAUGAAAAUUAAUAUUCUAAAGUAAUUUAUUAAGUGAAGCCGUGACAUAUAGAUGGAUUUUAAAGUUCUUAUAUCCAUUUAAGCGCCAAAUGAAAUCUGCCAUAUUUUGACCAAAAAAAAUAUAGAGAAAAUUGUUCAAAAAAUCCUCAUUUUUUGUAUGACAGUCAAUUUGAUUUUAAACUUUAAACUUUUCAAUGAUACUAAUUUAAUCCUAAAUUUUUUGAAAACUUAUAUUUUGCAAAGCAUCCAAAUGUUUUGCAUACCAUGCAUAUCUUGUACUUAUUAGAUUUGCGUUUAAAUCAUCGACAAAGCACAUUCAAUCGGGAAUACUCCGAUUUGGUUUUGAGGCCGAUGAAUUAGCUAAGAUAUCGAAAUCAAGCAAUACAAUCGUCACUCUUUCCAUUAAAGUUCUUCCUCCUUGUGGACCCCAAGUGGAAUCUAAGGAGAAUUGAUUAGCGAGCAUGCGGAGAGAAUGAUGAUGGGUGGAGAAAUCACGCGAACCACGCAAAAGCAGCAAACGACGCGAACCACACGGAGGCAAAGCCAAUGAAUGAAUCGUCUAUAUUCUUUCGCCCCAAAGCAAGGCAAAGGCAAAGCAAUAGCACUAGUACUAGGCGUCAUAAAAAAUAUAAUUACAUAUAUAUGUACGUAUUAAAUUUAAUUAUUUUAUCAGAAUAUCGAUUUAGAUAAUUGAAAAUAAUGGGACGCGUCUGACAUGGGUUUUAAUAAUGGAACGAUUUCAAGAAAGUACGGCUCUACUUCGUUCCUGCUUCCUGCAUAACCAUGAGCUCGAACCACGAAGCUUUCCCUCGAAAUUUCUCUCGAACCCCGGGGUCUUACCUUGACUCGUCGUUUACGUCUUUCGACCGGGCUCUUCAUUCGCCGACGAGGAUGAUGCGAUGGAACUACAGGUCUCUUUUCAGUGAACAGUCUCUUGCUUGGCCAAAGUUUUUCCUUGGAUGCCUUUGUAUGAUCUCGAAAGCAACUUCCUGCACGGGCACUGAUUAGAUAAAAGCUUUCUCCCUACCUUCAAUCGAAUCAAAGAAUAACUUUCCCGGUUCUACCUUCCUCCCCCCAUCUGCCCUGUCCGAUCGCCCGUCACUAUUGCGACAACCGAGCUUUCAAGAAGAUGAUACCUGGUUUCGGUUUCGAAUUCUCCCUUUUCCACCUCGCGAGGUUGAAGACCGUUCUCUUGACUCUCUGGUCAAGUACCUUCAACCGAAUUCCCUGCCCGGUCACCUGUGUUCUUCGUUGAUCCCAGGUAAACCGCUUCUCAAUAGCCUAGUCCGCGUAUUCCUUCAAGAUCUCAUAUGUAAGCCAAGUUACACUCGUUUCACACGCCCAUCUUUCUCAUUUUUAGCUACGAUUCAAGCACCCCCCAGAAUAGAAUGGAGAACGGCGUUGCUGCAUCGACCCAGCCCGAUCUGAGGCUGAAGUGGGACGUGUUCCUGAGCUUCCGAGGCGCGGACACUCGCAGAACCUUCAUCGGCCCUCUCUACGACGCGCUCUGGAGCAAAGAAGUCCGGGCCUUCCGCGACAACGAGGGCAUGAACCGGGGUGACCAGAUCUCGCCGAGCCUACUGGCGGCGAUCGAGGACUCCGCCAUGGCGAUCGUAGUGAUAUCGCCGAGGUACGCGGACUCGCACUGGUGCUUGGACGAGCUGGCGAAGAUAUGCGAGUGCCGGAAGCUGAUACUGCCGGUGUUUUACGGGGUCGAGCCCUCGGAUGUGAGGCAUCAGAGAGGGCCGUUCGAGGGCUCGUUCGGGAGUCAUGUAAAGCGGUUCGGAGAUGCGAGGGUUUCGGCUUGGAGAGCUGCCAUGGAACAAGCUGGUGGAGUCUCUGGUUGGAUCUCCAGCGACCAAGACGAUCAGAGGUAAAGGAUUCUCGAGCCUUUCAAAAUUAUCCCAAUUAAAUAAUUGACACAUCAAUAGGAAUAAUUUUAGUUACUACCAUACAUUCAUAUCUUUUUUCCUCUUUUAUCUACCGUUUUGGUAAAGUUAAAUCAAAUGGUUGAGGUAAUUGAAUCUAAAUCGUCAUUAUGGGUUGCUAAAGCGGCAACAAUUAAUUAAAAAUAGGAUAAGCUUGCAUGUUUAAUUUCUCUUUAAAUCUUAACAAUGAAAUAAUCCAUAUGUUGCGAACAGAAUGUGGUUCUUGAACACAAUAGUAAUUUAGUGGGCUCUUGUGGCUACUGUUCAAUGGCAGGGGAAAUUGUCUAAUUAGUUUUAAACUUAUUGUAUGAAUAUUAAUUUAGUUCUAAAGUUUCUUAUUUUGCCAAUUUAGAUUUAAACCUUUACACGAAAUUUCAAUAUAGUACUUCUAGCCAAUUUUUACGAAAAAUCGAUGACAUGACACACCGCCACGUAGGAUGCUUGGAGAAGACUAAAUAGCUAUGUUAGCAAUUUCCGGCGAAAAUGUUUGGAAGGAUUACAUUGGAGUUUCGUGCAAAAAUUCAGGACAAGAUUGACAAAAUUAAAAAUUUAUGUCUGACUUGGUAUCUAGAUAAGUUUAGGAUUGAUUGGCGUAAUUUUCCCUUCAAUGGUAUGGUGACGACACAAGGUACCUUGUCGGUGCACCUAGUCCCAAUACUAUAAGAUUAGGGGGUAAUAUAGACCGAUCUCUUUGAAGGUAUUCUACAUUCUCUAAGUGGUUGGUUGUUGUGAAUUAAACCUUUCAUGCGAAACUAACUUUUUUCCAAUUUAACGUUUCUAAUAGAAAUCCUAGUACAAAUCCUAUAGAUCAGAGUAAUGUCGGUAAUUUUUGGUUUGGCUAUAGAGAGGGUACAGUUGGGGGCUAGCCUUAUAAGUAAAAUUUGAAAGCUCAUAUAAGCACAGCUAGCUCAGCCUUAUUCUCGAACUCCACAAUUUGCUUUCUUAUUUCGGAAAAAGAAUGCAAAUGCUGCAGUUGAGAACUUAAACUCAACUUCUAAGCAGGGGAAAGUUUUGUUCCGACUGUGAAACUUGCUAUAACAAAUGCUUUACAUCUUUUGUUAUAUUAAAAUUAAUAUACUAAAUUAAUUUAUUUAGUGAAAUCGCCACCUAUAUAUGGAUAUUGAAGUUCAGAGAUCCAUUUAAGCCCCAAUGAAAUCUGCCAUAUCGCUUUGCGAGCCAUUUAAUAUGUCACUUUUAAUGUUUCUAUCGUAAAAUAUAUCCCUGAUUUUCUCCAUGUUAGGACACCAUUUUCAAUAUGUCCGUUGCCUAAGCUUCCUUGUCCGAGUAUUAUAUAUCUAGGAAGCCAACUUAAGUGAGUAAAUCUUGAGUUUACAAAGUAAUAUCACUAAUCUCAUGGAUCAAGUAAGAGCGAGUCUAAAUCUUAGGUAAAGGAUGGAAUUAUUUUUACUUACAGACGUACUCAUUACAGAAUCAAACUUGUGAUGUGGGUCUAAUUCACUCAAACUAAUUAGAUACUUAAUCACUAAACCAUCCUUAUGGGUUAACUAAAAAAUGUUAGGGUUGUCUUAGUGUUUUUUUCCUUUUUGUCAGCAUAGUUAACUUAGGACGUAUUCGGAUGGACUCUCACUUCUUAUUUUUGCGCUCAGGCACUUUGUUAUUUUAAUAUUCAAAACACCUUUCACAAUAGACAGAAUGUACAUUCGCGUAUAAGUUUUUGAAAUUUGAAUAAGAUUUUUAAUUCUAGCGGAGAAGGGAAAAAAGUAUAUAUAUAUAUAUUUUGCUAGGCCUGAUAGGUGUUUUCUCUCCUGUGAAAUAAAAAAAUCGUAGUAGAUGAACUGUAUAUUUCUUGUUUUUUUCCUAUGAAAACGCAUAAUUGUAAAGCCAAUAUUGGUAGAGAAAAUACAUCAUCAAUUGAGAGUGUGGUGCAAGACUGGGUGACCAUUAAAGGUUGAAUGAGUGACUUGAGUAACUUAGAGUUAAUUUUGUAGGCAAAUUCUUUCACACGUUAGUAAUUAAACAAUAAUUGUGUGAAUUAAUUCCUAUCCGACCAAAAAAGAAAUCCAAAUUUAAAGUGACGUUUACCCUUGGAGAGCUAAUGAGCUAUAUAGUUCUCUCAACCGGAAGAGGGUUGUGAUCCCGCGCACAGAUCCCCCCUACCGUCCUUUUGGCCAACGUGUAUCUAGCUUUCAGACGCAAUUACAAAGCUGGCCAUCUCAACCUCCAACGAUACCCUUGCUAGCCAUGGAUGGAGGACCUUUGCCGCCACCCCAGUCGCCAUUGCCUCUGCCGUCAACCGCCACAGCCGCCUCAGCUUUCCACCACCUCCUCACAAAUCUCCACCACCAACAUCUCUACUCUCAGUCAACACCGUGUCCUCUACUUUCGGCUCGUGCAGCUGCAAUUCGUCCUUGCUCUUGUUGAGCAAGAGGUCUAAGUUCGAGUGAGCCCUAGAUCUCUGGUUGAGCACCUCCGAGCCAGACAUAAGGCUUGUGCUUGAUCUUGGACCAAGCUUGUCGCCGUUACCAUCUCCUUCUCCUUGAUGGGCAAAGUGAUGCGAUGGAAGGUCAAAGGGCUGGUGUGUAAUCCAGGUGAGUACCAAGGGGUAGAGAGAGGCUUGCUGGUAAUUCAGCAAGAGAAAAGGGUGAGGGAGGAAGGGAGCGUAGGCAGCGGUGUGCGACAAUGUGCUAGGCGGUGGCGUGCGGUGGAAGGGUGGUCCUAAUUGUCCAGGCAUUUAAAGUACAUAUUGAAGAGGGGCUUGAGGUCUCGAGGAGAAACUAGGUUGGGUAUUUGGAGGGAUAUAUGGCACAAAUCCUACGGCAAUGACCAAACUCGGGCAAAGCUGGAAGGCCUGGCCACGCGGUUGUUGAGGUCGUGCGAGAGUCGUGCGAUCCAUGGCAACCAGCCACCGAGGUCAUGCGGCCCUGGGUGAGGUGAUGCCAAGUUUGGGUGACCUUAGGCGGCCCUAACUUGAGCUUGCUAGCAUCAUGUGAACUCGAGUGAAGGCUACCGAGGCCGUGUGACCCCAGGCCACCACUGCCGAGGUUGAGCAGCCCUAGGCGAGAUGAUGCUGAGGUCGUGCGACCUCAUACAAGUCACAUUUGACGAGGUUGACAAUCCUUGAGUCUUGAACUCAACUUCGUUCAACUAGGGCUUGAGAUUGAGCAUGAGCGUCGUGUGACCCUUGGCUGGUGUUGUGCAAGCCUUGGCAACCCUCAAUUCUCUGGAUCUUGUUAUGACCGUCUAGAUCUAAGCUUGAUCGAUCCAUGACUGUCGAUUGUGGACUGUUUGGCAACCAUCUCUUGGUUCAUGUGCUCUAGGAUGAUGAUAUGUUGAAUUAGUAUUCUCCCCUUCUGCAUUGGAUAAUCAACCCAAAACUAGAGAUGUGCCGGAAAAUGCUAUGGCUUUGAUAUCAUAAAACUAGACUGCGAUAUGAACCACAGAAAACCAAAACAGAAUUUGUGAUAAGUAUGCUAUCUCAUAUGUACAGCUCUUCCAGCUUCAAAAUAGGGUCUGCUUGUUAAUCACCAAAUUUCUUUUCAUUUGAUGACUCAUAUCAUAAUUUUUUUUAUAAUUGAAAUUGCCAUGGCUCUAAUACCAUAAAAUUGGCUUAUGAUGUGAACUGGGGAAAAUGAAAAAUAUAAUUUCCGGUAGGUAUGCUAUCCCACACGCACCGCUUUUCUGGUCUUAGAAUAGUGAUUGUCUUUACAUUGCCAAAUUCAUUUUCAUUUUUUUAUUCAUGUUAUAGAAAAAUUAAUGAUAGUAAAAUUUUAAUGUACAGGUUCCACAUUGUGGCAAGUACAAAGGAUAUUAUCGAGAUUAACUAGAAUAUUAUAGUUUAAAAAAAUCAUACUAGGCAAAAAGAAAGGAAAGAGUUUUAAAUAUUCAUAAAGCAAACUACAUAAUAUUAGCUUUUAGGGAGGGUGCGUUCUGCCUCUUAGCAUUAAGCAUUGCCUUAUAUAUGUACAAGACGAAUACCGAACACUUAAUUAUUGGCAAUAGUAUUGGAGAUCACCAAUAAUUUCUACAAACUCCUUAUGGUCGACAAUGGCCAAUAAUUUGUACAUGUUGACUCUUACACUGAUAGACUAAUUUUAUAUGACUUUCGUGUUUGAUAGACUCUUGUUACACAAUUUUUGGUUUUGCUACAUUAUUGCCACAGUGAUGAACAAUAUUGUUACAAUGCUAUAAACAGUACAUGGACAGUGUUUUUGCUGCAGUAACUCAAACUAAAUUUUCUGCAUUUGCCAGCACCUUCACGUCGUAUUUAUGAAUUAAUUUUUCAGUGUUAUCGCCCGAGCUGUUUGAGCCACCUCCAUUUUUCUGUCUUCUUUAUUAUUUGACAAGUCUUUUAACUUUUAGGGCUUCCAGCUAGUCAUAUUUUGUGGACUUUAGGGGUUGAUGAGAACUUGAUGGGCUAUUAUGGACUUACUGAAAGUACUUGUCUUAGGUCUAUCUUCAUACUAUUGCCCACAUCCUUUGAGAAGCUUCUCCACUUUUUCAAUUUAUAAGGCAACUUCCACUUUUAAUUCAAACAACUUUUGUCUUUUCGAAGACUGAUGAGGACUUGUCGGAACAUUAGUAGAGCUUGAUAGAAUGCCAGGUUGGGGUUGAUACUUGAGCUGUAGUGAUGGGCUUUCUUUAUUGAGGCCUAAAUUGAGUGUAAGAUGUAAUUCACUAUAGUCAAAAGGAUCUUUGGACAAUGGUCCUCCCCAUGGAUCUUGUGAUGAUGAAGCUUGAUCUUGUGAAGAUAUUAAUAACACAAUAUUGUCAAUUCCAUGGUGUCUUCCUAAGUAAAUAUCGAUUGCAUUUUGGGUUGCGUGGUAAUUAUCGCAAUGAUCCCAAGAAAUAUCAUCAGCUUUUGUUGGCUAUGCCUUUGGUGGAAUGACUCGAUUGUAUUGGCAUAGUAUCCUUUGCAGUUCUCAAUAUUGUCAAAGGUAAGCUGAGAUUUUACAAGGAAGAGUUAUAAAAAUCUCAUUUGAAAUGGGUUGGGGUUUAUAUGAGAAUACUCCAACAUCACACGUAUCUCCACUAGGUUUGACAAAUAGCCAUGGCAUGAAGAACAAAACAACUAUAUGGAGUUUUAGGUCAAGUCUGCUUGCUCUGAGUUGUGUCUAGAAAUUCUCCUUUCUCCGAAUGGUUUACACUAACUAAACAUUUGCCCAAAAUAUUUAUGUUUGCCUUCUUCUUGGAUAAUCCUGCUAACGAUAAAAGGCAUGAUGGUUGUCAAAAUCUUGAUGGCAGUGGUAUAGAUAUUAAACAAAUACCAAUAAAACUUUUGAGUUUUUAUGGGAAUUUCUCAUUUGGGAAAAAAGACGGGAUGAAUGAAUGGAUACUUCAGGUGCAGUCUACUUGGGGGAAGGAUAAGACCACCAUAAUCACUAAAAUUUUAGAAAUGGCAUUGCCACAUGAGUAUGUCAAGAUUUUCAAAGAGAAUGUUGGCUUCAAUGGGUAGGGCUUCAUUUCUCUUGUCUUGAAACUUCCUUUUGGAUUUCUUACCAAAUACAUAUUGAUGGAUGUGGUAGUGAAAUUCUUUUGGUCGGGACAGAAGAUAAGCAAGUAUAUUAUUUUUUCCUACAAUAUAUUUGGUUUCAAAUGAAUACUUUGAGAACUAUUUGACCUAUCUAAGAAGCUAAGAAUGUGGUAUCCAUUUCUACUUGAAUUUCAGCAUUUGAGAAAAAGAGGACAUAUCAAUUUCUGCAAGGAAAUGAUGUCCUAUAAGAUGGAACUCCAACUUCUCAAUGUCAUAUUUUAUUGCUAGGAUCUCGUUAAAUGUACAGUGGUAAUGCAUUUUCGCUUGUGUGAAUCUUCCACUUUUGUGUCCACAUGCUUUACGCUUUCCAUCAAUUUAUUCAAAAAAGACUACAACCCAACAUUCAUCAAGAAGGAAUUUGCAUUGGGGGAAUUUGUUGUAGAAUGUCUCUGAGUUUACUUAUAGACCUAGUUUGCUCUGGCCCCCGGAGGAACAUCUUUUUUGAGCAUUUGUUGUAGUGGACUCAAGAAUUUUUAUGAUUUUUGGAACAAAAUCCCUGAGAUAAUUAAUUAUCUCAAGGAAUUGUUGAGCCUGUUUGUGGGACAGAUAAUAAUCAAGAAACUUUUUUAAUUCUUCAGCAAUAAGUCCUAUCCUUGAGGUGCAUCCCAAGAAAUUUAAUUUCUUUAUUUGCGUUGAUAAUCUUUUUCUGGGAUAACAUAAUCUCAUGCUUUCAAAUUAGCUUUGCAAAUUGAGCUAGUAAUUUGCAACUAGAAUCCUCAUAUGGACUAUAGAAGAGUAUAUCAUCGAUAUAAUUUGGGCUUGGAGUAAAGGUUGGAAAAUCUUGCAUGUACGAAUAAGCUAUUUUGAGACCUAAAGGGAGCAUCAUCCACUAGAAAUGUUGAUUUUGAAUACAAAAUUCAGGUUUGCCCAUGUCUUUAGGAUGAAUUCCUAGUUGCCAAAAUCUAUCUUUAAGAUCAGGCUUGGAGUAAACUUUGGCUUAAGUAAGGCUAGAAAACAAUUGAUUGAGAAGCUAAUAAUUAAUGACUGGUCUUAUUUUUCCUCCAUUCUACUCAGCACGUUUAUUUACAUAAAAUGCUUCACAAGCCGAUUGAGAAUUUGAGAGCUCAAUUAAUGUCCGAACAUUCAUUUUGCUCUAAAAGCAAGUGUUUUGGAUUCAUGCCUAAUUGAUUGGCUUUGGUGGGAUUGACAUCAUUGUUCUUGUUGAAAGGAAGAUAGAUGAAAAAGUCAGGGUUUUCCCAUAAAGGAUUAGGACAUUUUUGGACAAUAUGCAAAUGAGAUUCUGCACAUGCAUCCAAAAUGAUUUGCAUGAUGGGGUCUAACAUGCUCAUAUGAAUGACAAAGAAUCUUUAGAUGUCCACAAAUUCGGUAAAUUGUCCUUUGAACCUUAGUUCAUUGGACAUAAUCCUAAGUUGAGGAAUUCAUGUGAGGAUAUCCCAAUUGAUGAUGAUAUUUUUAUCAAGGUGAGCUAAAACGAAGGAUUUUGGUGGUGUGGGACACUGUUGUAAUGCUGUUCAUGGCAUUGUAGCAAUACUGUAGCAUCAUUAUAGCAUACUGAGUACUGAAGCAGAAGUGAAAAUUGUGUAAUAAAGGUUCAUCAAAUGUGAAAGUCAUGUAAAAUUAAUUUGUAGUGUAAGAGUCAGCACGGACAAAUUAUUGGCCAUUGUUGGCCAUAAGGUAUUUGCAGAAAUUAUUGGUGAUCUUCAGAACUAUCACUGAUAAUCAGGUAUUCGAUGUAUGUCUUAUGCCUAUAUAAGGCAGUACUUGUAAUAAUAAGGUGCUGAAAACACCUUCCUUAAUAUAUAUAUUUUGUAUGGUUAGCUAUGAAUCUUUAAAUCAUUAUCCUAUCUUCCAUUCUAUCUGGCAUGAUUCUUUAAAGGAGGAGAGAGAUGAACAAGGCUAAUUUCAAGGGUAAAGAGGAAUAAGAAAAAAUGGUGAGAGCAAAAUUAGAUUAAAGAGUUCCAAUAAUGAUGGGCUCCAACAUUCUGAAAAUGGUUAAUGCCCAAUGCAGUUAAGUAGUGACUUUGAGGCAAAGGCCUUCAGAAAAUUUUAGACAUACGAUGCAUUUGCCAAAAAGUCUUUAGAGGCUUAGAAGGGAAUUUGUUCCCAAAUGCACCGUAAAUGGUAUUGGAAGUGGGGACAAUACCCUCACUUCCCUCUUCACUUAGAAAAAUUUAAUCACAAAUAAAAAUUAGGGUUUAAUACCCUUAAAUACUCUAAACUUUGCCUAUGUGAUACUAAUAGUUCAAAUAUUUCUAAUGUCAUCAAAUACCCUGAAUUAUGACUAUUGUGACGCCUAUACCUCAAGCUUACCCGGACUUUUGUCACAUUACUGCAAGUUUGGGUAUCAAUGUUACCAUGGGCAAAUUUUAGGAUUUUUGGUUGUAGACAAAUGGCAUUUUUGUCAUACCAUUAUAAGUUUUGGAUUUUGGUGACCAAAAAAGAAAUGCGAGAUAGUGAUGUUAUAUUCGGCAUAAUUCAGGAUUUUCGGUAGUGUUGUCUCUAAAAUUAAUGAAGAAAAUAACGAAGCUUCAACAUAUAGUAUUACCUAAAGAUUAGAGAUUUUCUUUGAUUAUGAAGACAAAUUAAAGUGGUGAAUCAAUGAAAAAAAAAGUUGGUAAAAAUGCAUAAAACAAAAUAGACAUUGGUUAGGAAUUUAAAUGGGAAUCGAUGACUUAUAAAAUUAGUUGGUGAUUUAACUAGCAAAAAAAAAAAAAAAAUUACUCGGCAAGUCUAAGGUGUUGGUUAGCAAAAUAACUAUAAGUUUGUGAAAAAUAAGAGAAGUCAUUUCCUUUAUAGAUAAAAGUCCAUAAUCAAACGUUGGUAACUAAUUUUAAUUAGAGUUGGUAAGGUUGACUAGUUAGUAAUGUAAUCAGAUCCAAGAAGGUAAUCAGUCUAAUUAAGAUAGGUAAUUUAUAAAUAGAGUUGGAAAAUAUGACUAGUUGUUAAGUAAAGCAAAUAAAAUUAUGUAUCUCAAUAAAAAAGUUAGUAAUUUUUGCAAAACAACCAAAUGAUUAUUGUUAAGAAACUUAAUGAGAGUUGGUAAAUAAAACUGGUUGGUAACCUAUUGGUAAGCACUCACAAAUAGAUUUUGAUAAACUCAUAAAAGUUGAUAGAUUUAAGCUGAUAAGAAAAACAAAUAAAUGUCGGUAAUACUCACAAAAGUUUUUUUUUUUGGUCUGAACUCACAAAAGUUGAUAAAUUGAAAAAAAAAAAAAAAGAACAUUCAUAAGUAACUCAAAUAAAAAUGGUCAACCCAAAACUAGUUGGUAAUUGAAUUGGGAAAGAGUUGGUAAGUUAAAUAUAGAUAAAAUCAUUAGAGAAUUGCUAAAUCAAAUAUGUCUAUCAAAGAUAAGAAGAGUUGGUAAAUUGCAAACUAUUGAAAAGAAAAAUUCAUAGAAAUGUCGAUAAGUUUCCUCUAAGCCGCAACAAAAUUAAAUGACCGAUAGUGUUUUUCAGACCGACCAACUCUACUAGAAAUGAUGCAGAGAAGAAGUCUAUCGGUUCUAUUUUGUCUUACGGGACGGUAAUAUGGUUUUUUAUUUUACCUAUUUUCCAGGGAAACAGAUGUACGACUACGUAGAUGCGCAUUGCAUACUUGAUUUAUAAUUCCUUCCGGCCGCUCAUCCACUCCAUCCUCACUCGCAAUGUAUUCUUGACUUCAAUCUCUAAUUGCAGAGAUAUGUUGCUGCUGAUUCAACAGAUCGUCCGCAGAAUUACGGAUGAACUGAAAAACGUUCCGCUCUAUGUGGCUCCUUUCCUCGUCGGACUGGACUCUCGCAUCGAGCAACUCCUCGGUGUGUUAAGCGUCAAAUCCAGCGGAGUCAAGUUUCUUGGAUUGCACGGGGUUGGCGGUGUCGGCAAAACCACCCUUGCGAAAGCGCUCUACAACAAGCUCGUCGUGCACUUUGAGAAACGCUGUUUAGUUGCGGACAUCAGAGAAGCUUUCAUGCAAAGCGGUGGCUUGAUCUCUCUCCAGGACAAGAUCCUUAGCGUUCUCUCGCCUCACUUGCCUCCUUUGGAUGACUUUGGUUCUCGCAAGAAUGCGAUUAAGCAAGCCCUUAGUACAGUGCGAGUCCUGCUCCUCUUGGAUGACAUCGAUGAUGCCAGUCAGCUCGACAUGUUGAUCGGCAGAAGAGAAUGGUUCCACGAGGGAAGUCGAAUCAUCAUCACAACCAGAAAUAAAGAGGCUUUGUCCGCAAGAAACUAUGUGAUCGAGCAUUACGAAGUGCCAGAGUUGUUCUUUGAUGAUGCGUUGCGUCUGUUCAGCUACCGUGCGUUUUCAAAGGAGAAGCCGACAGAUGAGUUCCUAGAACUGUCCAAGCAAAUCGUGUCUCUGGCUGGGAAUUUGCCAUUGGCCUUGGAGGUGUUCGGCUCUUUUCUGGUCGAUAAGAGGAGGAAAAGCGAAUGGGAAGGCACGUUGCAGAAGCUGAAAGAGAUUCGCCCUGAUAAUCUCCAGGACAAGUUGAAGAUCAGCUAUGAUGGGCUCGAUGAUGCGACCAAGCCCAUAUUCCUCGAUGCGGCUUGCUUAUUUGUUAAGACGCAUAUGACGAGAGAGGAAGCAAUAGAAAUAUGGAAAGGCUGCGGCUUCCAGGCUGAGAUUGGGCUCCGAGUUCUUGUCUCGAGAUCCCUUAUUAAGAUCAUGAAGGACGACCAUACACUAUGGAUGCACGAUCAACUUAGGGACAUGGGGAGACAGAUCGUGAGGCACCAGAAUGCCCAUGAUCCUGGCACACGCAGUCGACUGUGGGAUCGCAAUGAAAUCAUGGCUGUCUUCAAGAAUGGAACAGUAUGGAAAUUUUGUAUCAUCACAGCUUUCGCUUUCUCUGUCGUUAACACCAUUGUGCACACAUCCCAUGUCGUUGUUCUUGAUUGUUACUAACAGACAUGAAUAUGAGAAGGGAAAAAAAAUCAUUGGUCAGACUGCAGACUAUUCCAGUUGGUAGAUUUAUCUUUCAUUCUAUUGAAUAAUCUUACACUUUUGUCAUCGCAGGGGACGAGGAAUAUAGAGGGGAUUGUCCUGGACUACCCACAUAAGCCGUUUGUGAUGGACCCAAGCAGCGAGAGGCUGUCGCGACGCAAUUUCAUUAGAACGCCCAACCUCACUUCCGCCAUUCAAUGUCUACAAGAGAUGUUUAGGGCAUUUUUUGAUUUUGGAGCAGAGAGAGAGAACGAGGCUGUGCUUUGUACCGAGUAUUUUAAACCGAUAAUUAACCUGAGACUACUUCAGAUUAAUCAUGCCAAAUUGGAAGGGAAAUUCAAGUUCCUGCCUCAGUCACUGAAAUGGCUGCAAUGGAAAGAAUGUCCCUUGACCGUUCUUCCUUCUGAUUUUUGUCCACGAGACUUGGCAGUCCUUGAUCUCACCUACAGCAAGAUUGAACGUUUGUGGAAAACGAACAGUAAUAAGGUGCGUCGCGGUCUUUGUCACUAUAGCUAUAUUUUGUCAGUAUACUGUUUCAUAUUCAAAUGUUGUUUAUGCUAAUUUUUCUGAGCAUUGUACUAAGAUGUUUCAGUUCGCCUUGUUGUCUCUUGCUUGCCCAUGGAUUCAGCAGCAAUUCGAAAGGUUGACCUAUUCAGGAAUCUCCGGAUCUACGCUAAUUUUCAAUUCCCCGAAGCAUUUUAUCCAUACCAAAUCCAAAAUUGGAUUCCUGAUCCAACCCCUUUACUUUUCUUUUUUAUUUGAAUUUAUCCUUCUUUUUCAUUCUUCAUUCUCUUUUUUUCUAUAAACUACCGCCUUCCUUCUACUACCGUUCAUGUGCUUCUUUAUCAUUUGUUUAUGCCUAUAUGUUUCUGCUACCUUUCAUAUGCUUCAGCAACUACUUAUGAUGGGUUAAAAUUUCAUGUCCACCAGGCUGGGGAGAACUUAUUGAUUAUAAAUCUUCGUGGCUGCUCUAAUCUUGCUAGUAUUCCAGAUUUAUCAGCAAGUCGAAGCUUGAAAAAACUUGUUCUCGAGCGGUGCACAAGGUUGACCCAAGUUCCUGAGUCAAUCGGGAGUUUGAAUGCUUUGGUCCACCUAAACCUUGAAUGGUGUACAGAGCUUGCUGGACUCCCAAAAGACGUAUCCGGGCUCAAGAAUCUGGAAGAACUCAUUCUGUCCAGUUGUGUAAAUUUGAAAGAACUACCAGAGGAUAUAGAUAGCAUGAAAUCUUUGAAGUUACUUCUCCUCGAUGGAACUCCUAUAAAAAGGUUGCCCGAAAAGAUAUUCCACCUCACGCAACUUGAAAAGCUUAAUCUAAAUCGGUGCACUUCAUUGAAAAAGUUACCCACUCACAUUGGAAAGAUGGCUUCUCUCAGAGAACUCACUCUUAAUGAUACCGGAAUAGAGGAGAUACCUGAUUCGGUGCGGUCAUUGCAGAAUCUUGAGUUGUUGAGCCUUAUGAGGUGCGUCUCGCUGACUGAGCUUCCUGAAUUUGUUGGCGACUUAAAAUUGUUGAAGGAAUUAUCCAUUGAUGGAAGCGAAAUCAGAGAACUGCCUGCUUCCAUCUGUUCUUUGCGGUACCUAAAGACCCUUUCAAUUGGAGAUUGUCGGUUUUCAAGCCAUUGUCCUGACUCAAUUAAAGGAUUGCAUUCGCUUACAGAGCUUAGUCUAGGUGGACCAUCAAUCACGAGUCUACCGCCUCAACUUGGAGCUCUGAAGAUGCUUAGAAGGUUGGAAAUCCGGAACUGUGAAUCACUUGAAAGCUUACCAGAAUCGAUCGGAAACUUGGCGGAUCUCACUACCAUGAUCCUUUACAAUGUGAACAUUACAGAGCUUCCACAGUCAAUCGGAGAAUUGGAGAGCAUCGUCAUCAUGAGGCUUAACGAAUGCAAACGUCUCUGCAAGCUUCCGCCAUCCAUGGGCAAUUUGAGAUCAUUGUACCACCUGAUUAUGGAGGGUACCGCGGUAACAGAAUUACCAGAAACCUUCGGGAUGCUCUCAAAAUUAGUAACAUUGAGAGUGGGCAAAAAACCGCAUCCUGUGGUUAUUCCUCAGGGCAACACAGAAACAGAGAAUCAAGAUUUGAUUACAGAGGAAAUUGCUGGAUCGAUUCUUCCAUCUUCAUUAUCGAAUCUCUCUUGGCUACAAGAACUGAAUGCCCGUGCUUGGUACAUGCAAGGAAAAGUUCCUGAUGAUUUUGAGAAGUUAGUAUCGCUAGAAACUCUAAAUCUAGGAUACAAUAACUUUACGAGCCUUCCCACAAGCCUCAAGGGACUUUCCGUCCUUCAGAAACUUCUGCUGCCGCACUGCAAGGAGCUCAAGUCUCUUCCGCCCCUUCCAUCGAGUUUGGUAGAGGUUAAUAUUGCUGGCUGCGUGGCAAUAGAGACAAUCUCUGACCUGUCUGAAUUGGAGAACUUGCAGGAGCUGAACAUGGCAAAUUGUGAGAAAGUGGUGGAUGUCCCAGGACUUCAGCGCUUGAAAUCCUUGAGAAGGCUAUAUAUGAUUGGAUGCCGAGUGUGUUCCUCAGUAGUCAAGACGAGAAUUUCGAAGGUUCUCUCUCUCUCUCUCUCUCUCUCUCUCUCUCUCUCAAAAGAUGCAUCUACACUGAUCAAGUCCAAAAACUCUGGAAGAGGAGAAUUUUAUGCAUCAACGGACAUGUUUAUAUAGCAGUCGCUAUGGUUUGACAUUUUGCAGGUUUCUUUGAGGAAUUUACGCUUUCUCAGUAUGCCGGGGAGUGAAAUUCCAGAUUGGCUAAACGAAGAGGAAGUGAGCUACACGGCAUGCAGAAACUGCAAGCUCAAGGCUGUUCUCAUAGGCGUAGUUGUUUCCAUCACCAGUGACUUCCCAGAAUCUUUGAGAGAUCAUAUUCCCACACUCGUGGAUUUCGAGGCAAAGAUACUCAAAAUGAACACGUCUAUCUUCGGCACCGCAUUGCCCUUGAAGGGGAUACCGAAAUUAGAUGAAGAUCAGGUUCAUUUGUGCCGGUUCUUGGAUUUUCACCCGCUGGUUUCCAAGUUGAAAGAAGGGUACAAAGUUCAGGUGGCAAAGCGGAACCCACCAUUCAUUCCCGGAAUGCAGCUGAAGAAAUGCGGGGUACGUCUGAUUUUUGAGAGAGACGAUGAAUUUGAUGGAGAUGAACAGCAACUGGAUGAUGGCUAUCAGUCUUUAUCUGAAAAGCUUGCCCGGUUUUUCAACAGUCUGCAGUAGCCAGUUCACUAUUGUUUAGUUAGAUAUAUAUUUAGAUUAGAUAUCCAGAAGAUUAUGAAUAAUCUAUAUGUGUGUGUGUGUGUGUGUGUAUCUAAAAUGUUUAAAGUUAGCCUCUGGAAAACGGAAACGGAAGACGGUGCCAAAGAUUGAAGAGAAGGGAACGAGCUUGCUCCUGUCAAUUGAAAUUUCACUUCUGGAAAUGUAAUCUGAAAAUACCAGGAGCAUCGCUGUCUCCUGUUCUUUCAUUCUGAAGGCUUUUCAAUUUACCCUGAGAUGCUCCAUUUUAAUGUCCACUUUGCUUCAAUUGCAAAGUUUGAGCAGUUCUGAGGUAGCUGUAUUACUCAUUGAUGUGUCCCCUUAAUACAAGCUCAGAGAAAGAACCCGGGGAAAGAAAAAUUCAAAACUUGGGCGUAGUUUCUUGAUCAAACAUGUGAUGAGAAGAAAAUGAACUAAAUAUUGAAUGAGGUUUCAUGAUUGACCAUAUUUGGUGAAUGAAGUUAAGGGUAAGCAUGAUAAUUAUUUCUCUGUCUUUUAAUUUUUCUAUUCGUGGCAAACAGAUUUGAAACAACAAUCCGUUUGAUAUGAUAAUCUCAUUUUUCUAUUUCUAAGAUAAAUUUUAGCUCAUAUAUAAAUUUGGAACAAAAAUGAGAAGUAAAAAUAUUCUACUUCUCUAUUUUCGGAAUAUAAAUUAAAGUUUUUUUUUGUCACUCACUCUCGUCACUUGUUGACCGGCUGCCCUCCCGCUGUUGUUGCUUUUCGUUGCUAGCCAUCCGUUGUGGUUGGCUGCCCUCCCACCGUCCCUAGCCGUUGUUAGCUUUCAAUUCAGUUGAUUAAUGAUGUUUUAUCUUAGGAGAGGGUCGAGUAGUACAACGGAUGGAAAAAGAGUUUGGGAAAGAGAUAUUUAAGAAGCCUAUUAAAUGAAUUUUUUUUUCGAGGACAGAAAUUUAAUGUAAUCAAAUGCAUAUCUCUACUAAGAAUUUCCUCCGGUAAAUAGAACUAGAACUAGAAAUUAUUCCUCAGAAACGAAACCAUUAUAAUUCACGCCUAAUCUUCCCUUGUCCACUUAUUUAGUAGUGGAUAAUCCAUUCAACUUCCUGUCCCAUGGCAUCCUCCGUGUCGCUGCUCAAAACGGAUGCGGUCAACCCCAUCACCGCCUUACCUCCAUGGCAGCACGAGCCGCAAUUUCGUCAGCACGCAUAAGCAACCCGACAAGCAUCGCUCCCCUGCUGCGCUCCCCGCUCGCGCCCCCUUCGGCUCUCUCCUUCCCCCGGCGUCCGGCCCGAGGGCCCCGGCUCUGCACGGCUCGCCGCCCCGAGUCCUCCCUCCAUGACCCGGCCGGCGAGCCGGCGGAGGACCUGGACGACGACGACGGGUUCUUCGGAGGCGACGGCGGGCCGAUGACGGAGGACGAGAGCGACGGCGAAGAGGACGCGGAGAGCAGCGUCGAUUUGCUCCUCAGGUUCUUUCAGAGCAUGUUCAGGAAGGUGGCCCGGCGAGCCAAGAAGGGCUCUCGCUCCGUUCUGCCCGACGCGAUACCGCCGCAGCUGGUGAAUUCUCUUUCUCAAUCUGCUUUGGCUUUCGGUGCUUAUGCAGGGUCGGGAGGAGGCGAAACUGAGAAUUGUUCAUGUCCUGUUUGAUCUAAUUCCUCUUAAAAGAGCAUUUCGCGGCCUGUGUGGUCUAGGCUCGUCGUUAAUUUUUUAGCUUAAGCCCAGUACCGUAGAAUGUCUUCGUACGCGUUUAUUUUACUAGUCAAGUCGUGAUGGUAAUGUCGAAUAGAGAAAAUGUUGAAUUUUGUUAAUCCUAUGUCGCGAGUCUAACCGAAGUUGCGGCGUAAGUAACUAUUAUCCGCUCAUCAUGACAUUGCCUUGCCCUUGAAUAAGAAGUUUGUCCUUUGGAUUGUAACGUGCAAGAUUGUAAACCCUUAAAUGUUAGUUUACACUAUACCGGAACUGUAAACAUCAAAAUUUUCAUCCUAAUCAACCUGACUUCAUCAAGAGAUUUAGGCACCUGAGAAAUCAACUCGCUGGCCUUAUCAUGCCGUGAAAUAAUAAUGGAAACUGCAUGAUUUGAUUGGCGUAAAGAAAUUAUUUAUGAAAUGGUUGAAUCGGGGAAUUCAGGUAACUACAGUAGCUUCAGUGGUGAAAUAAGCAGUCUGCAGAUUAACUGAAAAGAAUCAGAUAGGAGACAGUUUUUCUUUGUUCCACUGUUUGAAAAAGGGCCUGUCCUUGGAGCAAGUUACCGAUGAUCUGCUUCAAAUUGUUUUCCCCCAUAUAUUAUCUUCAGCAUCGUUUAUUUGAUCAAGCUGAUGGCUUUCAUCCAUUUAGUAACUGAAGUGGUGUACUCAUGUUACUAUUACUGUUUGAACAGCAUGCAGCUUGUGCUUACCCUUUUUUGACUGUCACUGACGGUAGUUCUCGAAUGCUUCCCUGGAUGGAAACUGCAGGUUUCCUUUGCGGUUGAUGGGAUUCUACUACUAGCGUCACUUUCCAUUUUGAAGGCACUUCUUGAGGUACUUCAGGAACUUUUUAUCAACAAAUAUGAAUGACUUUGUGGAUUCAAGAGGUUCACCUCAAGUCUGGUGACUGUAUGUCACUAAAAAUGUAUUAAGACUGAUGACUGUCUAUAUUAUGUAUGUCAUCCACUCCACAUUUCUUCCAUUUGUGCCCUUAUACGAGCAUUAAUCUCCAAUGGCAUUUCUAGAGCGAUAGGCUCUUUGUUUGUUGAAAAGUUAGAUAAUGAGGAAAAAUGUGGAGGGCAUUUUCAGAGUAAGAGUUGAUCAUUGAGUAGCUGCAACUUCAUCUCACUGUGCCACAGCAUAGUAAAUGGAAUUGGCUAUAACUAGAUCAACUUUUUAGAAGGAACAGCCUUUGGCUUUGACCCUCGACUGCUGAUGUUAGUGUUGGUGGUGGUUUCAGGUGGCUUGCACUCUUGGUGGCUCUGUAUUUGUGGUGAUCCUCCUCCUGCGGGUGAUCUGGGCGGCUAUCUCAUAUUUCCAAUCUAAUGGGGGUGGCUUGAACCAAGGUGGGAAUACCUUUGGUGGGGCACGACCUAUAUGACAGACAACUUCAUUUUGGGCUGAUGCAUUUCUCUAUGACUACUUCAGAAUUCUCCUUACUUCAACCUUGCUUAUGUCUAUAAGUUGAACCACUAUGUCUGUACUCCGAAAAUUUAGGUUCUCAGUUAGUUAUCUGUCGGCUGUGAAUACGAGUACUGCUAUACUUAUAAUACUUGAGAAUUGUUUAUUAGAGAUUGUACUAAUAUCCAUCAUCCAUUAUAUUGCAAAUACAUCCAGUGUUCCAUUUGUAUUGUUUAAGGUAAAACCAUACCCUAUACCAUUUAACAUAAACCGUCCCCAUGGACAUAGAGUUUACAUUGCUUCCACUGUAAAAUCCACUUCCACAUCCUAUAAUGGAAAUAUACUCAGCAACAUGCAUAAAAAUGACUUGAUGAGGCAAAAUUGUUCAGUUCGUUCAUUUUUGGUUGUGUCCUUGGUUAAAAUUGGUCAUAAUUAAAAAUUAAGAUGAAAAGGCCUAACAGCUUUGAAGCUCAUUUUCUUGAUUUGGAUCAGUCAACUUUUCCCUGAUUUUCGGUUUACGACGACAAUAAUCGAGCCUUUCCCUCUUGUAUUUUACUGUUAUCUCAUAUUAUAAUGUUCUAAUGAAUUUCUGAGUAGCUAUAUGAAUGCAAACGGCCAAUGCAUGACUGCAUGUCAUAGAUUGCUUGAAUGGCUUGGUAAUGUGAGGCUGAGGCAUAAACUUUGAUGAGUGGAGCUAUUAUCCGCAUCUUAGUUGCUGCUUUUCUCACUCUUCCCGGGGAAAUGCAAGUAAAAUGUCCGUGAUUCUGUGCAAGCAUGAGCACAAGUACGGUUUUUGGAAAUCACGAGUUCUUACGAGAUGAAAAUCUUACUUUUAGUAAACCUCUUGAUCUGUUUUCUGCCAUGAUCCAAUUGUAAAUCCUUCCUGUUUCUCAUUAUAGGUUACAACAAAGGAAAACAAAAAGGAAAACGAGUUCAUCGUGUGAUGGACUGAGACAUAUAACUAAUCUACUUAAUGUUGUGACUUCUGAGAAUUAGUGCAAAUUAACAUAAAACCAACUACACACACACACACACACACACACACACACAUAUAGGUGGGACCUCAUUUCAAACACUGAAUAUUCAUUCUCUAUAAUGCUUUACUUGCUGAAAGAAGAAAGAUGGAAAGCAAAUCCUCAACGCUUACAGGGAUUAAGGGGCUUCCCGCACAAUCCUGUGUUCCCAGAGAACGAGCUCCCGGGGAAGUUUGCCAGAGGUUUACCAGCAGGAAUUUGCCCCACCAAAAGAUUAUUCGACAAGUUCAAGUCUCUUAAUUUACUCAACUUCAAAAAUCCUUCUGGUAUGCUGCCAGUGAACCGGUUCCUUUGCAGCUUCAGUACCUCUAGUGAGCUUAAAUUUGCUAAAGCAUCCGGCAGAUUAAAUCCCAAGUUGUUUUUACUCAAAUCCAAGCUUUUUAAGGAUGAACACAUUUUGAUUGUUGUCGGUAGUCUCCCCGAGAGAAAGUUGCAUGAUAAAUUUAGAGAUUGGACUCCACACUCUGCUCCAAUUCCUAUCUGUUCAAUUCCUUCAGUAAAUCUAUUAUCAGAAAGAUCAAUGUAAGUCAGCGGACCUUGUGGAAACCUCUGCUCCAUUUUGAACACCUGACCUACGUUGCCUGUUAGCUUGUUUGAGUGGAGAUCAAGGACACCCAAAGCAUUCAACUUAGUAAUUGAUUCUGGAACAUCUGCAACUAGCGAAUUUCUGGAGAGAUUCAACAAGUAGAGCUGAGUUAGUGUUCCAAGCCAAGAUGGCAAAUUUCCUGUCAGGUGAUUGCCUGAUAAAUCCAGCUCCUGUAUUGGACUAGGCAUUAUCUUCAAGGACUCUGGAAUUUCUCCUUGAAUUCCACAUCCAGCCAUAUAAAUUUGGGAAAGAGACGGCAAUCGCAAUAACCACUGGGGGAUGGAGGAGAAAUUAAAUUGGUUAAAAGAAAGAUUGAUUAUUUGAAGAUUGAAGAGGGAAGACAUCUCCUGAGGCAAUGGUCCUCGGAUCAUAUUGUUUGAAAUGCUUAGAAUCAAGAGCUGGGAUAACUGACCCAUUGACUCGGGUAUUAUGCCAGAUAAGUGGUUGUCAUCAAGAUAUAACUCUGUUAGAGCAGAGAGAGCUCCCAGACUUGAAGGAAUACUUCCCUUCAAUCUGUUAUGUGCGAGAGAAACUCUCUGGAGAGAGAUCAGAUUGGCAAAAUUGGGUGAGAUUUCGCCAGUUAGCUGGUUAUUGUGGAGUCUUAGGAAACUGAGAGAAGGCAUUUGAUCUAACCUUGAGGGGCUCGGGAUUUCUCCAUCGAGAUUGUUUGUGUCCAAGUACAAGACUGAAAUGGCAGUUAAGUUAGUAAUGGAAAGUGGAAUUCUCCCUCCUAAGAAAUUGUUUGAAAGAUCGAGCUCUUUCAUAUUGUGCAACUGACCAAUUUUUUCUGGGAUGGCGCCAAUAAAAGAAUUGUUGUGGAGAUCCAGAUGAACCAGCCCUGUCAGGUUUGUAAAAGAAUCGGGUACCGUACCAGAAAAUUGAUUUGAGUACAUAAUCAUAGCAUUCAGAUUUCUGAGAUUUCCUAGGCUCGGAGGGAGUGACCCAGAUAGCUUAUUCUCAUACAACAAAAGUUCUUCAAGCCGCCAGAGCUUACCAAUGCUUUCUGGUAACAUACCGCUUAUUUGGUUGCCAUACAGGUAGACCUUUCGCAACUUUUGGAGGCAGAAACCGAUGGAAGGCGGGAUUGUUCCAGCGAGAUUCAUGAGUCCACCAAGAUCAAUGACUUCAAGAGAGCUCAAGAGUGUUAUGGAAGGAGACAACCAGCCUCUGAUCUCAGAUUGGUAGACAUCGUCGCUUGUGGAAAUAAAUCCAGGGAGACGGAUUUCUGUGACUCUGCCUGUUGCAUUAUCGCAUGAGAUGCCUUCCCACUCGCAACAUUUGAGGCCGACCCAUUUCUCUAGCCUUCCAGAAGUGUCGAGGCGAAUGCCCGCUUUAAAACCAGUCAGUCCUUUCAGGUCUUGGGGAGUACAUAUUCCAUGUACAUUUGCUGCUCCAAGUGAAGCAGCAUACACGGUGAGCACUAUGAGCACACUCAGGAGCUGAUGCUGCAUUUUUGAGUCCUAAUUGAGGGUAUCUCCUCGGGUCGAAGUCUCUGAUCAAGGAAGGAGACACUGAAUUUAGCUUCCGUUAUGGAACCUGCUAAAAUUUAGGCAAAGAAAGCGACAAAAGCUCUACAGUCCCGAGAUUCUGCUUUUCUUGUUUCCCACUUUUCUUUUGUCUUCCUUUUGCUUUACAGUGUUUUGUGCUGAAAACAGGCUUUGUGUCUUGAUGAAAGCGUGCUGUCAGAGAUUUUCUUAUUUGAUUGUUCUGGGGGAUGCCUGAGAUCUCUUCCUCCGAUAUUUCGAAAUCAUUAAACUAGUCACGCCUUCUCUUUUGACAUGUCCUAAAGAUCCAGAACAUCUUACCCAAGAUCCUGCAUAAACCAAUGCGAGGACCAAAAUCCUUAUUUAUAGAUACCCCUCUUGGAAAGGAGAAGUACUUGUGCAGAUCUAGGAACGAAGUUUUAGAUCAUGGCGGGAUCUAUCAAUUUGAAGGUUUUAAUUAACCGAUUUCACGGUGGAAAGGAUCUAUGCAACUAUUUCCCUCUAAAAAGGUCUAGAAUAUUGGGCAAGCAAUAGGCGUAACCGAGGUAGUGUUGCGAGACCCCCUGCCAUGUCUACAGGUUACUUCAUUUGUUAUGUUAGAGAAAGACCUCUGACCGAAAAAAAACAAUGUUAGAGCAAGACCAGGAUGGUACGCUUGAGACCCGAGAGCAUUUUUACGGCGGAAUAAUUCGGAAACUUCCGGGUUCCCUAUAGAGGAGGUGACUCUUUUUUCUUUUCUGUUUUUUCUAUUGGUUAGCAUCAUCUUUAUAACCCAACCAUGAAAAAUUUGGACGGGCUAAGCUGGCCAUACAAAGACACUCGAGAGGAAUAAUGUCUUUGUCAGAAUCAUGUGCCUCUUUCUGUCAAAAACAUAGCUUUGCAUAUGUUGCGGGAGAGGAAAUCAUGUUUGUCUCGUGCUGAUAAAAAAACAUCGUGCAGGCUGGCAAUUUGUGCUGGGGUUCUCUACAGAACUUCGAGCAUCAUCCAUGCGCACUCUUUUAAUUUCGUCCGGGGCAGGCAUAGUCUGUAGUUUGGAAUUUCGAGACGGAUCUAACUACUGAGAAGCACCAACCUUUCCCUUUUUAAGUGGGAAAGAAAUUGAUGUGCGAAACUCCCGCUGCGUCCAAGAUGAGAAGGGAUCAAUUAAUGGACUGUGUGCAAUCAUAACCAUUAAUCUUUAUGAGACGCGUGUCGAAUCUGUUAUGGUCGGCACGAUUGACCGCUUGAAUCGAUCCGGUUCGCAUGAAUCCGUGUGAAGGCAAGACCGGCUCAGGGGAGAGAGUAGGUGUUGAAACCUGCUUUCUCCCCCAUUCAACACGGAGCAGUUACCGUCUUUCCCGUAAAGAAAUUUGUUCUACUAUCGUUACGUCCAAGGGUUUCCACUUCCGGUUGGACUUUGCUUUUGCACCUCAUGGGAUGUCCCAGAUGACUUCUUGCAAGUUUUACUUUUAUGUGCGGCUUCAGUUGUUCACUUUUCAUGAGUAUGUUUCCACUUUCCUCCGCAAUUAUAGCUAAUAGACAUAGCAAUUCCAAGUGACCAGACCAAAUUGACCUUCCAAUUGAAGGAGAGCCUCAUUAUUGAUUCCAAAGUCAUCUUUUCCAUCAUUUAUCACUAAACUUCUUCCCUAAUUAUCGAAGAAGUCUUGAGUAUACAGUUUACCAAAACCCCACUCACAUUUAUGACUUUUUCUUCACACUUUGUGAGAAAAUAAUAAACUUAUUAGAUUGUUCUAAGAUCAAAGAAGUCUUGGUGGGCCCGCUGGAUGGGCUCAACUUCACCCUUAUUGGAAAUAUCGAUACUACUUUUUUUUCCAUUAUUAAUAUUAAUUUUGUAAGUUUUGUCCGUUAGUUAUUGGAGUAUAUUUUUCCUUGAUUGCAUUUGGCAUUCUUAUUUUUAUGCAGCUUUCUAGUUUUAGGUCUUGUUAUUACAAUUCAUGCUCUGCAUAAAUCAUCAUCAAUAUCUUACAUUUUAUUUAAUUUAAAUUUAAAUUCCUCCACGUUAUUUGUUGCUAUAAUUUUAUGGAUUCACUACUAAGUGCUAAAUUUCCCUUAUUCUUCAUUGAAUCAAUACCAAAAUUGAAAAUGCUAUACAAUGUUAAAUGUAACAACCUCCUCUCUUGUCCCACAUCGCCUAGGAAGGGAGGUCUUGGUCAGCUUAUAAGGCUUUGGUCCCUCUAAUUUGUAUAACGCGUUUUAAAGCCGUGAGGGAAGAGACCGUGACUGGGAUGGCGGUUCGUCCGCGCCAGGGCGGGUAACCAAAAGCGGACAAUAUUACACAGUGGGGCCCGGGAUGUUACAAGUGGUAUCAGAGCCGACUCCCGACUGCGUGUGGGACCACAAGCUUGAAUGCUGUUCUGAUGCCCGUGGGGCCAUAGCGAGGACGCUAUUCUGUUAAGAGGUGGAGAGUGUAACAACCUCCUCUCUUGUCCCACAUCGCCUAGGGAGGGAGGUAUUGGUCAACUUAUAAGGCUUUGGUCCCUCUAAUCUGUGUAACGCGUUUUAAAGCCAUGAGGGAAGAGACCGUGGCUGGGAUGGCGGUUCGUCCGCGCAAGGGCGAGUGACCCAAAGCGGACAAUAUUACACAGUGGGGCCCGGGAUGUUACAUUAAAAGCCGAUAUGUAGCUUCUUAAACUUGAAAUAGUGAUUUUAUCCAAAUAACAUAUAUACAUGAAGAGUCUAAAGUGGAUUAACUAGGUGAUAUUGGAUUUUUAUAAGUAACAUUAAUUAUGUAAGUAUUUUAGUAGAUGGGUCAAUCGGGAAUGGCUCAUUAAAUGUGUGUUACAUAUAAAUGGGUCAAAAUGGGUUAAAUAAGUAAUUUUGGACAUAACCAUUUUAGUUCCAACACAUCCAUUUCAUAGUCCUAACACCAACCAACAAUUUGCUUGAGCAUUCUGUAAACUUACUUUAAAAAGUAUCCUGGUGUCAUUAUCUCUCUUGCGAUAUAAAGGCAUGAUUUGCUAGCCCAAUCGACCGAGCAAUUGCCUCUUGAGAAAUGUGACGAAUGUGAAUAACUUAUAGGACAAGUCUCAUCUAGUAAGUAUCUUCCACAAUGUUUACACAAAAAAAUAAAAAUAACUAUCUCUUCAUAAUUGACACGAACUCGAUUUGGUCAAAUAUAAAGCCUGGUUAUGAAACCAAUAUGGUUAUCGACAAGUUAUGUGACAGUCACUGAUAGCUAUGUAAUGUAGUUAUCGAUAAUGGAAGAACUUAUCAAUGGCUAUAAACAAUGAUGAUCAAUGACCAUGAAAUAGAUCUAUUGAUACAUGAUGGCGAUUGGGCGAUGAAUAUUUUGUUUCAAUAACAACCAACGUAUAGCCAGUUGUUUAAUUUGGUUGAGUGUUGGACAUAGGAAAAUAAGGAGAUAGAGUGAAGAUGUUUAUAUAUAUCGAUUAAGUAACAUAAUGGCCUUGAGAAUUGUAUCCUCUUAUGGAUAAGAUCAAUGUACGGAUCAGAGGCUUAGAGUGUGCGUCUAGUAGCAUUUCUGCUCCCGAGAGCAAUUUUUGUUCAUAAAUUAUUUUUUCUAUUUCUAUUCCUAAACAAGUUUCUAAGUAAAAUAAUGCGUUUAGUAACUGUAUAAAAUUUAUAUUUCAUUUUUUCAUUUAAUUAAGAAAAUGUUAAUUGAGACUUAACAAUUUAUGUUUGAAUAAAAAUGGACCUUUGUAAGGACUUAAUUGAUCAAGAUAUUCUAACAUAGUCUCUAAAAAUCCAACAUAAUAGUUAGUCAAAAUAGAUGGCUGGAAAUGGCACUAGAGAGUCUCACUGAUUUAUAACUCACAAUCAGGUUGACAGUAAAUCUUUGAGUAUUAUAGUAAACAGGUGCAUAAACCUCUUGAACUUUUCUAGCUACAAGAAGAAGAGCAAAUGUUACUUGGUAGAAUGGGCAAUGAUGGAACGAUUGAGGAUGAAGGCGAUCUUUGGUAAUAAACUCAUCAAACCUUCAAGCAAUUAACAUUGGAAAUCCAUGGAGCAUAGGUUUAUUUGACUAAUAUGAACACAAGACAAAUGAUAAUGCAAAAAAUUUAUUGAGAGUCAUCUAAUAGAAUGAUCUUAAAGGAUGUCUACAAUAAAAUCUCAAGGGAAGAAAAUCGGAGUCGCCAAGUUUUGGUGACCUCGCAUUGUCUUUAAAAAAAAAAAUCCCAUAGAGUAGCCCUAAAAGUUUAUUCAAUUUUAAAUCUAAUAUUUAUCAAAAUAUUUUCACAUUUUUAUGCUACACUUAUUAUAAAUUAAAAUUAACACUAAAAUCUAGUAAAACUACUCAAAAUCUAAUUUAUAAUUCUUUUUUAAAUUUUUGAAAUUUUUUAUUUUUUAUUUUUUAUCCCAAAAAAUGAGAAUCGAAUCGAGUCAAGAGACUGGACCUUAUGUCGACUGUGUAAAGACAAACCUUAGGUUACAUUGAGCUUGUUUUUCUAAAAUAGUUUUAUUUCUUUUUUUGUUUUCGAGAAUAAAGAAGUAGGUUUUUUCUAUUUCUUUUUUAUAUUCCAAAUCUAUUCUUUGGCUACCGAUUUGUUUCGGGAACAGAAAAAUUAAUUAAUAUUAUUAAAUGGAUUUCUGCUCUUUUUUCUGUUCUGGGGAAUAUAAAAAAGGAAAAUAGAGAAAUCAAAUUAUUAUCAAAAAGAGCCUUAGGAUCUCAGAAGUGUAGUUACAACCAUACUUAGCAUAGUAAUUGCUAAUGAGCAGUUAAAAUAAGGGAUUAUAUAUAUGGCGGCAUGUAACUAUUGGAGGGUAGGUCAUCAAGAACACACAUUCCCGAUGUACACUUAUUCAUUUAUUAAUUUUUAAUGCCUUUUUUAAUUUACAUUAUUUACAGUCUUUUACCUAAAAAAAUCAUCAAUUCUUCUAUGCUACACCGAUGGAAUUUCUAUCUGAAAUCACUACCAAACCCAUCUCAAAUAAAUAAAUAGAUUAAUAAAGAAGAAGAAAAAAGAACAAGGGUCAAUUGUCGAGAGAAAGAUUUUCUAUUACUUGGUCGACGCCUAUUUUUGGCGAGACCAACAGUAAGGACGAGGAAAGCCCUUUGGCCCAGCGUUCCAAUUUUCUUAAUAGCUUGCUUCUGUUCUCCAUCUCGAAUGAGGCCCGCACCAUCUGUUUUUUUUGGUAAAGUAGAAAUAUAUUUUUUUUGGUAAAGACCAUCUGUUUCUCACUGUCUACCGUGCUAUUAGGAAACACAGGCUCCCCACACACAGGAACAGAAAUAAAAAGGAAGGCAACAAAAUUGUAUAUCAUGUAUAAGCCUUUAAUAUCUUCUCCUUACCAUAAAAUGACUGCAUUCGUUUAUAGGAUUAUAAGGGACGGUCAACUCGAGACAGGAUCCUAAAUAUGAGGACGAUUAUCGAAAGUUCCGAUAGUUGAGGAUGGUGCUCAGUGCGCGCACAAAACCAAGGUUCGUUUUGGAAGUUCUCACUCAUUCUGUAUCGAGCAUGCUCAACAAGUGCGUUGAAAGCAUUAUGCCAAAUGGUAUUUUUACACAAGCCACUUUUCAAUGCUUAAUUUGCCAAACAUCCGAGCAUUCUCAAAAACCCCUUUACCCUAAAGAUAUUUGCAUUUGGCUAAAGGCAUUUCCCCAAAGCCGAAUCAAAUGGGCCCUCUGUAUCGAGCAUGCUCAACAAGUGCGUUGUAAGCAUCUUGUCAACGCGACGUCUAAAAAUCGCAACACAUCUCGGGUGGCAGAAUAAGGUAGCCAGAAGUGACGGCAAUGACUUGGUGCCCCCUAUGGUUUCUAUUAGUGGCUUCUUCCACGCUAGUGACACGGGCCAAGAAUGAGCAUGCUCCAAAACCGUCCAAAACGAUAGGUUCGUGUCCCACACAAGGGCCAACCCGCAAGCUACCCAUGAACAAUCCAGAAACGACCCACCAUCAAUGCAUGAGUCGACCCAUGAGUAAUACAAACCGACCCAUGCGCAACAUAAGAUGAGCCUGUGAUUGUUCAGUUCCUUGUGUCAGUUGUUGUCUCAAGCGACCUUUGGGUUUCCUAUGGACUGGCCCUACAGAACCAUGGCAAAUGUCCUUUGGGCUUCCCCACGCCUUAAGGCCUCUUGAGUUGCAUGUAGCCUUGUAUUGAUUGUGCAUAUUUGAAUCGAAAGGGGAUAAACGGCUAGGAUUAAGGCCGCUUAUGUAUGAAUAGGGGAUCCUCUCCCUUCAAAUGUACACACCAUUAUUCAUGAGUAAUACAUUCGAGUUUCACCCCACAUUUUGUUUUUAUAAGUUGCAUGUAUGUAAGGCUGACUUGGAUCGUGAUCCUAAGGCUGCACAGAUAGGUGAUGGUUUGGAAUCGGCUGACCCAUGACACUAGGCUCUAGGCUCUAAGUGGGUAGUUGAUAUCGAGGCUGAGAAAAUAAAUGCCGCACGAUUUGGAGCCUCAGUGUUUCGACUACAGCCGUUUAAGCCACCGACCGGCCCCAUUAUGGGUGUUCCAAGAUGGGCGGUACUGGCGAGAUCCCCCACCAUGGUGGUCCUCGGUCUGACCAUCAUUGAAUGCAUUUAACCCUCCUUCGUAGUCAAUUCCUCACCUCAAAGACAUCGACCGUUUUCUUUCCAACUAAUAACGCCACGCCAUGAAGACCCAACGGCCUAGUCUAGUUCAGAGAACGAAGUUACAAAGUGCUAAUCUACAUCUAACCUAUUCCUAAUCGAGAGAUGUCUAGGCACUCUUACCGCAAUUUCUCGUGGAAAAAAGACACAUCGGGACAUGAAACGUGUUCAUCUGCCUGCGCAAGACCCUGAUCUCGCACGAAGACCGCCAUCGUUAUGGAAGGUGAGGAUGAAAUGACAAGGAGCAAUCACCACGUAAGCCUCGGCAUGGUUUUUUUUUUUUUUUUUGUCAGGUCGGCAUGGUUUGGCAGGCCCUUCCGCACCUCCUCGUUUCACACCUGGCCUCCCAAAGAUAUUCCCAAAAGCCAAUCUCUCUCUCUCUCUCUCUCCUUUUAUUUAUAGCCACCCAAUAUGCUGAACUAACUCUUGUAAUAUCUGUCCUUCGUUGCGAGACCAAACUCGCUCGUCCCAGUGUGAUCUCUCUCUGUCUCUCUCUUUUUGCGUCACUGGGCGCGACCAUCAUCCGGUGAAAUGGCGAAGGGCGGGGAGGUGAAGCUGAUCGGGGGGUGGCCAAGCCCGUUCGUGAUGAGGCCAAGGAUCGCGCUGAACCUGAAGGGGUUGGAGUACGAGUUCCUGGAGGAGAAGUUCGGCGCCAAGAGCGAGCUCCUCCUCCGCUCCAACCCGGUCCACAAGAAGAUCCCCGUCCUCCUCCAUGCCGACCGCCCUGUCUGCGAGUCCCUCGUCAUCGUCCAGUACAUCGACGAGGCCUGGCCCUCCUCCGGCCCUUCCAUCCUCCCCUCUGAUCCCUACGACCGCGCCACCGCCCGCUUCUGGGCCGCCUACAUCGAUGAGAAGGUAUCCGUUCCCGUCUUCGAUAUCUCAGCCUCUUUUGUAUUUUAUGGUUAGUUGCUGAUCUGAUGAAGAGCAUGUUAAGCAUUUCCAGUCGCAGAUUAUAGUUGACAUUAUAAAUUUUUUGGGAGCCUUCGGUCUUAUGUGGUGAUCGAAUCGAAGAGAUACUGCUCAUGCCGAGCCUUGGAAAUCAUGUUUAGCACGGUUCGAGAGUUACCUAGUUCUUUAGUUUUCAUACCGUGAACCGGAUCUAUCUAUUCAGCUGACCGCGCUUAUUGCUCGGUCAAUCGGGGUUCUCGCGCAUGCGGUGAUUCUUGCAGAUCCAAUAUUUAUGGGUCAAUUUCAAUUUUAAUUCCCUAUUUCUCUGGAAAAUUAUGGUUGUUGAUUGGAUUUGGGCCGUCAGAUAAAGUAGGCCAACUAAAAUGCCUGACGUUGGGGCUCACAGAGUUUUCAAAUAAUUUAAUCUACUUAAAAUUAUAUCAUUAAAAUGUCAAGUAUAUGGUGUGCACCGUUGAUUAAUAGAAAAUUAUCAAAAAAAUCAUGAAUUUAUUGUAAUUGUUCCAAUUUAGUUUAUUCAACUAAUUUUGACUAGCUGGCACAUAGACAAUUAUUAAUAAUAUUUUUAUUUAUUAUUUAUUUUCUUUCUUUUCUUUUUCUUUUUCUUUUCCAUCACUUCCUUCUUCCUUUAGCCAGUCAUCGACUUAGUGAAAAACUAAAGCCAAGGUUGGCAAGGUCCCUCACUAACCUCAAGCAUGGAUGGAUGAGGCUCCACCUUGCCAUAAUCGACAAGGCCACCCUCAUGGCCUCAAGCAAGGGCUUGAGCCUUGCUAGGGCUUGGGCGAGGCACAACCUCACCAGACCUAGCAAAGUCAAGCCUUGCCCAGUCGAGUCUUGUCUAAGUCCACCAAGGUUGGCCCUGCCUUUGGUCGGUCAUCGAUCGUUUAGAGAAAGAAGGAAGUGAAGAAAAAAAAAGAAUUUUUUUUUAAAAAGAUAUUACAAUAUUAAAUUUUGUUCAUGUCAAUGUCGAUAGGAUUAUGUAGGAUCAUCGGUGCUCAUGUCAACUUUAGUAAGCCAAAAUUGAACUGAUAGAUUGAAUUGAUACAAAUGCAAGAGGUUGAAUUUUCAGUUGACAAAGAAAAUGUUAAUAAUUAAAUAAGCAUAAUUAUGAUAAAUUUAGGACUUUUUUAUUAUUAUAUAAUUUCUCAUUAAAUUCUCUAUACGGGCUUUUUUUUUUAAUGUAAAAGAGAAGUAGUUGGUAAAGAAAUAAAAAUUGUAUACUCGUCAUCAACUCUAUCCUAUUUAUGUAAUGAUUUUUUGUGCCGUCAAUGUACUAAAUAAGUCAUUUUAAGACUGUGUACACACACACAUAUGUGUGUGUGAAGUAGUUGGUAAAGAAAUAAAAUUUGUAUACUCGUCAUCAACUCUACCCUAUUUAUGUAAUGAUUUUUUGUGCCGUCAAUCUACUAAAUGAGUCAUUUUAAGACUCUGUAUACAUACACAGAGACAUAUACAUAUAUGUGUGUGUGUGUGUGUAUAGUGAUGUGACAGGGCAUGAGCGGACAUAUAAUAAUCUGGGAUAAUUUAAAUGCCACACUUUGUAGUAUAUAAAUUUUGUACAUAAAUGUUAGUAUACAAUGCUUUGUUAGCUUUGUUAAGAACAAGCGAUUGCCAAUAUCACGCGCAGUGGUUCCCGUCCAUGAGCGGCAUCGCCAGAGCGCAAGGGGAGGAGGCGAAGAAGGCGGCGAUCGACCAAGUCGUCGAAGGCCUGUCGCUGCUGGAGGACGCGUUCGGCAAGAUCAGCAAGGGCAAGCCCUUCUUCGGUGGGGACACCAUCGGCUUCCUCGACAUCGCGCUCGGGUGCUUCCUCGGGUGGGUGAGGGUGACGGAGAGGACGCAAGGUCUGAAGCUGCUCGACCAGGCCAAGGUCCCGGGGCUGGCCAAGUGGGCCGAGAGGUUCUGCGCCGACAGCGCGGUAAAGGGGGUGAUGCCGGAGACGGAGAAGCUCGCCGAGUUCGCCAAGUUGAUAAUGGCCAAGUUCAGAGCUCCUCCUCCCCAGUGAAUCAGGGAGAAGCAGUUUCUUGUUCGCUCGUUUUAGACGCGCAAUCGUGCGGUGAUGACUGAGUAGGGGAAUAAAUGUUGUGGACCUUCUUGGGUUGCUUACAGCUCCGACAUGUCACUCUUUUGAGGUGGCCGGGGUACGCUCAUUUAGAGCAGGGUGGCAGAAGAAUGUACUGUCGAGGUCUCGGUUGAACUUUGUAUUUAACAAAGAUCAAUCUGGCCUUUCUGAAUUAAUUUCUUGUCCAGAGUACGCGCCGUUGAUCGGUUCUCCCAUCUUUUCCGGUUGAAAUUGACGCAGAUAAUAACCUUCGUGUUUUAAAAAUCAACUUACAUUCCAAAAAUAGAUUUUUCUAUUUUUAUUUCAUGGAUAGAUUUCGCAGUAAAAAUAAGUGUUUAAUAACGAUAUAGCAUUUUUAUUCCUAAAAUAGAAAUUCAAUAGAUAACAAUACAAAAUUUUUUAACUCUUAGACAACGGCAACAAUAUAUGGCUAACGGUAAUUGAUGAUCGGCGGAUGGCAAUUGGUGACUAGUGGGCGGUGGUCGGCAAACAACAACCUUCAGUGGGUGGCUGGCGGACAACGGUGGAUGGUGAUCGGUUGUGGCGGACGGCAACUUGCGACCAAUGGCGAUAGCGGCAGACGAUAGCUAAAGAUCACAUCGGUGGCGGCGGAUAGCAAACAGUGACCGGCGGCAGCAAACGAUGAGCAAUGGUAAGUGAUUGACCGAUUAGUAGAAAGGACAAAUGAAUGAGAAUAAUUUCUAUUUCUCAUUUCUAAUAGAAAUAAAGAAAGUAGAAAAUUUUUCCUUCUCAUUUAUGUUUCAAACUUAUUUCUAAAUUAAAAAUUUAUUCUAGAAUAAAAAAAAUGAAAUUACAUUAUUAAAUAGAUUUACAAUCCAAACUUAUUGCUAGAAACAAAAAAAAUAAUUUUGGCUAGAAAAAGAAUGGUUAUCAUACGCGACGUCUAUACUUUCCCUUUGAAUUAAAUGCUCCCGUCUCUGAGUCUAGAACAACAUGAGAUUGGAAGAUAAAUCAAGCUUGUGUGGAGUUGAAGUCGCAAAUAAUAACGAGGGUGAUUCGAUUGAGCUAAGGCAAUAUUAUCGCACCCCAAAAUCUAUAAGGAUAGGGUAAUGACAUAAUCGUCAUUUCACUUGAAUGAUAUAACCUCAAAUUAUAAGUCCAACUCCCAAAAAGUCUCCAUCGAGAGCGCCAUUGUAUUAUCGGCCGCUAAUUGAGAAAACUAGAAAGAUUGGGAAAUGAGGGAGUGAACAACCACAGUUCAGUUAUUAGUACAUCUAUUCAAAGCAAAUUGAGUAUUCGCUAUACACAUUCAACAAAACAACAUCAAAACUAUUUAUCUCAAUACAUGUGUAUAAAAUGAGUUAUAUUGCUUUAACAUAACUAUAAACAUAUCUGAAAACAUUCGUUAAAUCAAUAUCAUAAUGAACAUCAACGGUCCAAUCCAUUGAUCAAUCUCAACAACUCGUGUAUUAAUGAUUUAUUCCAUUGAUAAAUCUCAUCAAACUACACAUCAAUGAUUCAUUCUAUCAACUAAUCUCAAAUUACAUGUCAAUGAUCCAUUCCAUUGACUAAAUUCAUAUUAUCAAUGGUCCAAUAAAUACCAUGAUCAUUUAUAACGUUUGCUUACUAGGCGACUAAGCUCCUCCCUUAGUAAAAUUUUCACCUAUAUUGCUAAUGGCUAGCAAAUAUAAUAAAAUAGUAUUUGCAUACCUGCUUGGGUUAAUAGUGAUAUUAAGCAUCAAACUCACAUUCUCUAAUAUCCACAUAGUCAAUCCAAAAUAUAAAUUACAAUUCGAUUUCAUAAACCAAAACAUAUAAUCUUUCGCAAAUCAACUCAUCUCUUGGAAUACUUUUCGUAAAAUAUUUCUCACACUAUUUCGGAAUUCAUUUCACAAACUGAAUUUAUAAACAUUAUUCUUCACAACGCAUUUCCUAAAACAUUUUCCAAACCAUUCUCAAAUACCAAAAAAUAAUAAAUGUCCAAUCCAGAUUUUUACACAAGGUACAUGUUCUUUCAUAACUCAUAAUACAUCAAAUCUUUAUAAUCUUCAAGACAUGAGUUUACAAGUUUAUAGAAUAGAUAGCAUUACUUAUUUGGGAGUUCCCACACCAAACAACAUGGCUGAUUUGAAUCGACGAUCUCAUAAUCUUAACAAUUAAACAAGACUACCCCAAAAUCAAGGAAAAUACUACCUCAACAAGCUUAAAUGCUAACAAAAUAACUUCUAUGCGAAAACAAAUCACUUACUCACAGCAAUUACUCAAACCUAAAUACAACACGGAACUCACAUAUCAAACUCUAAAAUUUCCCUCUAACUAAACCAUUGUUUUGAAAUGACUCCCGUCAAAUCUUAUGGCUCUAUAACGACAUAAACCAACAUUUUCAUGAAAUUCCAAAACUCAAUAACUCAAGAAUCGGACUUUGCUAGUUCGAAUUUUACAAAACUUCAAAGUUAAAUCGUAAUUUAAAAAGCUGCUUCAAUUGAACGAACGAAAGGUGCAGAAGAGAUUGCAAUACGGAGUUAAGUCGGUUUGACAAGGCAUCCGUGGCGAUUACCCCUCUCCUCCCUUUCCUUCCCUGUCUCGUGUUCUUUUCCUUCCCGUGUUUUCUCGGCGCGUCUCAGCUCUUAUAUAUUGAGCGCUAAAGUGUUCACUUUCUUUCAUUUGUUGACCAGUCUUUCUUUUUCUUCCUUCUUCUUUUUUUCCGGGUCCCACAACCUUUAGACCUGGUCAACCCACGUACUACAAAUAAGAUUGCAGACCUAACAUGGCAUCGAUCGAGGUAUACUCUUGAUCGCCACGGACGUCUUGAACACGCUCAAAUGGAAAUACCGUGUUAAAUCUUGAUCAGGAGAGAGAGAGAGAG